UAAAAUAAAACUCUAUUGUUAUAUAAAAUUGAUGAGACAUAAGGACAAUUGAGUUAAGGACAUAUUUGAAUAUAAAAUAAAAACUCUAUUGUAAUAUUAAAUUGAUGAAAAUACAAGGGUAAUUGAGUUAGGGACAGAUAUGUAAAGAAAAUAGAAACUCUGUUAUUUGAAACAAAUGAUGAAAAAUAAGGGGAUGAAUGAUUUUUUCUGGACUAGACCGGACUACUGACCAGUCUAGCCCAGCUGUAGGUCCGCCACCGGUUUGGAUCAAGUCAACCUACAAAUCCCUCCAAAGAAUUAGAACAGACAAAUCCACUAAUGGUCAUGCAGCAAAUUAAAGACGGCAAUUUCGGUUAUUUAUAAAAACUCCAAAAAAUUCAAAUGAGGUAAGUAAUAUCUUACCUCAUCUCCCCCCAAAAAAAAAAUCCUUUUAAUCCGUGAAAAAAAAAGUAAUAUAUUUCUGUCUCUACCAUAGAUCUCACUCUUAUUCUCACUCAAAAAUUCUUUCUUUCUUUCACUUUUUUUUUAGAUUUUCUUUAUACCUUUUUGUUUAAAGCAAAUAUAAUUAAACCACAUGAAUUGUUGUACAAGUUUUUUUUUUUUUUAAAAAAAACUCAAAUAAUUGACUUGAGUGUUGGAGGAUUCAAGCUAGAAAAACCUUUGGCAUCCUCCUAACUGUUCUCUAUGAACGCAACGAGAAGUGCCCGUGAUCGCUUGGGUUUGCUUGAGCAAGAAGUUGCAAGUAAAAACCAUCUCCCCAACUAUAACAAAUUUAAAUGUUGGCGUGGGCAUCUAAUUGCCACACAACUCGACCAGAUUUCCGUAUCAACCGGUGGGUCUAUGUUUUCGAACUAAGAUGAAUUAUUUGGGUCAGGGUCAGUCUUUUGCUUUUCUUUGAACAGAAACUACGACGGUAAUAAGCUUCUCUCUUUUCGGGGUUUUGUCAAAACGUCCCUGGCUGAUUGAACUAUUUGAAAAGCACCCUCGGCGGCAAUAGAUGGGUUCUUUUCCGGAUGCAGCAUCAACGCCAAUCUCUUGUACUGUUUCUUGAUAGUGAUAUUAUCAACUUCGGGAUCAGUAAUGGCAAGAAUGUCGUACCGGGUUGAUUUCAUCUCUGGUAGUUGAUGCACUCUGUAGGCGGUGAAAUAAUCAUCGAGAUUGGGUAAAUUUCCAUUAAAAUCUUCGGCUGCUUUCCGCUGCUUGAUCGCCAUGUCUACGUUCUGAAGCUUCAAAUACUCUUCUGCAGCAUCUCUAGCCUUCCCGGCUGCUAACUUCACAAGAUUUGAUCAGCAUUGUUACUUUCAGUAAACGGAGGGUCAAGUGGCGUUUUGGCUUCAUACACUUGUUUUUACAGUGAACAGAUUGUUUGCGCAGCGUUGACGCCUUCCUAGUUGAAACAGGUUUCCAUUUGUUAGAUUUGUGAGAGAGUACCGAGUGUUAGUGUCACAUGGUUAAUUCGGUUAUUAAAAAAAAAAAAAAAAGAACAGAGAAUCACUACCUGACAAAAGUGUGAUUUGUUGCAUUCUAAAUUAUACUCAAGAAUUGUGCACAACCAAAAAAAAGAGAAGUCUUUUGAACAUUAUACUACUUUUUUGAACAAUCAUGGCGUGAAAUUCAGACUCACUAGAUACUAGAAAAAUAGUAAAAGGAAAAAGACAUUUUGCAUAAUAAUUUCAACUUUUGUGCACCGACGACGUUAAUGUUGGUACAAAAAAACUUGAUCCAUUAGAAGGAAAUCUUAUAGAUAAUUGUUAAACGUGUCAAAUAUGACCAACAUUGUUAAUAAUGCUCUAAAUUGCCCAUCCCCUAAUCAUGGCCGUCCUGGCCUAAAUCCUUCUUAACACAAGAAUAUCAAAAUAUAUGUUAUAAGUGUUUUGCCCAACAUCCGUUGAACAUAAGACUUCAUGAGGUCCUUUUCUUUGAACUACAAAUCUGGUUAGCGACUUGUCUUCUCCAUUCAUGAAUCGGAACCUGUAGAGUAAUUUGUAAAAGGGUUUAUAGAUGAACGUCACAAUGUUGCACAAAUCAAUCAACUGACACUCACAAAUUUAGUUGACGCACUCAGAUUUUACUCUUUAUUACACGACAAAUUCAAAUAAAUGAAUGAGCUUAAAAGAAAAUCCUCACAGCAGGGAAGCCACCAUAAUCCCCAGGCUCUGUGAUGUCCUUGAAGACACAGCUAUUAGCAGCAAGUCGGACCUGCAAUUGAACCAUUCCAUGUAAAUGAGUAAACAUACUCCAACCAUGAAAACAAUAGAAUAAGGAUGCUGCCAAAUUUAGGUCAAAAGAUGAAAUUCUCUGAUCAAUGGUACUAUAUUUCUGCUUCAAAAACUGUGGAAGGAAUUAGAUAGGCGAGCCCUGAUGGGUAGAGUCGAUGACUACUCUGAUACAUGAUCGGCAGUAUGCCAGACAACUUUCAGUCUAUGAUCUUCCAGUUGUAUAUAGGACUAUAGGAGUAUAUGCUUCACAUUAUUACAUUAUCAAAUGAUAGGGUCAUCUCAACCACUUGAAUGGAUAAACCCCUUUUUUUCCCCCAAAUUGGAAAAAAAGUGCUUCUUCAAGUAUAUACCUUUGAUGCUAUAGAAACAUGAUCACGAACAGCUACCCUUCCCCCCAAAGUUACAUAAUCCCCUAUCCUGAAGGAAACGAAAUCAUGUGGGACAUAAGUUUCACAUUGUCAUUUAAUGGAGUUGCGUCAAAUACAACGUAAACCCAAAGUACUCCAAAAACUUAAAACCAAAAGCAUUAGGAAAAAAAAUGUAAACAAGGAAGAAGAAGUAACCUACGUCGCUGAACCUGCAAUUCCAACUUGUCCACAGAGCAUGCAACUCUUUCCUAUAGCUACAUUAUGGCCAAUCUGCAAAAGGAAAGCAGAUUCUCUUUCUUCUUAAGAUUGCUGAAUAUGUUUGUUGAAAAGGCAAGUUAGCAAAAACCCACCUGGACCAAAUUAUCUAUCUUUGAAUGAUCCCCUAUAACUGUAUCUCUCCAACUGCAAAAAUAAACAGGUCAAAACUCAAAAUUCAGCUUGAAUUGGCUUCUAAUUACAAGCAAGUUUCAGAAAAUUAGCAAAGCAAACAAAUGCGUCACCUGCCCCUAUCAAUGCAGGAAUUUGCACCAAUCUCCACAUGGUUACCAAUCCUAGCAUUCAGCAGCUGAGGAGAGGAAACAUAUCACAAAACACCAAGGCAAUCCAUCUGAGGCACCUACUUAGCUUUUCUUAAAAGGCUAAAAUAUAUUGAAAAUACAAACAUAAAGCUUUUACCAUAUUCCACCACAAAUCCAAAUAUAAUUUUACCAAUUAUUUAUACUUUCAAUUUUUAACUGUUUUAGUUAUCAAGAUCUCUCUAAAAGGAUAAAUUAGAGAAACACACACAAACAAACAUAUAGAUCACCAACUUGAGGUUUCUUCAACAUGUUGCCGUGCUCGUCCACAAAAAAUCCAAAUCCUGAAACACAGACAACAUGCCUCCAAAUUUUAGAACGCAACAAUUGGGUUAUAAAGUUAAAGUUCAAUUUAUCUUUCAACAAUUGGCUUACUGCCUUACCAUCUUGACCAAUGCACACCCCAUUGUGAAUGAUACAUGAAUCACCUAUAAUGCAGUUACUGAGUGCAACAUUAAACCUUUAGAAAGAAAACAUACAUAGUUAUAGCUACUAUCAAACACUAAAAGUUGACUGUAGAUGUCGUAAAUGAGUUAACUAAAAUACCCUAUAUUUGUUGAUUGACCGAUGGUAACAGCGGGACCAACAACAGUUCCUGAUCCAAUACACACAUUUGCACCCAGUACUGCUUUUGAAUGAACUAUAGCACCAACUUCAAUCAGCACAGUUGAAUCAAUACAAGCUGACUGGUGGAAGAUCCCACCUCCAUUAUGCCAUUUUUGAAAUUGUUGGCGGCUUUCUAUGUCUGAAACAUAUAAAAGCAUGUGCAAAGUACCAGUCAAGCAUUUCCUCGAACAUUUGGACGGCAGAAAUUGAACAGCGGAUUGUAUGAGUAUAACCACUAUAACACUCACCGGACUUAGUCGAAAAGAGAUUGCAAAAUCUACCAAAGUCUUGUUUAUAUGUCUUGGUGAGACGAUAAUAAUGGACAAAUCGUUUAACCGCCAUAAGCAGUUAAAAUAAAUGAAAGCAUGGAGUUUUAUUCUUUUUAACAAAAACCGUGGAGUUUUGGAAACGAAACGAGUUCUACAGACGUUCGCCAGUCACGCAGAGACAGCUGGCGUCAGCGAAUUGGAGGAAUAAGAUAGGGAAGAUCUAGAAGACUAAAUAUUUAUAUUUAGUCCUUAAUACAAAUAUUGGCAGUCCCAAACUUAUAUAAGGUUUAGUUGGGUUUAGACGACGACCAAAAAAAAAAAAUUUUUUUACGAUAUUGUCUACAAUUUAUCACACUAUUUUUUAAUUAUUACUUAGAAAUUAGUUAUGUAUUUAUUAUUACUUUAUAGUUAAUUAAUUUUUUAUUAUUCAUUGGUUACUUAAAAUUUAGUAAAUAUUUUUAUUUAUUUUAUUUAAUAGGAAAUGAUAUAGUUAAAUUUUUAUAUUUGUUUAUUAAAUUGAAGAGACCGUUAUUACCGAAUUGCAACAUAAAAUUCUUGUGAGGCUCUUGGGAUACAGCUCAGAGGAAAAUGAAACUCCGGUCAGCUAUGAGUAUAUGCCUAACAAAAGCCUCGAUGUCUUCCUCUUUGUUUUGUCUGUCGGACUCUGUAUUUUAAUUCUAGUACGCUACAUGUAGUAAGAAAGACAAAAGUACUUUAAUUGCUGGUUAUCAAAUUGUGCAAAUAAAAGUAGAACGUAUGGCUAUUUGCCUAAUUCGGCCUAAUUCUAGUUUUCUUUGCACAUUAUGUGCCUACGUCACUACUGGGCACCGUAGCAGUUGUACCACAAGUCUUUCCUCCCAUUAUUUUUCCCCUUCCUUGCCUUAAGCCACAGAGCAAGCCAUGGUAGCUAGUCAAGUUAAAUGCUGUGUUCAAAUUCGUUUUCAGACUCAACAAGGCGUGUUAAAUUGGACUGGAAAAGACGCUCAAGUAUUAUUAAUGAAAUUACAUGGGGUGGUCUUUUAUAUCCCCAUGAGAAUUUUCAACUCAAAAUUAUCUAAAAUUAUCUAUUGAGAUCUCAAAAUUAAGUUAGGAAUUUUUUGCCAAAUCAUGAGAUGAACCCUAAGAAAUCAGACUUUGGAAUGGCGAGGAUAUUCGGGGAAAAGUAAAGUGAAGCUAAUACGACCGACGGAGUUGUUGGACAUAGUAACUGCAUUUCACAACUAAUUGGUAAUUGCCUCUGCUUUGUCUGUUUUCGAAGAUUAACAUAGCUAACAGUACAUGGUUUGAACUUAUGACCAUGUUAUCGUGUGAUAAGAUUCAAGAGACUGAGGUCGUAUACGUCUUGUAGCUUUUGUAUGGCAUCCGAUCUUAUGUUGUUGUUCCAUUUUCAAACAGCGGAUACAUGGCCCCAGAGUAUGAUGUCUUCAGAUUUGGAAAAAGGAUAGUGGAUUUUAUCCAUCCAAAAAUGGUCUGAGCCUCCUUUCUUAUGUAUGUAACUCUCUUUCUUUCUUUCUGAAAAAUAAUUUCGAACGAUCGUUUCCCUAAUCUUGGUUUGUGACUUGUAUGGUCUAAAGGAGAAGCACUGGCGCUUAUGGGGCCAGUACUGAAGCAGUCGUGGGUUCAUGCUGGACUUUUGAAAUUUAUCCGUAUUGGAUUAUUGUGUGUUCAAGAUCGAAGACUCAGCAGACAGGCCCACCAUGUCUUCUGUGGUUAUUAUGUUAGCAAGCGGUUCGGUACCACUUCCUCAACCAACCCAACCUGCAGUUUCUGUUGGCCGAAUUGUCGCAAGGCCGGGUCAAUUCUCACCAGGCGCCGAAAUUUGCUCUGAUAAUGAUGUUACCCUUUCAAGCAUGUCACCCCGUUGACAAUUAAUUCCUAUUCAUUCACUUCGUUGAAGAUGAACACAGGGAAAACAAAGUGUUAAUUAGAAUUAGUUUGAAGUUCUGGCGAUAAUGCAACCACAAGAAAUUAUUAAUUAGUAACCUACGGCAGGUCCAGUAAUUGCUCUUGUUGAUCCCGUGCAAACAUUUUUUUUGCAAGAACUGUUGUCCACAGUCCACUGACAGGAGCAUAGCUGGUUAAUUGGUCUGAUUUCUUUUACCUUAUGUUUUAUUAAUCAUGUGUGUAAGUAUAUUGCAUCUCUUUAAGGGACCGAUUAAACCUAGACUCUACUGCAUAAAAAUGCAGAUAUUCAUUUCAACUAUUUUGUCUUCCCUUUUUCAGGAAAAGAAACUGAGUUGAAUUUAUGCAGCAAAAAAAUUUAUAAAAAUAUCUUUUUUUUAAAAAAAAAAAACCCAUUCAAAUGAAAAUUUUCUGGUUUUGUCCCGCUAGGAACAAUUAGCUAGAGAUUUCGUAUUCAAUUCAACUACUGCGUCUUCCCUUCUAAUAUUUUUCUCCAACAGUUGUGUCUUCCCUCUUCAUAUUUUCUCGUUGAAAGCAAGUAUGAGCUUAUUUUAUGCUGCACGUGGUUAUUGCUGUUUAUAUUAAAAAUUAUCUUGAAUGGCCGACGGAUUACGGAUUCGGUGAACGGGAGAAUUUUUCCAUCAGUGAAUGAUAUGUUAAUCCCCUAAAGCAAGCAAAGGAGCAGUCAACCCCCUACGCCAAGACACGCAAUGCCAAAAAUGGCAGUCAACCCUCCAUUUACAAUUUUGGUCAAGCUUGUGGGGGGAUACAGCAGAUGCUCUUUAAUUCAUGCAUUUUGAUUUAUUUAACUAUAUAUCUGUGUGAACCGAACGAGACGAAAAUCUUUUCCUGCCAACCCCAACUUGCAAGAACAUAGUAGAUUUUUGGUGCACGCGUCUUGGAUCGAUCAAAUAUACUUUAAUCUUAUUUAAUAUUUAUCACCAAAGACUAAUCUCUUUUUACUAAAGCAAAAGCUUAUAUGAAGGCAAAAUUUUGGUUUGUGCUUGAAAUUAAUGUUUGGAUCCUUACCAACAAGUGACAAGUUCUGAUUCUUCUCUUCAUUGAAUUUUGUAACAUAUGCUUCGUUUAUUUACUUUUAUUUAUGAAGCUUUCUUUUUUUUUUUUUAGUAUUUUGUAUAGUACAAAUAGGAUACGAUGAGUUAAAAGAAAUGCACACUUAAAGUUCAGCACCCAUAAAUUUUUUUAAAAAAAUACAUAAUUAAAAUCUAAUGCAGGAAAUCAAAGAAAAUAAAUUUUCAUAUAACUACAUAGGAUGCUCCCAAAAAAAAAAAAAAACUACAUAAGAAGAGUUGAGCCUUUCACCAUAAUGAUAAAAGAAAUAAAUGCAACCAACUCAAUCAGAGUGUUGUCAGCAACCUUUUUAAAUUUGAAACAACAUUUUUCUCAUUAAUUGAUUUGUAAAUAGGAAAAAAAAUACUACAAAACUUUUAAAACUUUAGUUGUUUGAUUGUUAAUGAAAAUUUUUAUUAAAAAUUAUAAAUUACUUUAAUAGGCAUAUUUUUUUAAAGUAUGUUCUGAAAGAAAUGAGAUAAGAUUAUCAAUUAAGUAAAAGAUAUUUUAAAUAUUUUAAUAUUUUAAAAAAAGUUUUCAAUCUCUAUUAGUAACCGUAAAAAAAUUGAAUUUUUAUAAUAGAGAAAAAGCCAGCUUAUUUAAUAUUAAAAAACUCUAAAAAAAAUAAUCAAACAACAAUAAGAAUUAAAUAAAUUAUAAAAUUAAAUAAAUACCUAUAAUCAUUAAAUAAGCACUAAAGUCAAUUUUAACAUGAAGAUAUAAAGUACCAGUACACUUUGACAAUUUGAUAAUUAGUGAUCUAUUUUAGUAAUUGUUUAGAUUCGUAUAUAAUUGUUUAGAAUCGUGUAUUGUGUGUUAGGAAAAGUUUGUCAAAAGUUUGUCAAAAGGAGUUUGGAAAUACUUUCUCCCAAAUGUGUGAAUGGUGGAGCCUUUCUUUUUAUCCGAAAUAAAAGUGGGAUGGGCACCUUUAUUAGACCCUAUUAACAAAGGUUUCUAUCACUCGCAUCCUCGUUGUUUGUGGAAAGAAAUUCAUAGACUGACAUAUUGGAAAUCUAUUACUUUUUAAGUCCUUCUUAAUUGUAUUUUAUAUCAUUCAAAUAGUUUUCAACAAUUAAGUUUACGAGCUUAUGGUCACAAAAAUUGAGUUUUAUAUUUUUUUUAUUACAUUUAUUCUUUUUAAAUUCUCUAUGGUUGAUACGAAAAUUUUAACAUGCUCUCAAAUAUAUAAGGUGAUAUAAUUUUUUGCUAACAAAAAACUUAAACUUUAAUAAUUAACAUGUAACUCAUUUGGAUACUAAAAGUAACUCAGAUUUGAUUAGAUGUUUGGAUUGUUAUGUUGUCAACUACGUUAAUGAUCAAACUUAGUGACGGACCCUGAAAUCGUAAUUAAAUAAAAUAUAAUUAAUGUGGACUGAAGGGACGUAUUUGUAAGGUUAUGGUCUCGGUUUUCAUUUUCACAAACAAUAAGGACUCCUAUAGGGGAGAGAAAACUUUUAAAAAAAAAAACAAAGAUGAGAGAAAUUUAUCCCUUUUCUCUAUCCAUCUACUCUCUCUUUACCUUUCUCUUCAUUAUUUCUCUCAGCUUUCUCUUGGCUUAAUAUUUUUCAAUAAUUAAUAAAGCAACAUUUCAUAAAGACUGCCACUUGAUAUGUGCAAGUGCGUUUGUUGUGUCCAACUUUCUUUAUUAACACAUUCAUUAUCCCAGACAAACCUAUUACUUUGGAUAAGUGCGAAGUAAACAUCUCUAUUGAAACGAAGCCAAAUCUUUGCUUCAGAGGACAAUGCCGAUCGUCAUUUUCUCUGCCUCAAAAACUAUUCACUUGCUUCACCUUCUUUCUUUUCUAUCCUUAGUUAUGUCACAGAGUCCUGAAAACAUGCCGUUUCACUGCUCACAACUUCCUAAUAAUGCUGCUUCAGACAAGUUUACAUCCAAUCUUCGGCGCUUAUUCGAAACUAUUUCUGAAGUGGCUGGCAAAGACGCCUACAAUAAAACCACUGAAGGGAGGUAUCCGGACAAAGUUUACGGUCUUCACCUCUGUAGAGGCGAUGUUAACAAUGAAUCAUGUCGCGAAUGCGUAGAUUUAGCAACUGACACCAUUCAGAAAGAUUGUGAUGGCACCAAAGAAGCAGUUAUAUGGUCUGAUAAGUGUACGGUACGUUAUUCUGAUAGAUCUUUCUCCCCUCACUCAGAGACAUCGCCAAGCAAUUGCUCGACCCACAGAGAGAACUCUACUGAUCCUGAAACGUUGAGAAAGAUUGUGGCCAAGUCAUUAAAGGAAGUAAUUCCCAUGGCAACUUUGAAUAACGAAUCUAAAUAUGCAACCCAUGUGGUUAACUUUUCCAGCAAGCAUAAGCUGUACAAUCUCGUGCAGUGCAUACCAGAGCUGUCAACGGAAGAUUGUCGUGCUUGCUUAACAAGUGCCGCCACUUCAAUUCUACGUUGUUACCAGGAUAAGAAGGGUGCCAGAUUUCUUAACCCGAGUUGUAAUAUAAGAUUCGAGCUGUACCCGUUCUUCACGUCCAACCCUCCACCUGCAGCCGGCCCUAACGGUGAGAUCAUUAUCUUGAGGUUCGCACAACACAUACUGUUGAGCUUUCUAUAACUUAGUAAAGAUUUCUCGUAAUUAUGAGGAAGAAAGUCUAGAAUAUAUAAAAAAAAUUUAAAUUUAAAUACACAUAUCAUAUAUACAUUAGUUAAUUGUAUUACCUCUAAUGUAUUAUAGGAUUUUUGAAUUGACGCCAAUUAAUUAAGACUUGUAAAAGUGCUCUUGUUUUCAUUAUAGAGUUCAGAUUUUUCAGUUAUAAAUCCACUUAAGGCGACUGUGGAAGCAGUUGGAACGGAAACUUUACAUGGUAGAACAUGAUUCAACUUCCAAUGUAGUAAAUUUUAUUCUUUUAAUUUAGUUUUUAUGUCAUACAAAAUCCCUCUUUCUGAAAUCCUCGUGGCAACAUAUAUUUUAUUGUAACCUUUUGUAUUUUUAUUUUUAAAACUGAACGGCAUAUAGUUACAACUUGUAAUCUUAUAAAUGUGUGACACCUAUUAAUAAAUUGUCUCGUGAGAUAUGUUGUUCAUUGACUUCAUUAUUAUGUGAUUAAAGGUUAUUUAAUUAAACAUUCACACUUUGUUGUGUCAUCCUCAUAAAUUUCACGACCAUUAAUUAGGUUGAAGUUCUAACAUUUUUAAUGUCAUCAUGAAUAAUUCCUAAUUAUUUUAGCCUGGAUUCCACCAAGUGGAAGGAACGCAAACAGAAUAUGGAUUGAAAUUGGCACUUCAGUAUCAGGGUCGAUUGUAAUAGUCGUGCUGUUCGUUUCUUUUCUUUGGCGUACGAGGCAAAGAAAUAAAAAAGAACAAGGUACAUAACGGUUUUAUUAUCGGUGAUGGUACGAAAGCGACAAUACUCUUGUUCUGUUCUUUGUAAAGUAAAUUCAUUGUGCUUGCAGAGGAGAGAGCAAUUAGUCGAGAGGCUCAAUUACUUGAAUUGGGAGAAAGUCAAAUUGGAAGCCAUUACUCGUAUAUUUUACGAGAAGAGAAGCAAGUGGAAUCCAAAGAGUUUCCUCUGUUCCCAUUUGACCUUACCGUGGAAGCUACACAACAUUUCUCCGAUGAAAACAAGCUUGGAGAAGGAGGCUUUGGCCCUGUUUAUAAGGUAAUCAUAAGGUUAUGAUUUAAUUUGUUUAAGAAAAUCUGCCAUUAUGUACAACGAGUUUAUUCAACUGUCAGUCAGGUGAGCUUCUUGUUUUAUGGUAACAAUUCAUUCUGGAAAUUUGCUUGCAGGGUGUAUUAGCGGAUGGCAAAGAAAUUGCGGUGAAGAGGCUCUCAAGAACAUCUGGGCAAGGCGUAGAAGAAUUCAUGAAUGAAGUUACUGUAAUUGCCAAAUUACAACAUAAGAAUCUUGUGAGACUCUUGGGAUGCUGCUUAAGGGGAAAUGAAUUGCUGCUCAUCUAUGAGUACAUGCCCAACAAAAGCCUUGAUUUUCUUCUCUUUGGUAUGCUACUCAAGCUUUCUAUUUUCCUUAAUUGCUAAUCGUUUACAAGCACACGACAAGGUAAGUAAACCAGUUAUAUAAUGUUCAAUUUAUUAUUAGAUUCAACAAGGAAUGUACAAUUGGAUUGGGAAAGACGCGUUUGCAUCAUUAAUGGAAUUGCACGAGGUCUCUUAUAUCUGCACGAGGAUUCUCGACUCAAAAUAAUUCAUCGCGACCUCAAAGCUAGCAAUAUUUUGCUAGAUCAUGACAUGAGCCCAAAGAUAUCAGAUUUUGGAAUGGCAAGAAUAUUUGGUGGAAAUCAAAAUGAAGCUAAUACAAAUAGAGUUGUCGGAACAUAGUAUGACACCUCUUGAAUUACUGUUUGAUUUUGUUUUGUUUCUUAUCAAAAACUAUUUUUUAUCACUUACAAAAGUUUCCUUCUUUUGGUCACCAUUGAAAAUUUUCAGUUUAAAUUAGAUACUGAAAUAUAAUAUAGCAUAAAAACUUCUCUAUACAUGUCAUUUAAUCUUAGAAAGUUCCAACUUCAACAGUGGAUAUAUGGCCCCAGAAUACGCCAUGGAAGGACUAUUCUCAGUUAAAUCAGAUGUCUUUAGCUUUGGAGUUCUUCUUCUAGAGAUAAUCAGUGGCAAAAAGAAUAGCAGCUUUUAUCUUUCUGAAGAAAGCCGAAGCCUCCUCGCGCAUGUAUGUAGCUGUCUCUACUAUUCUUUAUAAUUGAAAAGCCAAUUUUCUUAGACUCGCCUUAUUUAUGAACUGUGUAUCGUUAUUUCAGGCAUGGAAACUAUGGUGUGAAGGAAAUGCAUUAGAGCUCAUGGAUCCCGUGCUCAAGCAAUCGUUUAAUCCAGAUGAAGUGUUGAAAUGCAUUCAUAUCGGGCUGCUGUGCGUUCAAGCAGACCCGGAAGACAGACUAACCAUGUCUUCUGUGGUUGUUAUGUUGGCAAGUGAUACCGUUACGCUUCCUAAACCAACCCAACCUCCGUUUUCUUUCAGCCGAGUUGCUCUCAAGUUAACUCACUGCUCAUCUAAUAUUAGAGAUUGUUUUGAUGCUGAUUUAACCCUUUCAAAUGGUUCACCUCGUUGACGCUCUAUAUGUUGUUAAUAUACAUCAUUUUGAUUUCUACGUUUACAACACGUUGGCCAUGAUCGUUUGGCACUAAUAUCAUCUUUUGUUCGUCAUAUGGUUUCAUUUUCCACUGAAUAGGAAUCAUUGUUCCCCGCUAGAUUCAUUUUGGCUACCACAUAUAUAUCUGCCAUUCAUUCACUUCGUAUUUUAAAUACUUAGGGAAGCAGAAUGUUGGGAUCGAGCAAAGCACAUAUUGAUCAAUUAAUUUCAAAUGAUGAACGAAUCUUGACCUAAUCUAUUGAGGAAUUUGAGGCUUACAGUAUCAAUUGAAAACACAGAAAGAUCAAGAACUCCAAAGACUCGAACGAUGUCAAAUACUUGAGGUGGUUCACCCAAGAUGCUUACUUCCGCAUUGAAAUACGCACUCAAAACGCUUUAUUGAAUCAUGACGAUUAAAGUCCUUGAUCUCAUUACAGAGAACAAAACUCUCUGGACAACGUUCGCUAAAUUCGAGCAAAAUAAAGAGAAAAUGGUUUCUGUAAAAAUACAGGAGAAGCUGGAGCGGGUGGGGUUAUUCGCGAUUCUUUUGGCAACUGGAUCUCAGGUUUUAGUAUGAAUAUUGGGGAAAGCUCAGUGAUUAUGGCUGAACUUUGGGGCCUGUAUCAAGGAUUAUCCCUUGCCUGGAAUGUUGGCAUCAGACACCUCUUGGUGGAAGUAGACAACCUCUGUGUAACUCAUAUGAUCUCUCAGUAGGUGGCCGUGCCUAAUGUUUUCUAUGCUUUAGUGGUGGCAAUUCAUGAUUUUUUAAGUAGGAAUUGGUAGAUUUCUAUCUCUACUGCAUAGUUUACAUUUAUUUUCUAGCCCGCCUGUGGGUAUUUAUUCUAUUAUUUCGGAAGAUAUGUUUGGGGUUUGUCAACCCCGCUUUGUUCCUGUCUAGCUCGUAUUGAUGAGCCCCUUUUAAUUAAAAAAAAAAAGAGAAAAUUGCUUGUGGAGCACUAUUGGUCAAUGGAUGUGGAUCCAAUAAUGAAGUGACUUGAGCUCUUGUCAUGGGCAAAAUAUAUCGUUAAAAUUUAAUUAGUUUUAUAUUUUUAUCUAAUAACUAUCAAUUAUAAUUUUUUAUCAUGACCCCUCUUUUUUUAUAUCAGUUAUUCUGUUUGUAACUAUAUAACAAAUUUUAAUUUACUUCAGCGUAUAUGAUCAUCAUUAAUUAAUUAUUAGUCUGUUUAUACUUGGACAAAUUAAUUUUAAUGUGUGAUGCAUAUGUGGUCGUACAGGCAUCUACAAGACUCAUUUAUUUGAUCGCCCAAGCAUCAUAGUUUCGACAAUCGAAACAUCCAGAGCAGUCUUGAUGGACGACGACCUACUAACGAGAAAUUCUAAAAUACAUCUGUUGUACCAUAUCACCCAUACAACAAGUAAAUAAUGUCAUGAUAUAUGUGCAUUUAUUUUGUAAACUGUCAUGCAAGUGGUGAUUGUAUUAAACCCAAUUACACAUGUCAUGCAUGCAUUAAUUGGUUGUAAUACAACAGAUGUAUUCUAGAAUUAUUCGCUACUUACAAGUUGUUAUCCUAUAGCCAAGAAGAUAUUGGCUGGAAAUUAAUAUUUUUUAAAUGAAUUUGAAAUUAACAAUGCAAAAAUAAUAGUUUAACUCUAAGGACUACCAAAGGGAAACUCACGCCAUGUUAUUCUUGCAUUUUUAAUUUUCAAAUAAAUCUAAAAUAUUUCUUUCCUCGCUAGCACGAAAAAAACAGGUAAAGAUCCUUGAAGCGGAACUUAGUACUAGAAGGGCAAUGCAGAAAAGUGAUGAUCGAAUGACCAAGAUGAUGAUGCCAAAAAGUUGGAUGACUCGUGUCUUCUUUAGCCGAUCUGAAUGCUCCCUUACAUGUUGAAAUAUGGGCCACAAUAUAAUCACCGAAAAUUUUAGAGUACAUUAGAAAUAUUACACUUAAUUAACACAUACGUGACAUGUAUAGUUUAAUUAAUUAUAACUGUCAAUUACGUAGUGAUUUUUUAAAAUAAAUGUACACAUAAAAUAUUAUAUGCAUUAAUUAGAUAUAAUGCCUCUGAUAUACUUUAAAAUCUCUCCUACCUAUUUCAACAUCCAUUCGUGCCCCAAAAAGCCAAAGGUUAUCCAAUUCAAUUAAUUAUGUUAAUCCUUCCAAUUGACAACUUAUGAAGCACAAUAAUUACUGGUCUUAAACUGAACUAACGAUAAUGGAAUAUAAAAUUUUCGAUCUAAGUGUUAAAUUGAUAAUUACAUAUGUUUUUAAUUUCGUAAAGUCAAUUCAUAUUACAAAAAAUCAAUUAAUUACUGAAGCUGAACUCAACUUUGCGCAAGAAGGACAAGAGGGGAUUAUUAAAAAACGACCAUCUUUGUAGAAAGGACUGAGUCUUAAAGAAAUUAGACAAAUGAAAUAUCUUGCUAGGGUAUACCAUAUGCGGCUAGCAUGAUUAUGUAAAAUAGAAUUGUAUUAAUUUCUAUUUUACAAACAAAAUAAGAUGUAAUUUGCAACCCCCACCAAAAAAAAAAGAUGAUUAUAUAAAAGUUGAUGUUUAAUUGUGAUAUACUUAAUAUCUUGUAUCACUACUAUAUAUGUAAGGAGUUCUAGUGUAUAUAUUGUUGAUUGGGUUAGUUGCGGGUUAUAUGCUCCUGAAAUGACAAUCUUUAAAUAUUUUUAAAUUAUUUUAAGUUUCAACUUAUUCUCAAUUUUAUUAAAAAACAAGGAAAAAUAUGGGCGGAUUGAUGAAAAAUAUUUUAUCUUCUUUACAAAAUAUGAGAUAAGUUGAGAUUAUUUUUCAUCAAUCGACCCUCAUUUUUAUUUUAUCUGUUAAACAAAAUAGAAAUAAGUUAAAGCUUAAAAUAAAUUAGGGACAUUCUAACGAUUGUGGAGGCUAGUCCAAAAUUUACACUCGUUGAUUUAAACAAGAAACAUCGCGCUUCUUCAAUUUGCCAUUUUCGGAUUUUUAAGAGACGUUAACAGAUGCUAACAUCAAACAUGAGUUUAGUCACUUCAAUUAAAGCCUAAUAUUUAUCUUAACGGGUGUAUUUAAAAGGGGGUUUAUGAAAAUAAUAGAGGGGUGUCAGAAGCACCGCUCGGCCUUUUAAGUUUCAUUAAUUACAUUUUGGGAUUUGAUCUUGGGCCACCCACAUGAAAAGGACCCGAACUCCCAAAUCCAACACUUCAUAAGUCAUACUCGGUGAUAUACUGAUAUUUGGCUCUCUCAAAUAAUCUCACCAAUUCGUAAUUAUCACUUUUAUUUUAAUAUUCAUUUAAUGCUUGUAUGAAAUUACUGAAAAUGAUAAAUAGAUUUUAAGUGUUUACAUAAUUUCUAGACCCUUGGUUGAGAUUUUAUAGAUUAAAUGAUAUAGAUUUAUAUUAGUAAUCUAUAAUUAAUAUUUUCUUUUUACUUUUCUCUUUCUCUCAUCAUCUCCAUUCACCUUCUUGCUCGUUUUUGUAUCUCUUCUCUUCUAAUUACAACUUUCAUCUAAUCCUCUACGUCUGCCUUUCAUCUAUUAUGCUCAAAUUGCAAUCUAAGUGCAAGAAUAGAAUUAUAAUAAGGUGAAACAAAUAGAAUUUGUAGGGAUUGCACAGAAACACAUAUUUUAAUAAAUAGAAAAUUGUAAUUUUUUGUCUAUUAGUAUAUUGAAAGCUAUAUCUUCUUAUUUGUUAGUGACAUCCUCUUUAUAUAUACAUUACAUUUAAUUUUUAAUUAAUUCUGAAAUUUUUUUCAGAAUUAAUCAGAAAAUUAUGAGAAUUUCCUUAUUUUUUAAUUAUUUUAAAUUUAAUUUUUAAUUAAUUAUGAUUAGAAAUAUUUAAGUAAUUAAGUAAUUAAAAAUAUUCUCAAAUAUAAUAUAAUAUAUAUAUGUGUGUGUGUGUGAAAAAAUUGACACUCAAGAGAUUUUGACGGUAUUUGUAUUGGUUUCAGCAUUGACGAUGCGAACAAAAGAUGUGCGAGUGCGACUUUGAAUUGCAGAGGAAGAGGAUUAUUGCUGAAUUUGAUAGCCGUCGUAAAUGUUAAACAUGAUGAGAUUGAGAUCACUAAAAACUAUUAAAUAAUUGCUACUUAACAAUCUUGUUUUGAUUAUUAUUAAUAAUCACAACUAAUUUUCAAUUUGAUUGCAUAUAAUUAAAUAGUCAAACUGUAAAAAAGGAUGCCAAACAUCUUAUCCUACUGAGGACAAUUAAGGCAUAUGAACAUGGGAGUUGUGCUAUAUAUUCAAAUUUUAAUUCUAUAAUUUUACUCUAAAUAAUAUAGUAUUCAUUCACAAAUUGAUGAAAUAACAUAAUUAAUUUACUUAGAACUUAUUAAAAAUCAUCUACCACUUAAUAAAAGACAUAUUACUUACUACAUUAUUUGAGACAAAAUUUUAGAAUGUCUAUUCAAUUGAUAUGCAUGUAACAUAAUAUUUAUUGAUAAAGUAAUAUUGAAAAAUUAUUUAUUAAAAAGAAUAAUACUGUGUUUACUCUAUUAGAAUACUUAGUUUGUACAACAUUUCAUGUGUCAUCCAUGGAUUGAGUUAUAAUAUCUUAAUUAAAUCAAUUAAUACCAUACACAUCAUAUCACAAUAAAUAAUUAGCGCCACAUAAUAGUCAGAUACAAAUCUAAUAGUAUAUUAAUUAAUCAUAAUACUAUUGUGUUAAAAAUAUUGAGUGAUAAAGUCAAACAACCCUUGAUAUUUGUCAAUUUAUUAAUAAUAGAUGACAUAUUGUUCAAUAUACAAAUUAUGUAUCCUAACAAUAGGCCUACCCUGAGAAAAACAAAAUUUCAAUAAAGACAAGGAAUUUAAUUGAAAUUUUUCUAUUUUACGUUAUGGCCACUUAGACUUACAAUUUUUAUGUUAUGAUGGCUUCUCAAGUUUAUGGUUUCAUUAUGACAGAUAAUUACAAUAAACUACUUGAAUAAAAAAUUGUAAUUUAAAGGGAAAAGGAGACAAAAAAAAUUGAAUUAAAAAGUUUGUUGAUUGACAGAGAUUACGGUUGUAAAAUUCAUUAACCAUUGAGUUUUAAUAUUUGACUCUCAUUAUAUCUCACCGGCCCCGCUAAUCACUUUUAUACUAAUAUUUAUUUUAUCGUUAUAUAAAGUGACAUAAAAGAAGUAGAUAGUUUUUAAGUACACUGACAUGAUAAUUUCUAUUAAUGUUUAGUUUAGCCAAUCUAAUUUUUUAGAGUCUAAUUUCUUUUAACUUUUGAAAUUAUUAUCUCUUUUUAAAUAUUGUAUACUCUACUUUUGUAAUCAUGGAGAAAAUUAAUUUACAGUACUCUAUAGAGAAUGAGGAAGAAGUAUCGAAUCUUUCUUUUAUAUAAUUAUGGAGACGAUGGAUAAGACCUUUAAAAAGAAAGAAAUAGAUUAUAGUAAUUUUAAGAUCUUUUUUUAAUAGAUUUUAUAAGUUCCAUAUAGUGACUGCUUUGGAAAAAAUAUAAAAAUUAUAAUAAGAGUAAAUUUGGGAUUAAAUUGGGUAUAUUAAGAGAUAAAGAUUAGUUUAAAAUUUUUAAUAGAUUAACUAAAUAGCGAGAGUUGGUAAGAUAUAAUAAGGAGUCAAAUAUCACCACUCUUAACCAUUUUGAACUGCUAACUAAGAAAUUUUAAAAUACCUUCUUUUUUUUUAAUAAUAAGGAUAUAAAAGAAAAUAAUAAGAAUCAAAUUUCAUGAGUUUAUUCCUAAAAAAUUACUAAAAUCCUUGAAGUUUCUUGGUUUGUCUAAUAAAACGUUGAAUACAAAUUUGAACCAAAAGGUAUAAAAUGUGACGAUAAUUCAAAGAAUGUUGUUUGAAGGAUAAAAGUGGGAGCAUGAUUGGAUACAAUUAUGUGCAAAUCAUCCUCUCCUUGACACUAGAGUUGUAAACAAGCCUUCUUGAGUUGUGAUUCUAAGGAACUCAUAAACAAUCUGUUUAGGUCAUCACGUGGUAGGCAGGUCGCUUUGCAGGUGUGCUCGCACAAGGAUCUCGCGAGGAGAAACUCAAACAAAGUCAACUUGAAGACUCAAUCAAGAGUCAACUUGAGGAUUCUCUCCGAAAAAUCAGGGCAAGAUCCUGAUAGACUAACAACUACUCUCUCUUAUCUAGGAACAUGAGUCUCGGUCCUCUAUAAGAACCUAUGGAAAUUCAAAGUAGGUAAGUUUUUCUAUUUUCUUUGUCUAGACUCUUUCACUUUCUUUCUCUUCUCUCAUUUCAAUUUUUUUUUUCAGUUAAUUUGAAAUUUCGUUAAAAAAAGCUUUUUUUUUUUUUUGUUCAAAAGUAAUCAAAAUUAAGCCACAUGAGUUGUGGCAUAAGUUUUACCUAAAAGAAAUGAUUAUUGACUUGAGCAUCGGAGGGUUCACGCCGAAAAAAACAUUCAGCGUCCCCCUAACUAUUUAUGUGAAUGCAGGUCAGUUUCGUAGAAGUGCUUGUGGUCGCAAGAAUCUGCUCAAGCAAAGGAAGUGCAAGCCAAAGUUGUUCCCAUUAAUACAAAUUUAAGUGUUUGCGUGGACAUCUGGUUGCAACUCUUCCACCAACCAGAUUUCUGCAUCAACUAACAUUAUAAAAAAUGAAAAUUAACUAUAAGCUAUAUGCUUAAUUAAAAAAAAAUGAAGAUUAACAAUAAACUAUAUGCUUAAUUAAAAAUCAAAUUAGAUAACUGCAGUUUACCACUCACAUGUCGUACAUCAAAUGAAAACUCUUCAAAGUAAAAUAUAAUUAAAUGUUUGAUUUGAUCAAACGUUACCUGUUCCAUAAGACUUUAGUGAAAUUUUUGUAUAGAAGUAUAUAUGUAUAUAUAUAAAAUAUUUAUACUUGACUUGAUCAAAUGUUGCCUGUCUCAGCAGACUUUAGUAUAUAUAUUUCCUUGCUCAAUUUCUCAUCGACUGAAGUUUAAUUUUCGUCUCUACCUCUCAAUCAGCAUAUAAGGUUGUACUAGUAUAUAUAUAUAAUUACCACCUUGCUUUACUUUUACAGAAAGAAAUAUUCAGCCAAAUCGUGCUUUUCCGAUUUCAAAAUCCAGAAUGACGAUGCUAUUUUCGGCCUCAAUAAUAACUCUUCGUUUGUUUCUCUUGCUGGCCAUUCUAUCCCAUUCCCAUGUUAUAAUGUCACAGACUACGUUUGUUGACGAAAACAUGGUCCUGACUUGCCCUGCAUCAAUUAACAAUAUUAAUACUUCUUCCUACGCGUUCAUCCACAACGUCCAUAGCCUCUUCAACCGAAAGCUUCACUCUGAAGCCGGCAACUCCCUCUAUUACAGCGCCACAGAAGGCUAUUUUCCUGACACAGCUUUUGGUCUUUAUCUUUGUAAAUUCGACAUUACUUUCCAGUCCUGCCAAAGGUGCAUAGCUACAGCGGUUAAAGCCGUGAUGAAAAAAUGUAAUGGCACCAGGAAGGCAAUUAUAUGGUACCGAGAGUGCAUGGUUCGCUACUCCGACAAGUCUUUACCCAUCAUGGAUACUUCCACAGUUCUUUGCAUGUACAUAGUACGAAACUUUUCUGUACCGAGAAACGUUACUAGGAUCUUGGCUCAGUCCUUCAACGACGUAAUUGCCAUGCCAAGUUUAAGUUCUUUCCGAAAUGCAACCAAAGGGACUAACAUUUCCAACAUUAAUAGACUUGAAACUUUUGGGCAGUGUAUACCAGUGUUGUCAGUAGAUGACUGUCGAGAUUGCCUGAAUAAUACUAUUCGUUGGAUUCAAAAGUGCUUCGACCCGCCGGGAACGGGAUUCGGUAGAAUUCUUUUCCCAAGUUGUAUCAUGGGGUUCGAGCUGCACCCCUACUCCAAGGUACCUGCAGUAGGAGCUCUAGCACCCAGCUCUGCACCAGGUAACUACUCUGUUUGAUUUUAAUACAUUUAUAGGGCUAUUUUGACGUAGAUUUUCAACAAAAAUUUUGAGUCAUUGAUUUCAUACAAUUCAAUGGCAGAGAUGGUGGAUGAAUUGAGAUCAUUGCAAAAUAAGUGAUAAAAUUGAGACCUGUGUAGCUAGCCAUACAAAUCCUGAUCCUUAACUGCUUUUUUUUUUUAAUAUUGUUUUGCGUCUGGAAAGGAGGGAAGAGGAGAAGAGCAAUAAGUAUUGCAAUUGGCACAACUUUAUCAGCAAUUAUAGUAGUGCUGUUCGGUUCGUUUCUUUGGUACCGGCGGAGAAGGUAUGAACGAGGCCAAGGUAAAGAAUUUACUUGGCAUUAUAAAAGUUUUCUCGCUUCUACGUUCGUCUUUUCCCCGUUUCAAUUUAUAUUUAAAUCCAGUUAAUUGACUUGCAGAGGAGAAAAGAAACAGUCAAGAGGUUCAAUUUCAUCACUGGGAAGGAAGAAUUGGGAAUCAUUACUCCUAUGAUAUUUUACGAGGAGGGGAGCAGCAGGCGGAAUCUCAAGAAUUCCCUUUGUUCCCAUUAGGCCUUGCACUUGAAGCCACAAACCAUUUCUCCGAUGAAAAUAAGCUUGGACAAGGUGGAUUUGGCCCUGUGUACAAGGUAAUUGAUUAUACGGUGAUGGCUUCAAUUUUAUAAAUUAUAAGAAACUAAAUGUGUUCACUCAAAGAAUGCAAUAUUAUUACUGACCAAAUGCAAUCUUUCAUUCUUUGAAAUUUGAAUGACAUUUAUAGAUUAGGCACUUUGCUAGCUAUUUUGUUUUCAUUGGUAACGGCGGAUGGUUGCUUCCAGGGUACAUUAGCGGAUGGUAAGGCAAUUGCAGUGAAAAGGCUCUCAAGAACAUCUGGGCAAGGGCUAAAGGAGUUCAAGAACGAAGUUAAUUUGAUUGCCAAAUUACAACACAAAAACCUUGUGAGACUCUUGGGAUGCUGCUUAGAGGGACAGGAGCUGCUGCUCAUCUAUGAGUACAUGCCAAAUAAAAGCCUUGAUGUCCAUCUUUUUGGUUUGUCUCUCUCGCUCUCUAUUAAAUGCUAUCUAUUGUAUAUAUUGUAAGGCUCAUGCGCAUUUCCUAAUUGUAAACUGGCUGUUAAGUUGUGCAAAUAAAAUCAGAUAUUAUGGUAAGGAUUUCUUCUUAGUUCCAAACUUUAUCAAGCCCCUAGCUGGAAUUGCCCAUAUUUAUAUUAUGUUCCCUGUUUAUGUAACAUAACUACCUGCCGCACCACAUACAUAUAGCAAAUGUAACAAAUUUUUGGUGUUUUCUCCCUUCGCUUUCCCUUCCUUGCACCAGCAAUGGAGCUUGCGGACAAACUAAUCAAGUUACAUCUUGUGUUCAAUUCAUUGUUAGAUGCAACGAGGAGUGUACAGUUGGACUGGAAAAGGCGUCUAAGCAUCAUUAAUGGAAUAGCAAGAGGUAUAUUGUAUUUGCACGAGGAUUCUCGCCUCAAAAUUAUUCAUAGAGACCUCAAAGCUAGUAAUGUCUUACUAGAUGAUGAUAUGAACCCAAAAAUAUCAGACUUUGGAACAGCGAGGAUAUUUGGCGGAAAUCAAAAUCAAGCUAAUACAAAUAUAAUUGCUGGUACAUAGUAAGUGGCUUCUAUCCUAGAAGCUCAUUUUCCUUCCUGUUGGAAUUAAAAAAAAAAAAUUUAAUGUUCCCAUUUUUAAUCUCAAUUGCUCCUUUGUUUGUUCUUUUCUUACAUUUGUGUUGUCAAGCUUGGGGAAAAUUUAGUGUCUAAUAAAUCCGUUAUAAAGCUUGGUCUUUCUAUACGAGGAUUCUACUGAUGACAGUUAUAAAAUUAGAACAUCAAGAAUUAAGAAUAAGAAGUUGGUUCAACUGGUGGGAUGCUUCAAAAUAUCUGGGUUUGAAUUCUGCAUACGUUGGAGUUGGCAAUGUGUUUAUUUUAUAUUUAUGUAAUUUAAAAAAAGAAAAAAAAGAAAAACGGUCGUUUAGAAAUGCAAUUAUGCUUCUGCAAAGGAUUAAUCAUUAACCUAAGCUAAAGCUAUAAACCUGUCUUCUAUAACUUCUAAUCAAAUUUUUAUGAGGCUAACAAGCAAGUUUCCCAGACUUCAUUAAUUUUUCCAUAACUUUGAUCUUAUUUUGUUGUUCAAACAGUGGAUACAUGGCCCCAGAGUAUGCAAUGGGAGGCAUAUUUUCUAUUAAAUCUGAUGUUUUCAGUUUUGGAGUUCUUCUGCUAGAGAUAAUAAGUGGGAGAAAGAACAAUGGAUUUUAUUUUUCCGAACAUGGUCAAACCCUCCUUACUUACGUAUGUAACACACACACACACACACUCUCUCUCUCUCUUUUUCUUUUUAAAUAAUUCGAUAGCCUAAUCUUUGAUUUCGACCUUUUUAAUAUUCCAGACAUGGAAACUAUGGUGUGAAGGACAUGCAGUGGAGUUGAUAGACCCAGUACUAAAGCAGUCAUGUGCUCCAGAUGAACUGCUGAAAUUUAUUCAUAUUGGAUUGUUGUGCGUUCAGCAAGACCCCGCAGACAGACCUACCAUGUCAUCAGUGGUUGUUAUGUUGGCAAGUGAUUCCAUGACAAUUCCUCAACCAACCGAGCCUGCAUUUUCUGUAGGCCGAGUUGUUGCGAAUUCCGGUCACCUUUUAUCGUCUGCUAAAGUUGGUUCUGUUAAUAAUGUUACUGUUUCAGAUGUAUCCCCCCGGUGAUAAUGAUGAAGACACACUAACUUUUUUUCUUCAUCUCUUUUACUUGAAGAUUUAGGACACAUAUGUGUAAGUCAUGUUACUAACUGAUCACAUGAUUUUAAUUUAUCAGUUGUUCCUUGUUAAUAUUUAUACCUGCAAACUAGACUACUCUGUUCUAUCACAUCCCCAUUUAUACUCUUGAUUUACCCUGUCAAACUGCUGGAAAAAAUUGUGAUUAUAUGACAUUGAAGAAAUUUCUUUCAAUGUCAGGAAUUCAGAGAAAGUAUGCAAAAGCAAGAAAAUUUUCACAACCCAGUCAUUGGAAAUAGGUUUGGCAGCCAUGAUUUGUUAUACCAAACAGCUACCGCAAUUUUCUUAUCCAGCUGAUUGCUUCUUUUGUCUAUAACCCAAAAAUGUAUAGACCAACGUUGCAGUGAUAACUGGUAGGAAUCUGUUAUCUCAAAAUCUACCCUUUGUAUAGUCUCAGUGUGCAGUUGAAAUAUUCCGUCACAGAGACAUUUCAACACUUGAGAUUACGCAACUUAUUUCGUGUCAUUGUGCAGCGUGCAAAAGUUAUUUCUUUUGCGUGUCUGGGUUUGCAUUCUCUAUGGUUAUUCUUUGAAGCUCCUUUCCAUUUGCAUAUGGAUGGGCCUUGGAUUACAUGUUGAAGUUAACCACUUUGCAUUGCAGGUUUGCAACGGAGAUUCUACAUUGACCUCCUGCUUAUUAAAAGCCGCCUCUCAAGUUUAUUACAAUUAGUUUAUUGUCAUUGACGUGUCGAAAUGGCCAGCUAGUUUACUUUUGAUUUGUUUUCUUGCUAAUCUUUUUCUGUCGAUGCAUGCUUCAUAAGUUUAUGUAUCACUCCAGACAUCAAUUCAAUUCAGUCAGACUAAGUGGUUAUUUAUUAUAGUAACACUUUCCCAGAGACUACGCUCAAUUAGUCAAAGUCCUACCAAUUUUUUUUUUCCUCAGCUAUCUACGGGCUACAAUUUACUGUUUUACUCAUGCAAAAUUAAAAAUGUAAAUAUCCCCACUAACAGAGCCAGAGUAAUCGUGUGACUCGAAAUCUCUAGCCUUAUAUGCUUCACCAUAGAGUUACUAGAAAAUGACUAAUAUAUUUGUCCACUGAGAAUUCUUCCAAGAAAAUACCAUGAACGAAGUGGUUGAAGCACCAUAAAUAGCUAGCCCAAGAACUGUGUUAGCUGCAUAAUAGAGAACACUUUUCAUUAUUGCACAGUGGUUCCAAAAGGCAAGAUAUGGCUCAUAUCAUCAGUGUUUCAAAAGUCAUUCAAUUAAUUUUCAUUUAUUCUCUCACAGCCACUCCUCAUGAUCUUGCUUUUGGCGAUAGCCCUCCCUAUAACACUUGUUCAAGCAGUGCCGCUGAUUAUGGACAUGCUGGUCCAAUCUAUAGAAACCUGAAAAAAGUCGUCAUUUCUUUAGCCUUGAAUGCUUCUGCUGCCAAGUUUUCCGAUGCGUCUUCAGGGAAUGACUCAGAUAGAGUUUAUGGUCUCUACACGUGCCUCAACUAUAUUUCAAAUGACACUUGCAACAACUGCAUAACCACAGCAACACAAGACAUCACCAAACUUUGUCCAAACAAAACCGACGCAAUCGUGUGGGAAGAGGUCUGUCAGUUGCGCUAUGCUUACGGAAAUUUCUUUGGCCAAUUGGAUGUCUCAGGAAACAUUCCUAAAUACAACAGAAAAAAUAUAUCAGAACCCGAGAGGUAUAGAUCUGUUGUGAACAACACUCUGAAUAAUCUCACCAAACUGGCAGCUUUUGAUCCUUCAAACGAAAUGUAUGCAACUGGUGAAGUACCCUUCACAAAUUCCGACACUUUAUAUGCUCUAGUUCAAUGCACCAAAGAUCUAUCUGCCGAUGAUUGUGAUGCAUGCCUCAACAAAGCUAUAGCAGAUAUUUUAUCUUGCUGCUAUUUUUCAAGAGGAGCACGACUUCUCAGUCGUAGCUGCUAUUUGAGGUAUGAAUUAUAUGCCUUUUAUAACGGUAACACAGAAGCUUCUGUCUCAGUUGGAAACCAAGCAUCAGGGAAAGGUAAGUAGUGCAAUUUCACCAUAAGAAUUAAUUUCUUAAUCCAUGUGGUGUUUGAAGAAUGGAACUUAAUGUAGUAUUCUGUUCGUGGUAUCAAAUAUAUGCAGGCAACCAAAGGAAGAUGUGGAUGAUUAUAAUUCUAGCCGCUGUAGCAGCUUUUCUACUGCUAGUUGUUGCUUCCACUUGCUACUUCUUUGCUGCAAAAAAGGUAGCCCGGAAAAGUAAAGAUUUUAUCAGAAAGUUUUCAAGCUAUUUUCUGUUCUGGCAUCAUCUGUUUUCACCCUUUUUUCUUUUUCUUUUAAUUUUAUCUCUUCAAAUUUUGCCUUCGUGUGUUAGGGAAGGGUAUGGUAAGAAAGCAGAUUCAAUUACAUAAAAUUGGGGACGCAAGCAAAACAGGCCUCCAUUAUCAACAUGUUUUGGGGAGGGAUGAUGAUCUAAAAGCUCAGGACUUUUAUAUUGAUCUGGAAACAUUACAUGUAGCAAGCAAUAACUUUUCCGAUUCGAAUAUGCUAGGACAAGGUGGUUUUGGUCCUGUUUACAAGGUAUUAUUAUUAUUUAAAAAAUAAAAAUAAAAAGUCAUCCAUUAAUAUGUUUUAAAAAUAAGAAAUAAAAAUUAUCAGGGUGUAUUAAGUGACGGCAAGGAAGUAGCAGUGGAGAGGCUCUCCAGCUGUUCUGAGCAGGGCAAUGCAGAAUUCACAAAUGAAGUGCUCCUUAUAUUGAAGCUACAGCACAAAAAUCUCGUCAAGCUUCUAGGUUUUUGUGUUGACGGAGACGAAAAGCUGCUUGUCUACGAAUUUAUGCCAAACAGCAGCCUUGAUGCGAUCCUUUUUGGUAUGCGCUUUUCUUUUUCAUUUAUUAUUGUCCCUUUGAAUUCUCAGAACAUCGAUUUAUUCCUCUUUCUGGCACUCUUAAUUUUAGAUCCAAGGAAACGUGGGCUACUGUGUUGGAGCAAACGUAUUACUAUUGUAAAUGGAAUUGCCAAGGGAAUUCUUUACGUUCAUGAGGAUUCUCGACUUAGAAUCAUUCACAGGGACCUAAAAGCUAGCAAUGUGUUGUUAGACUAUGACAUGAACCCCAAGAUCUCAGAUUUUGGAAUGGCAAGGAUAUUCGCCGGAAGUGAAGGUGAAGUUAAUACUGCCAGAAUAGUCGGAACAUAGUAAGUAAAACCUAUUUACUUAUAGCUCAAAUAUGCUAUUCUCAAUUAAUAAUAAAGAUUUUAUUUUUCUUUUUGGUAAAUAGUGGAUAUAUGGCUCCUGAAUAUGCAAUGGAGGGAUUAUAUUCCAUAAAGUCUGAUGUUUUUAGCUUUGGAGUACUCUUGAUUGAGAUUAUAACUGGAAGGAGAAACACAGGCUUCAAUCAAUCAAGAGGCGCGACUGCCCCGAACCUCCUAGCCUAUGUAAAUCUGUCUACAAUAAAGAACGUGCAUUUUAUUUCGGGAAUUUAUAUUUAGUACUGCAAAAUUUUUAAUCCACUUUAAUGAUGAUGCAGGCAUGGCAUCUCUGGAAUGAAGGGAACGCAUUGGAUCUGAUUGAUCCACUGUUGACCGAUACAUGUUCUCCAGAUGAAUUUUUAAGAUACAUUCAUAUUGGUUUGUUGUGUGUUUAAGAGGAUGCAUUUGACAGGCCUACCAUGUCAUCCGUUGUUGUAAUGUUACAGGGUGAAACCAUUACUCUUUGCCAGCCUCAAAAACCUGCCUUCUCUUUUGGAAGAGUUACGGAUGAUGAUGAUAACAAUUAUUGCUCUGUCAAUGGUUUAACAAUUUCUGAUCUUUCGCCUCGGUGAUUCAGGCAAUGAAUGAGUUUGAAUGUGCACUGGGCUGAUGCCUUUCUUGUCAUACAUAGUGUUAUAUCCCCACUUCGCUUGUAUUUCAACCAAAGGGUAUGUGGAUUUUACAAAUGUAAUAAUUAAUCUGUGAGUCCGUAUUUGGGAUAAACAGCAAAGAGUGAAAGAGCGACUCGCACUCUCGGAUUGUAAAAUAACGAUAUAUAUAUAUAUAUAUAUUGAUCUUAUUAUCUAGUCUAUUUAAUUAUUCUUUUAUACAAACCGGCCACAGUACCUUUCCAUUCAUACCUUCAAAGGUUUCAUGAGACGAAUCAGAAUAUUGAAAAUAGGGGAGUCAGAGUCAUCUAGUGGCUGAUUAUGUUCUAUAAGAGAGUAGACUUUUGACAAUGAUCUAUUAAUUUUGUUCUUCAUACUAGCUAAUGAGAUUAUCUAAUCAAAAUAUUAUAAGAGGUCAAGCUAGUGAGCAGCCUCUUGUAUGUUAAUUUGUCCCAACUCUUAAAUCAACGACCAAAGCAAGUAUAUCAUCAGCAUCAAUAUCUAAUUAUAUAUUUAGGGUUAGAAAAUAUUUGCAGUGGUCCAGUACAGUAGUUGAACAUUUUUAAAAAUACUAUAUCUAACCCAAAAGCCAGAGUAGUUAUACAUAUUUAUUAACUUUUAUUUUAUAACAAAUAUCUUGCAAUAUUGAUUAAACUGAAGUUUAUCCUAACAGGUUUUUAUCCAACUAGAACAGGCUUUUUUAAUGAAUAGUUGUAAAACUCUAGAAUAACAAUUGAAAUAGGGUGAUUCAUGUAGUUUAUCUAUUGUAUCUUGAAUUUAGGGAAAGAUUAUCGAAUCUGAAGCCCAAGCCUAAGAAACGACACAUUUGAAAGCAGCAGACAAUAGCGGUGUCCUAAAAUUGAUGUGUAUUAUCAUUUGAGCUAAUAAAAACAAAAUAUGCUCAUUUUUAGUGUUUGAAAGAGUGGUAGCAUGAAUUUACCUCUAUUUUUAUUCAACAGAAGAGAGGAUUUUUUUAUUUUUUUAUUUUUGGCUCUUCUUGACAUUAAAUGGAGGUAAAUUAAUAUUUUCACACCUUUAGGAAAAAAAAAUUAAAAUUGAAUGACAUUUUAAGUAAGAGAUGAAUUAAAUUUUACCCUAACAUCAACCAUAAAAGGCCUUUGAAUUAAUGAAACAAAAAGUCAAUGGACCACCUAGUUCUUAUCCAGUCGUGCCGAUUAUUACAAUUGUUUUCCGACGACAGCAACAUUCUAAUCUGUUGAAAACUUGAAAUGGACGGAAGAGAUAAUCUUAAAACAUAUAAAAUUGAAAAUAAACAAUUCGUAAAAUAUUGCUCGAAAAGGACAACUACAAGUAAAUUUCUGACCCGUUUCAUUUUAAGGUAGUAUCGUAUUCUAAUUCCCAAUCCGAUUCUGGCUUUAAUCCUACAAGGCGAAGAUUUUCCAGUAAUAACAAAAUUAAGGAACUGGACAAGGUGAACAUGGGCCAAAACUUACAUGGAAAAUUCAAAUGUUAUUCAUAGUCGAGAAAGUCUUGGGUGUCAACCUUGGAAAUGGAUCCCCUAUGUUGGCGAACCCGAUUAGUUGGAAAUUUCUGAGAUAAAGAUAAAAAGAUAAAAAGAAGAGAGGAUAACAGCAAAUGAAAAUAACGUAAGGGGAUUGUGAUAUAUUUGUUGAUGCGAGAUUCUGGUUACCCUCUCGACCACGACCAGGAUCUCUCCUCAACCAACUCUACCACGAAUAGGAUCUCUCCUCGUAAGGAUUCUUCUCCAGAAGUUCCUGCGUACGCAAAAACAGGUCAGAGCACGCCGGUUAUUUUCCCGGCGUAAACCCUCCGACGCUCAAGUCAGAAAUGAAGGUUUUGUGUUCCUGAGAACGUUAGCCACAAAUCUUAUGGCUUAUUUCUGGUGUCGAGUAUUGAGUGCUCUCUCUAUCUUAGUUUCAAUGUCAAAAAUUCUAACCCUUUUACCUUCGCUGGCUACCUUUUUAUAGGCUUCUCCUGAAUUCAGACCUUCCCUCCAUUCACGCCCGUUAUCCUCCCACCUCUCGAAAGUGGAUGCUCCAUUUCUGCAAUCGUGGGUGGUUGCAUGGCCUUCGUGCCUUGAUUCUCGGGUUGGAGAGCACGUCUCGCCAACUGUCGUUGACCGGGUCUCCUCGACUCAAGCUUUAGCAGGAAUGACUUUAUGCUUCUAACAGGAGAUCGGCCUUGCGGAUGGCGUAUUCGUGGACAAGCAGAAUAUUCAUGCUCCUGCUCCCAUGCUAUCAGACUCUUAUGGCUUAUUUCUGGUGUAGAGUAUUGAGUGUUCUCUCUAUCUUAGUUUCAAUGUCAAAAAUUCUAACCCUUUUACCUUCGCUGGCUACCUUUUUAUAGGCUUCUCCUGAAUUCAGACCUUCCCUCCAUUCACGCCCGUUAUCCUCCCACCUCUUGAAAGUGGAUGCUCCAUUUCUGCAAUCGUGGGUGGUUGUAUGGCCUUCGUGCCUUGAUUCUCGGGUUGGAGAGCACGUCUCGCCAACUGUCGUUGACCGGGUCUCCUCGACUCAAGCUUUAGCAGGAAUGGCUUUAUGCUUCUAACAGGAGAUCGGCCUUGCGGAUGGCGUAUUCGUGGACAAGCAGAAUAUUCCUGCUCCUGCUCCCAUGCUAUCAGACUCUUAUAAGAUAUACCUGCUCGCGGGACCCUGCCACCAGAUGUCUGCUCAUCACUGCUGGUCUUCGUCGAAGCACAUCCCCCAAACACCGGUCCUUCAGUUUCUGGUGUUGGGUAACAUAGUGAGCCGACAGUAGAAACUCGACAGUUCUUGCUCGCGCGGGAUAGGAAAAGGCUGCCAAGAGUCGUGUCGCAUUUAAUUGCGGACGAGGUGAUGUGGCAGAAAUCUACCCCUUUAUUUGAAUUUCAAAUCGACGGUUACGAAUCUCUUGGGAUUUAUGCCAUUAAAUGCUAGCAACCCAAGAGUUUGUUCCUCAUUAAGAAAACCCAAAACUCCCAAAAGAGAAACUCAUCAUUUACUCUGUUUCUAUCUCUCCGGCGAAUGAGUCCUUCCUCCCCCUCGGCGUAAAAGCUUCCUUCCUUGUCUCUCUCCGACUAAGUCACAACUUCAGGUAUUAUUUCUUUUUUCCUCGGUCGCGAAUAGUUAUAGACAAUUUCUUUUACGUUUUGCUUAGGUAGUGUUUGGUGAUGCAGUUCUGGUUAUAGUUUAGGGAAUGUCAAAAGGUAAAGAGAAGGUCGUUGAGAUUGAUGACGACGAGUUAAACUUCUUGCCUAGUCUGCUCGCCGAUUCUACUUUUGACCCCGGGAUCCCCUUAGAACCCAUUAGACCUAGUGUUGGAACUAGUGCUAGGAGGAUGUCCCCCCAAACAAUCUCCUCAACCGGUAAUAGCGAUGACGAAGGUUCUUUUGGUUCGGAAGACACCUUGAGUGAAGGCCAGGAGGAUGAUUCUAGUGAAAUGUCCCCACCAAGAACAUCGCGACCAGAUAGGAAGAGCACAGUAGGGGGUAGAGCUCUAUCACAACAUUAUGCUAUUGAUUUUAUAACGUGCACGACCACAGUAGAUGAGCUAGUUAAUCUCCGGGCUAGAUACGACAUUCCUGAUGAAAUUCCCCUCAAGAUCCUAGGAAAAAAUGAUACUCCUAGCCGACCUCCUAGGAGGUAUGUUACUUUAUUUUUAGAAAGUUUCAAACUUGGACUAAGGUGCCUCAUUCAGCCCUACUUUGCCCGGAUACUCAAUGGGUUGAAUUUAGCUCCUGAUCAACUGAACCCCAAUGGGUGGCGGGUACUUUCUGGUCUGUUCAUAUUGUGGGAUAGAUGUUGCCAAAGCGAGCCCACAGUUGAUGAGGUGAAGCACCUGUACCAGCUAAAGAGCAGCCCCAAAGACGCCGGCUGGUACUAUUUCCAAUCUAGUACCAAGACCAGGAAACCCAUAACUGAUCUUCCAACUGGUGGUGGUGGGACUUGGAAGAAAAAAUUCUUUUUUGCUGGGGGUCCCUGGGGUCAAAUUGCACAGAUUGACGGGAAGGAUUACCACGUCCUACCCCGUUUCAUGGUCCCAGGUUGCCUGCUCGCUUCAGAUGUCUUGUCUCCAUAGUCAUUCUUAUUUUGCUGAUUUGUCUUUAAUCCAAUAUCUGCUCGAAUUUCAGGUUCUUAGGGUGUGCACUACUCGCUUCAACCCGGGCCACUCAAGCGGGUCGAGGCUGUAUUGGCCAAUUCCUGUUCGCACCGAGAGUUGCUAACAACCUACAACUUGCUCGAAUCUCGCUUGGUGUCCACUGACUCUGGGAUGGAGGACGCUGUGAUCGAGGCUCUGAAUCGGAAACGUUCUCGUCCUCAUACUGCUAAGCAGGACCAGAAUAAGGACGCUCCCACUGCGAAGCGGGUGAACAAUGUGCAGCAGGUGUUGUGCAAAUUUUAAUGUACUCGCAAGCGCACGAAUCUAUUGUAGUAUAGAUCAAUGGUGAUGAGUGUCUAUCCCACGAAGAGGUGGAUUUUAAUUGUGUGUAGAAUUAAUUUUGUAAAUGGGUGAUUGGAUUUAUGGUGGAAAUAAUUUGGAAUAUGCUAAAACUUAAAUUAAAACGGCGAGAAUAAAUUCUAAAAUUGGAAUUGAAAUGGCAAGAAUAAAUUGAAGGGAAUUCUAUUGAAAUGACGUAUGUUGAGACUUCACCUUCAACCCAAGCUUGAAAGAAAAUUAGCUACACAUAAUUGAACUAGGGGCAAAAUGAAAAUUUAUUAAAAUACGUAAAAACUACAAGAUGGAGAAGGAAUUACAGAAAAUGGAUCCCAAAAAUGGAUUCAGAGAUAUCAAAUUAGGAGGGGAGGCCCCCUUUUUAUAGAUACAUGGAGUAAAUCAUGGCCAUCGGAUUAAAAACAGUUUGGACGCUUAGGAUUGCGCUACGUCAUCAGUCAACAGUAUGCGGUUUAACCACGCAGAUGAACAGUAACACGGUUUGACCGGGGUUGAACAGUAAUGCAGUUUGAUUGAAAAUAAUCCUGUGUGAUGCAUGCACCGUACACGAGAUUUUUCGUCCAUUGAUAUGCUGCCACGUCACCAUCAACAAUUCAUAAGAAUUUAGUCCAACAGGAUCGUGACACCUCAUCAGUCAAUGCCACAUCAUCGGUCAAUGCCACGUCAUCGAUCCGUCUAUGUGAAUAGUAUCAUGAACAGUAACGUAGACAGUACCGUACACGUGAAUAGUACCGUACAUGUGAAUAGUGCCAUUUUUUCCUUUUAUGCUCCUCCUAAGGUUUUCGACCGUCCUAAGUUCAAAAGUGAUGUCCGUUUUACCGUCUGAUCUCUCCUUUAUUGUGAAAUGACUAUAAUGCCCCUAAAAUACAUAAAAUACUUAAUUAAAAUAAAACAUACGUAAUUAAAUCACAAGAAGGUUAAAUACAUAAAAGUAAGGGUUGUUAAUAAGACUUGAAAUGUAAAAUGAGGGUUUUCUCCUUUAUAAAUAUGCAUUUUCUAACACUUAACAGUAGGUUCCUCUCUUGAAGACCCUACCACCUCCUCCUGCCAAAGUCGGGGAAACUAGCGGAGCAGCCACUGAUCCCGCUUCCUCUUCUCCUCCAGUCGGGCCGAGAUCUAGUUCAUCUGACAGUCGAGCAGAACACUUGGUCCCCUAUAUCAACGAGUUCUCUAAACUCGUGAGCAAGAGGGACCUGGAGGACUUUGACGGCAACACAUUUGGUGAGCUGGUGGGGGCCAUGCAGUAUAGUGCUUUCCAUCUCGGCUGCAUGGCCACUUACUAUAAGGCCAAGGUUGGCCGUUACGACCGGAAGAUGAAGGAGGACAUUCAAUCGGCGAUGACCAGAGCUGACGCUGCCGAGAAGAAAGCAGGAGACAUGAAUCUUGAGAAUCUGUAGUUGAUAGAGCGAGAAUCUCUUACUCAAGCAAAGGCCAUUACUCUCAAGGAAGAGCUGACUAAGGUCAAGGAGGAUUUGCAAAGGCAGAAGGUUAUGUACGAGGCUCAGAUCGAUUCUCUUUGCGAUUUCCAUCGAGUUCAGGUCGAGAACUUGGAGAAGGAAGCUGAGAACCAAUACGACCAGGGACUUCAGCAUUCCUAACGUUACAUCAUGGCCGUCCUUGAGAAGCAGCACCCUGAUAUGAAGAUAGAUGACCUUAUAGCUGGUGUUACUCAACACAUGGACGAGGAGGCAGCAAAAGAGGAUGCCGAGGAGGUAGAGCCAAUUGCGGUUGAAGAGAAAAACUCUCCUUCUUGUGCAAUCCCUACUGAUGUUGGUAAGGCGAGUACCCCCCCGGACGCAACUGGUGAUACCCCCUGCACCCGAGGUGGACCAGCCAACCGAGGCUACUCGGCUUACUAACCCGCCGUCCUCUUGAAUAUAUCUUGUGUUAUAAUGAACGUUGUAUGUGAAGGUUAUCAGCCUUGCAAGUUAUUGACAGAUUAAUAAAAAUAUUUUUAAUUGCUUUCUUGUGUUGUAGUUGCAAGUUAUUUUUCGUUUGAGAGACUACUCGCCUUCGCUUGGUCGGGCAGAUCCUGGCAUACUUGGCUUCUGGUCUCGCCAUAAGACAGGCUUUGAGACUUAGUCUUUGUAUGCCUUAGAAAAAUUUCCAAUGCUUGGGAUUCUGCUCGCCUUCGCUUGGUCGAACAAAUCCUGGCAUGCUUAGCUUAUGAUCUUGCCAUAAACAGGCUUUGAGACUUGGUGAGCCUUUGCAUGCCUUAGAAACUUUUUCAAUGCUUGGGAUUCUGCUUGCCUUCGCUUGGUCGAGCAGAUCCUGGCAUGAUUGGCUUCUAGUCUCGCCAUAAACAGGCUUUGAGACUUGGUGAGCCUUUGCAUGCCUUAGAAACUUUUUCAAUGCUUGGGAUUCUGCUCGCCUUCGCUUGGUUGAGCAGAUCCUGCCAUGCUUGGCUUCUGGUCUCGCCAUAAACAUGCUUUGAGAUUUGGUGAGCCUUUGCAUGCCUUAGAAACUUUUUCAAUGCUUGGGAUUCUGCUCGCCUUCGCUUGGUCGAGCAGAUCCUAGCAUGCUUGGCUUCUGGUCUCGCCAUAAGACAGGCUUUGAGACUUGGUGAGCCUUUGCAUACCUUGGAUCUUUUUCAAUGCUUGGGAUUAUGCUCGCCUUUGCUUGGUCGAGCAGAUCCUGGCAUGCUUGGCUUAUAGUCUCGCCAUAAACAGGCUUUGAGACUUGGUGAGCCUUUGCACGCCUUAGAAACUUUUUCAAUGCUUGGGAUUCUGCUCGCCUUCGCUUGGUCGAGCAGAUCCUGGCAUGUUUGGCUUCUGGUCUCGCCAUAAGACAUGCUUUGAGACUUAGUGAGCCUUUGCAUGCCUUGGAUAUUUUUUGCACAAUUACAAGUGAAUGAAAUUCCUCGACGUUUCAUUAAUUGCAUAAUUCAACUUAAAUAAGAAUGCACAGCAACGAGAACAAAUUGAAUUAAUUUUAAAACAUGAGCAAGUCUUAUUGGAAAUAUUUCCUGAGGUGCGCUGCUUUCCAUGGGUGUUUCACCUCGUGGCCAUCCGUGCGAACAAGCUUGUAAGCUCCGGGUCCCACUAUCUGCUUGACCCUGUAUGGCCCCUCCCAAUUCGGUCCAAGCACUCCUUGAGUCGAGUCUUUAGUGUUCUUAUUCACUCUCUUUAGCACUCAAUCUCCGGCCUUGAACUGCCGUACAUUCACCUUUUGGUUAUAAUACCGAGCGACCCUCUGCUGGUAAAUGGCUGAUCGUUUCGAUGCUUGCUCCCACUUCUCAGUUAGCAAAUCCAGAUUCAGGCACAUCUGCUCGUUGUUCUCCUGCUCAUUAAAAUGAUCUGUCCGGUGCGUGGUUGUUCCUAUCUCGGCUGGUACGACCGCUUCAUGUCCAAAAGCCAAGGUGAACGGUGUUUUCCCAGUUACUGUUUUGUGGGUUGUUCAGUAUGCCCAUAAAACACCUGAUAGCUUAUCAACCCAUGCACCUUUUUUUGCUCCAAGCCUGGUUUUUAAAAGCCUCUUGAUCGUCUUGAUGGCUGCUUCUACUUGUCCAUUAGACUGAGGGUGAGCAGACGAGUAAUACUUCAACUCUAUCCCGAGGUUCUGGCAGAAAUCCCUGAAGCUGUGAUUAUCGAACUGCCUGCCAUUAUCCGUUAUCAAGGCAUAAGGGAUCCCUUACCGACAGACCAGGUUUCUCCAUACGAAGUCUGUUGUCUUCUUCUCUGUGAUCCUGCUGAGGGCUUCUACUUCUAUCCACUUCAUGAAGUAGUCUAUUGCUACUAUUGCAUGCGUUGCUGCUCCUCGUCCCCUUGGCAACGGCCCGAUCAAAUCAAUUCCCCAUUGAGCGAAUAGCCAAGGGGAGGCCAUAGAGGUGAGCUUCUCUGGUGGUUGGUUGGAGAAACUUACAAAACUCUGGCAACUUAUGCAGCUCCUGGUCUUCUCCUGCGCAUCUUGGUGCAUUGUCGGCCAGAAAUAUCCAUGUCUUAGAACCUUGUGGGCAAGGGACCUCCUACCAGAGUGGUUUCCACAAAUUCCUUCAUGUACUUCUCUCAGUACGUAGUCUGUAUCAUCCUCAUCCAAGCACCGAAGGAACGGUAGCUUAUAUCAUUGCCGAUAUAGCACCCCAUCAAUCAUUGUGUACCUUGAAGCCUGGGCUCUGAUCUUCCGAGCUCGUAGCUUAUCUGGUGGUAAUACCCCGUCUCUAAUGUAUGAAGUUAUCGGAUCCAUCCACGAGCAUUUUGUUCUAUCUGCAUCACCUCUAAAUUCUGCUCGAUGCUAGGGUUGGUUUUCACUUCCAAAAUGAUCGACUUAGGCAUUUUCGGGUCUGCUACAGCUGCCAUCCUGGCCAGAAUAUCUGCUCGACUAUUCUGCUCCCUCGGAAUUUGUAUCACCUCAACCACUUCGAACUUCCCCAUCAUCUGCCUGAAUUUCUUCAGGUAUUGCUCCAUCUUCUCAUCUCUCGGUUGAAAUCUUUCACUGACAUGAUUUACAACCAGCUGGGAAUCAGUUCUGAUCUUCACCUUAUCUGCUUUCACUGCCUUAGCCAAUUCCAAACCUGCUAUCAAGACUUCGUAUUCUGCCUUGUUAUUCGUGGCUGUGAACUCUAACUUUACAACAUAAAAGAUCUCCUCCCCCUCUGGACUUUCCAAGACAAUCCCUGCUCCAGACCUCUGCUCCCCUGAGGAUCCAUCCACUCACAUCUGCCAUACCCGAUCUUCAUUGUUGACCGUUGCAGCAUCAUGUGGGUCAAACCCAACUUCGGGCUUUGUGAAUUCUGCUACGAAAUCGGCCAUUACUUGGGCCUUUAUUGUUGCUCGGGGUUUGUAGUCUAUGUCGAACUCACUCAACUCUAUAGCCCACUUCACGAGCCGACCAGAAGCAUCCGACUUGUAUAGAGUUUGUCGUAGUGGCUGGUUUAUUAUUAUCGAGAUAGGGAAUGCUUGAAAGUACGGCCUCAGCUUUCGAGCAGCAACCACAAGGGCGAGUGCCCAUUUCUCCAACGGUGCGUAUCUGGUCUCGGUGUCGAGCAGGGCCUUGCUGGUGUAGUAUAUCGGAUACUGAACCUCUUCUUCCUUUUUCACUAGAACACAACUUGUGGCAUGAUCUGAUACCGCCAAAUAUAAGAACAACCUAUCCCCAUCCCUCGGUGUGGACAGCAGAGGUGCUUGCUGCAAAUAUUGCUUCAAGUUCUGGAAGACUUCUUCGCAUUCUGGGGUCCAUUCUGUUUUCUUUCCUCUCCUUAUCACUUGAAAGAAUGGCUGACACUUAUCUGUAGCCUUGGAUAUGAAUCGACUUAACGCCGCCAACCUCCCCGUAAGGCUCUGUGUCUCCUUCAGGUUACGAGGAGACCUCAUCUGCACGAUUGCCUGGAUCUUCUCGAGAUUUGCCUCGAACCCCUUAUGGCUCACUAUGAACCCGAGGAAUUUCCCUGACUCGACCCCAAAAGAACACUUUUCCGGGUUGAGCUUCAUCUUGUACUUCCUCAAAAGUCCGAAUGUCUCCUCGAAGUGCUUGAUAUGGUCCUUCAGGAUUUUUGACUUGGUUAUCAUGUCGUCAACAUACACCUCCAUCGUUCUCCCAAUCAGUGGCUUAAAGAUUUUAUUCACCAGCCUCUUGUACGUGGCCCCCGCAUUUUUAAAACCGAACGGCAUUACCCUGUAGCAGAACAGACCCUGGUUAGUAAUAAAUACCGUGCUCUCCUCAUCUUGCUCGAACAUGGGGAUUUGGUUGUAUCCCGAGAAUGCGUCCAUGAAGCUGAGCAGGCCAUGUCCAGCUGUUAAGUCCACAAGCUGGUCGAUCUUUGGUAAGGGAAAGCUGUCUUUCGGGCACGCUUUGUUAAGGUCCGUGAAAUCCACACACAUCCUCCACUUGCCAUUAGCCUUUUUUACUAACACCACAUUCGAUAUCUACUCAGGAUAAUUCACUUCCCGAAUGAACCCUGCUUUCAAGAGCUUCUCUACCUCCCCGUUUAUAGCCUCAUACCUCUCCUGAUUGAAGCACCUCCUUUUCUGCCUUACUACCCGAGCACCUUUCUUUAUUGCCAACUUAUGACAUGCGACCUCGGGGUCGAUCCCUGGCAUGUCUUCAUGUGUUCAAGCAAACAAAUCUGCAUGAGCCCGCAAGCAUUGCACCAACUCCUGCUUCUGCUCUUCUUUAAGCCUCGACCCAAUUCGGAUCGUUUUUCCCGGAUCCUCUGGUCCCAGGCUUACUGUCUCCAGCUCCUCUACAGGUUCUUGUCUGCCAUUCUUUGCUCCUACUCGGGCAUCAAGGGAUGUUAACUGCAUUGCUUCCCUUGCUGCCGAGGAGUAACAGCUUUGUGCGAUUCUCUGGUCUUCUCGUACCACUCCAACUACCACAUUCACCCGGUACUUGAGAGCUAGAUAAUGGUUGGACAGCACCGCUUUGCUCGUCCUCAGAAAUGGCCGACCUAGGAUCAUCUGGUAAGGACCAUCUUCAUCGACCACCACAAAGUCCAGUAUCAUAGUCCUUUCUGUCAGGGAGCUUCCAAUCGUGAUAGACAGCUCGACCACGCCCAGAGGGACCAGCUUUCCUCCUCCAAAUCCCUUCAAGGAGGUAUUGGUAUGCUCCAACCUCAAGUCUACUAUUCCCAUCUCCUCCAGAGUUGACUUAAACAACACAUCAACUAAGCUCCAUGUGUCAACCAGUAUUCGGUCAAACUUCUUGCUAGCAACGGUGGCCUUGAUGACUAACGCAUCCUCAUGUGGGUAUAGAAUCCCUUCUUUAUCCUCAUCUGUCCAUAUGAUUAGCACUUGCUUGACUCUUGCUCAUUUGGCUGCUGAGGUGUUGAAGAAUACCUCUUUACUAGUCAUGGCAUAUCUAGCAUAGUUUUUCCUCGAUCUGUUGGAAUCUCCGGCCAACGUUGGACCCCCAGCAAUCACUCUUACUAUAGGCUGCUCGUGGCUCAAGUUCCUGUUACCCUGCUCCCCUUCACAUGUCGAGGCCACCAUCGGAAAAGUCUCAUCUAUAAACUCGUCCAGGUAUCGAUUUCUCACCAAAUCUUCAACCUGGGUCUUGAGGUCUCUGCAUUCUGUUGUGGUAUGGCCAUGAGUACCAUAGAACUUGCAAUAGCGUCCCCUAUCCCUCCUGCUGGGUAGGUUUGUUAUUGGGGUCGGGAGGUACAGUAAUCCCCGGUCCUUUAUGACAUCGUACACCUUAUCCAGGAGGAUCUUCAAGGAAGUAUACCGCCUAUAGUCCUGGUUUUGGUCGAUCAUGUGCACUGCCCUUUCUCUGUUUGUGCCAUUAUGAGUUGGAGGCGGUGGCAGCGCUUCUGGUUUGCUCCCUCUACUACCAUAGGGGUGUGAGUGAAGAUGACCAUAUGCCGCAUCAUGCCUUCUCCAAGGCUCCCUAGCUGGUGAGCGAAGAGGUUGCGCCCUGCUGCGCUGAUACUGUGGUGGCCUCUGAUGAGGCUGGUAAGCGGUUACCCGACUUCCUGUAUCACUACCUGAGGCAUGGUGGUCCCUCCUCUUGAUCGGCCCAUUUCCUGGUACGGCUCUCUUCUCUCUCCUCUUUAAUCCUUCCAGCUGGUCUGUCUUAAUCCGUGCUGCCUUUUCCUCCUCGAUUUCUAUGUCUCUCUUAGCCUGCUCCUAAGCAGCCGAAUAUGUCUGAAUAGCUAGGCUUCUCAAGUUGUACCACAACCGUCCUAUCUUCACUUAUUCUUUCAAUCCCCUUAAUGCCUGAGGAUGAUUGAAGGCUCCCAAGUCGAGGACAGCAAGGUGGAACCUUUUGAUGAAUUCUCGAAGGGUUUCCUCCUCUCUCUGCUUCAUGCUUGUCAGCUCCAUUAUAUCAUCUUCCAGUGUCAUUGCCCCACGAAACUGCUCUGCAAACUCCUGGCACAUCUGUUCGAAGGUUUUAAUACUCUCCCGAGGAAGUUUCCUAUACCACUCGCGUGCUCGUCCCUCUAGAGAUAGUGGGAACACUCUGCAUCUUUAGGCUUGGGAUAAUCCUUGCACCCCGGUCAUGUCGUUGAAGUGCUCUAUGUAUACCAACGGAUCGGUUUGCCCCAAAUAUCUGAGGUCUGGGAGGCAAAAAUCCCUUACAACUUGUAAUCUUAUAAAUGUGUGACACCUAUUAAUAAAUUUUCUAGUAAGAUAAGUUGUUCAUUGACUUCAUUAUCAUGUGAUUAAAGGUUAUUUAAUUAAACAUUCACAGUUUGUUGUGUCAUCCUCAUAAAUUUCACGACCAUUAAUUAGGUUGAAGUUCUAACAUUUUUAAUGUCGUCAUGAAAAAUUCUUAAUUAUUUUAGCCUGGAUUCCACCAAGUGGAAGGAACGCAAACAGAAUAUAGAUUGAAAUUGGCGCUUCAGUAUCAGGGUCAAUUGUAAUAGUCGUGCUGUUUGUUUCUUUUCUUUAGCGUACGAGGCAAAGAAAUAAAAAAGAACAAGGUACAUAACGGUUUUAUUAUCGGUGAUGGUACGAAAGCGACAAUACUCUUGUUCUGUUCUUUGUAAAGUAAAUUCAUUGUGCUUGCAGAGGAGAGAGCAAUUAGUCGAGAGGCUCAAUUACUUAAAUUGCGAGAAAGUCAGAUUGGAAGCCAUUACUCGUAUAUUUUACGAGAAGAGAAGCAAGUGGAAUCCAAAGAGUUUCCUCUGUUCCCAUUUGACCUCACCGUGGAAGCUACAUAACAUUUCUCCGAUGAAAACAAGCUAGGAGAAGGGGGCUUUGGCCCUGUUUAUAAGGUAAUCACAAGGUUAUGAUUUAAUUUGUUUAAGAAACUUUGCCACUAUGUACAACGAGUUUAUUCAACUGUCAGUCAGGUGAGCUUCUUGUUUCAUGGAAACAAUUCAUUCUGGAAAUUUGCUUACAAGGUGUAUUAGCGGAUGGCAAAGAAAUUGCGGUGAAGAGGCUCUCAAGAACAUCUGGGCAAGGCCUAGAAGAAUUCAUGAAUGAAGUUACUGUAAUUGCCAAAUUACAACAUAAGAAUCUUGUGAGACUCUUGGGAUGCUGCUUAAGGGGAAAUGAAUUGCUGCUCAUCUAUGAGUACAUGCCCAACAAAAGCCUUGAUUUUCUUCUCUUUGGUAUGCUCCUCAAGCUUUCUAUUUUCCUUAAUUGCUAAUCGUUUACGAGCACACGACAAGGUAAGUAAACCACUUAUAUAAUGUUCAAUUUAUUAUUAGAUUCAACAAGGAAUGAACAAUUGGACUGGGAAAGACACGUUGGCAUCAUUAAUGGAAUUGCACGAGGUCUCUUAUAUUUGCACGAGGAUUCUCGACUCAAAAUAAUUCAUCGCGACCUCAAAGCUAGCAAUAUUUUACUAGAUCAUGACAUGAACCCAAAGAUAUCAGAUUUUGGAAUGGUAAGAAUAUUUGGUGGAAAUCAAAAUAAAGCUAAUACAAAUAGAGUUUUCGGAACAUAGUAUGCCACCUCUUGAAUUACUGUUUGAUUUUGUUUUGUUUCUUAUCAAAAACUAUUUUUAUCACUUACAAAAAUUUCCUUCUUUUGGUCACCAUUGAAAAUUUUCAGUUUAAAUUAGAUACUGAAAUAUAAUAUAGCAUAAAAACCUCUUUAUACAUGUCAUUUAAUCUUAGAAAGUUCCAACUUCAACAGUGGAUAUAUGGCCCCAGAAUACGCCAUGGAAGGACUAUUCUCAGUUAAAUCAGAUGUCUUUAGCUUCGGAGUUCUUCUUCUAGAGAUAAUCAGUGGCAAAAAGAAUAGCAGCUUUUAUCUUUCUGAAGAAAGCCGAAGCCUCCUCGCGCAUGUAUGUAGCUGUCUCUACUAUUCUUUAUAAUUGAAAAGCCAAUUUUCUUAGACUCGCCUUAUUUAUGAACCGUGUAACGUUAUUUCAGGCAUGGAAACUAUGGUGUGAAGGAAAUGCAUUAGAGCUCAUGGAUCCCGUGCUCAAGCAAUCGUUUAAUCCAGAUGAAGUGUUGAAAUGCAUUCAUAUCGGGUUGCUGUGCGUUCAAGCAGACCCGGCAGACAGACUAACCAUGUCUUCUGUGGUUGUUAUGUUGGCAAGUGAUACCGUUACGCUUCCUAAACCAACCCAACCACCGUUUUCUUUCAGCCGAGUUGCUCUCAAGUUAACUCAAUCCUCAUCUAAUAUUAGAGAUUGUUUUGAUGCUUAUUUAACCCUUUCAAAUGUUUCACCUCGUUGACGCUCUAUAUGCUGUUAAUUUACAUCAUUUUCAUUUCUACGUUUACAACACGUUGGCCAUGAUCGUUUGGCACUAGUAUCAUCUUUUGUUCGUCAUAUGGUUUCAUUUUCCACUGAAUAGGAAUCAUUGUUCCCCGUUAGAUUCAUUUUGGCUACCACAUAUAUAUCUGCCAUUCAUUCACUUCGUAUUUUAAAUACUUAGGGAAGCAAAAUGUUGCGAUCGAGCAAAGCAAAUAUUGAUCAAUUAAUUUCAAAUGAUGAACGAAUCUUGACCUAAUCUAUUGAGGAAUUUGAGGCUUAGAGUGAUGUAUCAUAAAACAUGAGGGCCCAAAUAGUGAAUUACAUUUGGUGUGAUGAGUGUUAUUAGUGGAUUACAGUUGGUGUGUUUUAUUAAGUGUUAUUAGUGGAUUACAGCUGGUGUGUUGACGGUUGAGUGUGUUAGUAGAUUACAGUUGAUGUGUUUUAUUGAGUGGAAUGUAGUAGGUGAAGAUGAGUAUAAGUACUAUAAAUAUGUACUAAAUUCAUUUUAAACAUCAUCCAAUCAUCCAAUCUUCAAUCAAAAUUUGAGUUUUCUCGUUUCAAAUUCUAAUUCAGAAUUUGUUAUGCAUUUUUUUUUUCUUUUCAUGAGAAUGCAAGUUAGAGCAACAUCUAACAAACCGUUGCGUCAUACAAUAUCAAUUGAAAACACAAAAAGAUCAAUUACUCCAAAGACUCGAACGCUGUCAAAUACUUGAGGUGGUUCACCCAAGAUGCUUACUUCCGCAUCGAAAUGCGCACUCAAAACGCUUUAUUGGAUCAUGACGAUUAAAGUCCUUGAUCUCAUUACAGAGAACAAAACUCUCUGGACAACGUUCGCUAAUUAAAUUCGAGCAAAAUAAUGAGAAAAUUGCUUGUGGAGCACUAUUGGUCAAUGGAUGUGGAUCCAAUAAUGAAGUGACUUGAGCUCUAACUCUUUAUAAUCUUCUGUCAUGUGAAAAAUAUAUCGUUAAAAUUUAAUUAAUUUUAUAUUUUUAUCUAAUAACUAUCAAUUAUAAUUUUUUAUUAUGACCCCUCUUUUUUUAUAUCAGUUAUUCUGUUUGUAACUGUAAAACAAAUUUUAAUUUACUUCAGCGUAUAUGAUCAUCAUUAAUUAAUUAUUAGUAAGUUUAUACUUGGACAAAUUAAUUUUAAUGUGUGAUGCAGAUGUGGUCGUACAGGCAUCUACAAGACUCAUCUAUUUGGUAGCCCAAGUAUCAUAGUUUCGACAAUCGAAAUAUCCUGAGCAGUCUUGAUGGACGACGAGUUACUUACAAAUUGUUAUCCUACAGCCAUGAAGAUAUUGGCUGGAAAUUAAUAUUUUUUAAAUGAAUUUGAAAUUAAUAAUGCAAAAAUAAUAGUUUAACUCUAAGGACUACUAAAGGGAAAUUCACGCCAUGUUAUUCUUGCAUUUUUUAUUUUCAAAUUAAUCUAAAAUAUUUCUUUCCUCGCCAGCACGAAAAGGACUGGUACAGAUCCUCGAAGCGGAACUUAGUACUAGAAGGGGAAUGCAGAAAAGUGAUGAUCGAAUGACCAAGAUGAUGAUGCUAAAAAGUUGGAUGACUCGUGUCUUCUUUAGCCGAUCUGAAUGCUCCCUUACAUGUUGAAAUAUGAGCUACAAUAUAAUCACCGAAAAUUUUAGAGUACAUUAAAAAUAUUACACCUAAUUAACACAUACACGACAUGUAUAGUUUAAUUAACUAUAACUGUCAAUUACGUAGUGAUUUUUCAAAAUAAAUGCACACAUAAAAUAUUAUAUGCAUUAAUUAGGUAUAAUACCUCUGAUAUACUUUAAAAUCUCUCCUACCUAUUUCAACAUCCAUUCUUGCUCCAAAAAGCCAAGGUUAUCCAAUUCAAUUAAUUAUGUUAAUCCUUCCAAUUGACAACUUAUGAAGCACAAUAAUUAUUGGUCUUAAACUGAACUAACGAUAAUGGAAUAUAAAAAUUUCGAUCUAAGUGUUAAAUUGAUAAUUACAUAUGUUUUUAAUUUCGUAAAGUCAAUUCAUAUUACAAAAAAUCAGUUAAUUAUUGAAGCUGAUCGAACUCAACUUUGCACAAGAAGGACAAGAGGGGAUUAUUAAAAAAUGACCAUCUUUGUAGAAAUGACAGAGUCUUAAAGAAAUUAGACAAAUGAAAUAUCUUGCUAGGGUAUAUCAUAUGCGGCUAGCAUGAUUAUGUAAAAUAUAAUUGUAUUAAUUUCUAUUUCACAAACAAAAUAAGAUGUAAUUUGCAACCCCCCCCCCCCCCCCCCCCCAAAAAAAAGAUGAUUGUAUAAAAGUUGAUGUUUAAUUGUGAUAUACUUAAUAUCUUGUAUCACUACUAUAUAUUGUUGAUUGGGUUAGUUUCGGGUUAUCUGCUCCUAAAACGACAAUCUUCAAACAUUUUAAAAUUAUUUUAAGUUUUAACUUAUUCUCAAUUUUGUUCAAAAAUAAAGGAAAAAUAUGGGUGGAUUGAUGAAAAAUAUUUUAUAAUCUUUACAAAAUAUGAGAUAAGUUGAGGUUAUUUUUCAUCAACCCACCCUCAUUUUUAUUUUAUCUCUUAAACAAAAUAGAAAUAAGUUAAAGCUUAAAAUAAAUUAGAGACAUUCUAAAAAUUGUGGAGGCUAGUCCAAAAUUUACGCUUGUUGAUUUAAACAAGAAACAUUACGCUUCUUCAAUUUGCCAGUUUCGGAUUUUUGAGAGACGUUAACAGAUGCUAACAUCAAAUAUUAGUUUAGUCACUUCAAUUAAAGCCUAAUAUUUAUCUUAACGGGUGUAUUUAAAAGGGGGCUUAUGAGAAUAAUGGAGGGGUGUGAGAAGUACCACUCAGCCUUUUUAAGUUACAUUAAUUACAUUUUGGGAUUUCACCUUGGGCCACCCACAUGAAAAGGACCCGAACUCCCAAAUCCAACACUUCAUAAGUCAUACAUGGUGAUAUACUGAUAUUUGGCUCUCUCAAAUAAUCUCACCAAUUCCUAAUUAUCACUUUUAUUUUAAUAUUCAUUUAAUGCUUGUAUGAAAUUACUGAAAAUGAUAAAUAGAUUUUAAGUGUUUACAUAAUUUCUAGACCCUUGGUUGAGAUUUUAUAGAUUAAAUGAUAUAGAUUUAUAUUAGUAAUCUAUAAUUAAUAUUUUUUUUUCUUUUCUCUUUCUCUCAUCAUCUCCAUUCACCUUCUUGCUCGUUUUUGUAUCUCUUCUCUUCUAAUUACAACUUUCAUCUAAUCCUCUACGUCUGCCUUUCGUCUAUUAUGCUCAAAUUGCAAUCUAAGUGCAAGAAUAGUAUUAUAAUAAGGCGAAACAAAUAGAAUAUGUAGGGAUUGCACAGAAAAACACAUAUUUUAAUGAAUUGAAAAUUGUAAUUUUUUGUCUAUUAAUGUAUCGAAAGCUAUAUCUUCUUAUUUGUUAGCGACAUCCUCUUUAUAUAUGCAUUACAUUUAAUUUUUAAUUAAUUCUGAAAUUUUUUCAGAAUUAAUUAGAAAAUUAUGAGAAUGUCCUUAUUUUUUAAUUUAAUUUUUAAUUAAUUAUGAUUAGAAAUAUUUAAGUAAUUAAGUAAUUAAAAAUAUUCUCAAAUAUAAUAUAAUAUAUAUAUGUGUGUGUGUGUGAAAAAAUUGACACUCAAGAGAUUUUGACGGUAUUUGUAUUGGUUUCAGCAUUGACGAUGCGAACAAAAGAUGUGCGAGUGCGACUUUGAAUUGCAGAGGAAGAGGAUUAUUGCUGAAUUUGAUAGCCGUCGUAAAUGUUAAACAUGAUGAGAUUGAGAUCACUAAAAACUAUUAAAUAAUUGCUACUUAACAAUCUUGUUUUGAUUAUUAUUAAUAAUCACAACUAAUUUUCAAUUUGAUUGCAUAUAAUUAAAUAGUCAAACUGUAAAAAAGGAUGCCAAACAUCUUAUCCUACUGAGGACAAUUAAGGCAUAUGAACAUGGGAGUUGUGCUAUAUAUUCAAAUUUUAAUUCUAUAAUUUUACUCUAAAUAAUAUAGUAUUCAUUCACAAAUUGAUGAAAUAACAUAAUUAAUUUACUUAGAACUUAUUAAAAAUCAUCUACCACUUAAUAAAAGACAUAUUACUUACUACAUUAUUUGAGACAAAAUUUUAGAAUGUCUAUUCAAUUGAUAUGCAUGUAACAUAAUAUUUAUUGAUAAAGUAAUAUUGAAAAAUUAUUUAUUAAAAAGAAUAAUACUGUGUUUACUCUAUUAGAAUACUUAGUUUGUACAACAUUUCAUGUGUCAUCCAUGGAUUGAGUUAUAAUAUCUUAAUUAAAUCAAUUAAUACCAUACACAUCAUAUCACAAUAAAUAAUUAGCGCCACAUAAUAGUCAGAUACAAAUCUAAUAGUAUAUUAAUUAAUCAUAAUACUAUUGUGUUAAAAAUAUUGAGUGAUAAAGUCAAACAACCCUUGAUAUUUGUCAAUUUAUUAAUAAUAGAUGACAUAUUGUUCAAUAUACAAAUUAUGUAUCCUAACAAUAGGCCUACCCUGAGAAAAACAAAAUUUCAAUAAAGACAAGGAAUUUAAUUGAAAUUUUUCUAUUUUACGUUAUGGCCACUUAGACUUACAAUUUUUAUGUUAUGAUGGCUUCUCAAGUUUAUGGUUUCAUUAUGACAGAUAAUUACAAUAAACUACUUGAAUAAAAAAUUGUAAUUUAAAGGGAAAAGGAGACAAAAAAAAUUGAAUUAAAAAGUUUGUUGAUUGACAGAGAUUACGGUUGUAAAAUUCAUUAACCAUUGAGUUUUAAUAUUUGACUCUCAUUAUAUCUCACCGGCCCCGCUAAUCACUUUUAUACUAAUAUUUAUUUUAUCGUUAUAUAAAGUGACAUAAAAGAAGUAGAUAGUUUUUAAGUACACUGACAUGAUAAUUUCUAUUAAUGUUUAGUUUAGCCAAUCUAAUUUUUUAGAGUCUAAUUUCUUUUAACUUUUGAAAUUAUUAUCUCUUUUUAAAUAUUGUAUACUCUACUUUUGUAAUCAUGGAGAAAAUUAAUUUACAGUACUCUAUAGAGAAUGAGGAAGAAGUAUCGAAUCUUUCUUUUAUAUAAUUAUGGAGACGAUGGAUAAGACCUUUAAAAAGAAAGAAAUAGAUUAUAGUAAUUUUAAGAUCUUUUUUUAAUAGAUUUUAUAAGUUCCAUAUAGUGACUGCUUUGGAAAAAAUAUAAAAAUUAUAAUAAGAGUAAAUUUGGGAUUAAAUUGGGUAUAUUAAGAGAUAAAGAUUAGUUUAAAAUUUUUAAUAGAUUAACUAAAUAGCGAGAGUUGGUAAGAUAUAAUAAGGAGUCAAAUAUCACCACUCUUAACCAUUUUGAACUGCUAACUAAGAAAUUUUAAAAUACCUUCUUUUUUUUUAAUAAUAAGGAUAUAAAAGAAAAUAAUAAGAAUCAAAUUUCAUGAGUUUAUUCCUAAAAAAUUACUAAAAUCCUUGAAGUUUCUUGGUUUGUCUAAUAAAACGUUGAAUACAAAUUUGAACCAAAAGGUAUAAAAUGUGACGAUAAUUCAAAGAAUGUUGUUUGAAGGAUAAAAGUGGGAGCAUGAUUGGAUACAAUUAUGUGCAAAUCAUCCUCUCCUUGACACUAGAGUUGUAAACAAGCCUUCUUGAGUUGUGAUUCUAAGGAACUCAUAAACAAUCUGUUUAGGUCAUCACGUGGUAGGCAGGUCGCUUUGCAGGUGUGCUCGCACAAGGAUCUCGCGAGGAGAAACUCAAACAAAGUCAACUUGAAGACUCAAUCAAGAGUCAACUUGAGGAUUCUCUCCGAAAAAUCAGGGCAAGAUCCUGAUAGACUAACAACUACUCUCUCUUAUCUAGGAACAUGAGUCUCGGUCCUCUAUAAGAACCUAUGGAAAUUCAAAGUAGGUAAGUUUUUCUAUUUUCUUUGUCUAGACUCUUUCACUUUCUUUCUCUUCUCUCAUUUCAAUUUUUUUUUUCAGUUAAUUUGAAAUUUCGUUAAAAAAAGCUUUUUUUUUUUUUGUUCAAAAGUAAUCAAAAUUAAGCCACAUGAGUUGUGGCAUAAGUUUUACCUAAAAGAAAUGAUUAUUGACUUGAGCAUCGGAGGGUUCACGCCGAAAAAAACAUUCAGCGUCCCCCUAACUAUUUAUGUGAAUGCAGGUCAGUUUCGUAGAAGUGCUUGUGGUCGCAAGAAUCUGCUCAAGCAAAGGAAGUGCAAGCCAAAGUUGUUCCCAUUAAUACAAAUUUAAGUGUUUGCGUGGACAUCUGGUUGCAACUCUUCCACCAACCAGAUUUCUGCAUCAACUAACAUUAUAAAAAAUGAAAAUUAACUAUAAGCUAUAUGCUUAAUUAAAAAAAAAUGAAGAUUAACAAUAAACUAUAUGCUUAAUUAAAAAUCAAAUUAGAUAACUGCAGUUUACCACUCACAUGUCGUACAUCAAAUGAAAACUCUUCAAAGUAAAAUAUAAUUAAAUGUUUGAUUUGAUCAAACGUUACCUGUUCCAUAAGACUUUAGUGAAAUUUUUGUAUAGAAGUAUAUAUGUAUAUAUAUAAAAUAUUUAUACUUGACUUGAUCAAAUGUUGCCUGUCUCAGCAGACUUUAGUAUAUAUAUUUCCUUGCUCAAUUUCUCAUCGACUGAAGUUUAAUUUUCGUCUCUACCUCUCAAUCAGCAUAUAAGGUUGUACUAGUAUAUAUAUAUAAUUACCACCUUGCUUUACUUUUACAGAAAGAAAUAUUCAGCCAAAUCGUGCUUUUCCGAUUUCAAAAUCCAGAAUGACGAUGCUAUUUUCGGCCUCAAUAAUAACUCUUCGCUUGUUUCUCUUGCUGGUCAUUCUAUCCCAUUCCCAUCUUAUAAUGUCACAGACUACUUUUGUUGACGAAAACAUGGUCCUGACUUGCCCUGCAUCAAUUAACAAUAUUAAUACUUCUUCCUACGCGUUCAUCCACAACGUCCAUAGCCUCUUCAACCGAAAGCUUCACUCUGAAGCCGGCAACUCCCUCUAUUACAGCGCCACAGAAGGCCAUUUUCCUGACACAGCUUAUGGUCUUUAUCUUUGUAAAUUCGACAUUACUUUCCAGUCCUGCCAAAGGUGCAUAGCUACAGCGGUCAAAGCCGUGAUGAAAAAAUGUAACGGCACCAGGAAGGCAAUUAUAUGGUACCGAGAGUGCAUGGUUCGCUACUCCGACAAGUCUUUACCCAUCAUGGAUACUUCCACAGUUCUUUGCAUGUACAUAGUACGAAACGUUUCUGUACCGAGAAACGUUACUGGGAUCUUGGCUCAGUCGUUCAAAGACGUAAUUGCCAUGCCGAGUUUAAGUUCUUUCAGCUAUGCGACCAAAGAGACUACCAUAUCUAGGUUUAAUACACUGCAUAGUUAUGGGCAAUGCAUACCAGUAUUGUCUGCAGACGACUGUACAGAGUGCCUAAAUAAAUCUGUUGACUGGGUUUCCAAGUGCUUCAUCCAGCGGGGUACGGGAUUUGGUAGAAUUAUUUUGCCAAGUUGUAACAUUGGGUACGAGUUGCACUGAUGCAGCUGUAAAUUGCCAACCGUACGUGGUAACUAUAUAUGUAUAUUACCAAUAAUUGCCCUGGCGUAUACAAAGAAUAAACAGGCUCAUGCAUAUGAUAAUGCAUGUGAAUUUUACUAUUAAAAUUGCAGUAACAUUGGUCAUUAUAUAAAACUUGUAUUAAUAUUGUUGCUUGAUAUACAACAAGUUUAUGAUUUUCCAACAACCUUUUAGAUUAGUUGAUCAACACCUCCUCAUCUUGUUUUUAAGGUAUAAGGUUCGAGUCUCUCUAUAUAUUUACUGAUAUUUAUUAUUAUUAUUUUUUUAAUUUUCUUUCGGCUUUAAUUGUGUAUUGCUUUGGGCUUAUGGGUGUUGGACUGUUGAUCUUUAAUUUAUUAUUGGAAUAGGUCUUCGGAGACCUCUCAGAAUUUCUCAUACAUCCCUUUUCUAGUUGAAAUUACCAAAAUGACCAAAAACUAAUUUAUUCAUUUCUUAAUUAUUUAAUGAAAAUUUAAUUAAACACUUAAAUAAAUUAUUCCUUCAACAAUUUUUUUACAUCCAUCUUGUUUUAUAAUUUAUAUUUAUAUUUUAAUUUAAUCAAAAAUAUUUUUUUAAAAAUUAUAAGGGUAGAAUUAUGGGAAUAGAAACUACUUAACGAGAAGAAAAUAAUUUAAGAUUAUGAGAUAUAAAUAUAUUUUAUAAAUAAAUAAUAAAAAUAUUUUUGAAGGAGAAAUUUUAUGAGAAUAUUGUUAAUUCAAAAUAUAUGAGUUUGUAUUUUAUAAAUUUUAUUGAGAUAUUUUAAGAAAUAGAAUUUAAAAGAAGUGUCACAAAAAAUUUCGAGAGGUGUUAAAAAGCUCGACUCAUAUUCUUUGUUAUCUUUAGACCUACACAUAGAGUCAUCUAUUAAAAGAAAAAAAAAAAUCCGAAAAACACCGUCCAUGUGAACCACGUGGUCCACGUCCCUUAAAAAUGGGAGCGAAGGUCAAACAUAACGACGCAAGCAAAAGUUAUCUGACUCGACAAAUUUUUUUUUUCUUCUUUUUUUUCCCUCAAACGCGUCACCGACUGGCGUGUUCUACAAGCUUCUUGUGGGUCAACCGGUGAAGGCAACAAUAAACAAAUAAAUAAAUAAAUAAUGAUCUCGACUAAUUCAACCAUCCUUGCAUUUUUCAUUGCCUGUAUUUGAAUAAUGAUCUCGACGUAAUCGUAUUUUUCAUUACCCUUAAUAUUAAAAGAAAAACAUUGAAUCGAUCUGGUAUAAUCGUAUUUAAAUAAAUAAAUAUAGGAAUUUCCCUGCAUUUUUCAUUCCGGAUUUAAGUAUGAGAUGAUGAAUUUUAAUAUGAAAGUAGUUAACAACUUGACCAGGUUUUGUCCCUUUCCUUUACUUUGAUUUUUCUUGCUCCUGAAUCGAGCUUUCAAUUUCAUAGUUAAUCCUAUCUAUUGGUAUUUAAUUGACUUCUUUAUUGUUUUUUUCCUUCGUCGGAGGCUCUGAAUUUUAUAUAUGUUUGACUCGAUCAAUUAUUACCCUGUCCAUAUGUCUUGUCUCUUCAAUGUUAUUUUGUAACAUAAGUUCCCACCUUAUCUUCAAAGAUACCUUCGAUCACCAUAUACAAUUAACAAUGGAACUUAAUAGAGCAUUCAUUUCGGAGGUCAAAAGCUAUAGAAGGACGAUGCCGACUGCCGCAAAUUUAGCCUCACAAGCUAUUCGCUGGCUUCACUUGCUUUCUAUUGUAUCCUCUGUUAUGUCACAGUAUUUUGCUGAAGAAGACAUGGUUUUAUCCUGCGCUGUAUCCAACAACACCGCUUCCAACACGUUCACAAGCAACCUCAACAUCCUCUUCAACCAGAAGCUUCACUCUGAAGCUGGCAAGUCCCUCUAUUACAAUGCAUCAGAAGGGGAAUUUCCGGACUCAGUUUAUGGUCUUUAUCUUUGUAAAUUCAACGUUAGCUUCCAAUCUUGUCAGAAUUGUAUAGUUGCAGCAGUUAACUCCGUUUUGCAAAAAUGUAGUGGCACCAAGGAGGCAUUUAUAUGGUAUCAAGUUCAAGAGUGCAUGGUGCGAUUUUCAGAUCAUUCUUCAUCCAUCAUGGAUACUUCGGCGCCUCUGUGCAUGAAGAUAUUUCAAAACACUUAUAAUGUCACCAAAAGUCUGGCUCAGUCCUUCAACGACGUAAUUGCCAUGCCAAGUUUAAGUUCUUUCCGAAAUGCAACCAAAAGGACUAACAUUUCCAACAUUAUUAGACUUGAAACUUUUGGGCAGUGUAUACCAGUGUUGUCAGUAGAUGACUGUCGAGAUUGCCUGAAUAAUACUAUUCGUUGGAUUCAAAGGUGCUUCGACCCACCGGGAAUGGGAUUCGGUAGAAUUCUUUUCCCAAGUUGUAUCAUGGGGUUCGAGCUGUACCGCUACUCCAAGGUACCUGCAGUAGGAGCUCUAGCACCCAGCUCUGCACCAGGUAACUUCUCUGUUUGAUUUUAAUACAUUUAUAGGGCUAUUUUGACGUAAAUUUUCAACAAAAAUUUUGAGUCAUUGAUUUCAUACAAUUCAAUGGUAGAGAUGGUGGAUGAAUUGAGAUCAUUGCAAAAUAAGUGAUAAAAUUGAGACUUGUGUAGCUAGCCAAACAUAUCGUGAUCCUUAACUGCUGUUUUUUUGUUUAAUAUUGUUUUGCGUCUGGAAAGGAGGGAAGAGGGGAAGAGCAAUAAGUAUUGCAAUUGGCACAACUUUAUCAGCACUUAUAGUAGUGCUGUUCGGUUCGUUUCUUUGGUACCGGCGGAGAAGGCAUGCACGAGACCAAGGCAAAGAAUUUACUUGGCAUUAUAAAAGUUUUCUCACCUCUACGUUCGUCUUUUCCCCGUUUGAAUUUAUAUUUAAAUCCAGUUAAUUGACUUGCAGAGGAGAAAAGAAACAGUCAAGAGGUUCAAUUUCUUCACUGGGAAGGAAGAAUUAGGAAUCAUUACUCCUAUAAUAUUUUACGAGGAGGGAAGCAGCAGGCGGAAUCUCAAGAAUUCCCUUUGUUCCCAUUACGCCUUGCACUUGAAGCCACAAACCAUUUCUCCGAUGAAAAUAAGCUUGGACAAGGUGGAUUUGGCCCUGUGUACAAGGUAAUUGAUUAUACGGUGAUGGCUUCAAUUUUAUAAAUUAUAAGAAACUAUAUGUGUUCACUCAAAUAAUGCAAUAUUAUUACUGACCAAAUGCAAUCUUUCAUUCUUUGAAAUUUGAAUGAUAUUUAUAGAUUAGGCACUUUGCUAGCUAUUUUGUUUCAUUGGUAACGGCGGAUGGUUGCUUCCAGGGUACGUUAGCGGAUGGUAAGGCAAUUGCAGUGAAAAGGCUCUCAAGAACAUCUGGGCAAGGGCUACAGGAGUUCAAGAACGAAGUUAAUUUGAUUGCCAAAUUACAACACAAAAACCUUGUGAGACUCUUGGGAUGCUGCUUAGAGGGACAGGAGCUGCUGCUCAUCUAUGAGUACAUGCCAAAUAAAAGCCUUGAUGUCCAUCUUUUUGGUUUGUCUCUCUCGCUCUCUAUUAAAUGCUAUCUAUUGUAUAUAUUGUAAGGCUCAUGUGCAUUUCCUAAUUGUAAACUGGCUGUUAAGUUGUGCAAAUAAAAUCAGAUAUUAUGGGAAGGAUUUCUUCUUAGUUCCAAACUUUAUCAAGCCCCUAGUUGGAAUUGCCCAUACUUAUAUUAUGUUCCCUGUUUAUGUAACAUAACUACCUGCCGCACCACAUACAUAUAGCAAAUGUAACAAAUUUUUGGUGUUUUCUCCCUUCGCUUUCCCUUCCUUUCUCCAGCAAUGGAGCUUGCGGACGAACUAAUCAAGUUACAUCUUGUGUUCAAUUCAUUGUUAGAUGCAACGAGGAGUGUACAGUUAGACUGGAAAAGGCGUCAAAGCAUCAUUAAUGGAAUCGCAAGAGGUAUAUUGUAUUUGCACGAGGAUUCUCGCCUCAAAAUUAUUCAUAGAGACCUCAAAGCUAGUAAUAUCUUACUAGAUGAUGAUAUGAACCCAAAAAUAUCAGACUUUGGAUUAGCGAGGAUAUUUGGCGGAAAUCAAAAUCAAGCUAAUACAAAUAUAAUUGCUGGUACAUAGUAAGUGGCUUCUAUCCUAGAAGCUCAUUUUCCUUCCUGUUGGAAUUAAAAAAAAAAAAAAAAUUAUGUUCCCAUUUUUAAUCUCAAUUGCUCCUUUGUUUGUUCUUUUCUUACAUUUGUGUUGUCAAGCUUGGGGAAAAUUUAGUGUCUAAUAAAUCCGUUAUAAAGCUUGGUCUUUCUAUACGAAGAUUCUAUUGAUGACAGUUAUAAAAUUAGAACAUCAAGAAUUAAGAAUAAGAAGUUGGUUCAACUGGUGGGAUGCUUCAAAAUAUCUGGGUUUGAAUUCUGCAUACGUUGGAGUUGGCAAUGUGUUUAUUUUACAUUUAUGUAAUUUAAAAAAGAAACAAAAGAAAAACGGUGGUUUAGAAAUGCUAUUAUGCUUCUGCAAAGGAUUAAUCAUUAACCUAAGCUAAGGCUAUAAACCUGUCUUCUAUAAAUUCUAAUCAAAUUUUUAUGAGGCUAACAAGCAAGUUUCCAAGACUUUAUUAUGUUUUCCAUAACUUUGAUCUUAUUUUGUUGUUCAAACAGUGGAUACAUGGCCCCAGAGUAUGCAAUGGGAGGCAUAUUUUCUAUUAAAUCUGAUGUUUUCAGUUUUGGAGUUCUUCUGCUAGAGAUAAUAAGUGGGAGAAAGAACAAUGGAUUUUAUUUUUCCGAACAUGGUCAAACCCUCCUUACUUACGUAUGUAACUCUCUCUCUCUCUCUCUCUCUCUCUUUUAAAAAAUAAUUCGAUAGCCUAAUCUUUGCUUUCGACCUUUUUAAUAUUCCAGACAUGGAAACUAUGGUGUGAAGGACCUGCAGUGGAGUUGAUAGACCCAGUACUAAAGCAGUCAUGUGCACCAGAUGAACUGCUGAAAUUUAUUCAUAUUGGAUUGUUAUGCGUUCAGCAAGACCCCGCAGACAGACCUACCAUGUCAUCAGUGGUUGUUAUGUUGGCAAGUGAUUCCAUGACAAUUCCUCAACCAACCGAGCCUGCAUUUUCUGUAGGCCGAGUUGUUGCGAAUUCCGGUCACUUUUUAUCGCCCGCCAAAGCUUGUACUGUUAAUAAUGUUACUGUUUCAGAUGUAUCCCCCCGGUGAUAAUGAUGAGGACACACUAAGUUUUUUUCUUGAAGAUUUAGGACACAUAUGCGUAAGUCAUGUUCCUUGUUAAUAUUUAUACAUGCAAACUAGACUACUCGGUUCUAUCACAUCCCCAUUUAUACUCUUGAUUUACUGCUGGAAAAAAUUGUGAUUAUAUGACAUUGAAGAAAUUUCUUUCAAUGUCAGGAAUUCAGAGAAAGUAUGCAAAAGCAAGAAAAUUUUCACAACCCAGUCAUUGGAAAUAGGUUUGGCAGCGAUGAUUUGUUAUACCAAACAGCUACGGCAAUUUUCUUAUCCAGCUGAUUGCUUCUUUUGUCUAUAACCCAAAAAUGUAUAGACCAACGUUGCAGUGAUAACUAGUAGCAAUCUGUUAUCUCAAAAUCUACCCUUUGUAUAGUCUCGGUGUGCAGUUGAAAUAUUCCGUCACGGAGACAUUUCAACACUCGAGAUUACGCAACUUAUUUCGUGUCAUUGUGCAGUGUGCAAAAGUUAUUUCUUCUGGGUGUCUGGGUUUGCAUUCUCUAUGGUUAUUCUUUGAAGCUCCUUUCCAUUUGCCUAUGGAUGGGCCUUGGAUUACAUGUUGAAGUUAACCACUUUGCAUUGCAGGUUUGCAACGGAGAUUCUACAUUGACCUCCUGCUUAUUAAAAGCCGCCCCUCAAGUUUAUUACAAUUAGUUUAUCGUCAUUGACGUAUCGAAAUGGCCAGCUAGUUUACUUUUGAUUUGUUUUCUUGCUAAUCUUUUUCUGUCGAUGCAUGCUUCAUAAGUUUAUGUAUCAUCACUCCAGACAUCAAUUCAAUUCAGUCAGACUAAGGAGUUAUUUAUUAUAGUAACACUUUCCCAGAAACUACGCUCAAUUAGUCAAAGUCCUACCAAUUUUUUUUUUUUUUCCUCAGCUACCUACGGGCUACAAUUUACUGUUUUACUCAUGCAAAAUUAAAAAUGUAAAUAUCCCCUCUCCCUGAGCCAGAGUAAUCGUGUGACUCGAAAUCUCUAGCCUUCUAUGCUUCACCACAAAGUUACUAGAAAAUGACUAAUAUAUUUGUCCACUAAGAAUUCUUCCAAGAAAAUACCAUGAACGAAGUGGUUGAAGCACCAUAAAUAGCUAGCCCAAGAACUGUUUUAGCUGCAUAAUAAAGAACACUUUUCAUUUUUGCACAGGGGUUCCAAAAGGCAAGAUAUGGUUCAUAUCAUCAGUGUUACAAAAGUCAUUCAAUUAAUUUUCAUUUAUUCUCUCACAGCCACUCUUCAUGAUCCUGCUUUUGGCGAUAGCCCUCCCUAUAACACUUGUUCAAGCAGUGCCGCUGAUUAUGGACAUGCUGGUGCAAUCUAUAGUAACCUGAAAAAAGUCCUCAUUUCUUUAGCCUUGAAUGCUUCUGCUGCCAAGUUUUCCGAUGCGUCUUCAGGGAAUGACUCAGAUAGAGUUUAUGGUCUCUACAUGUGCCUCAACUAUAUUUCAAAUGACACUUGCAACAACUGCAUAACCACAGCAACACAAGACAUCACCAAACUUUGUCCAAACAAAACCGACGCAAUCGUGUGGGAAGAGGUCUGUCAGUUGCGCUAUGCUUACGGAAAUUUCUUUGGCCAAUUGGAUGUCUCAGGAAACAUUCCUAAAUACAACAGAAAAAAUAUAUCAGAACCAGAGAGGUAUAGAUCUGUUGUGAACAACACUCUGAAUAAUCUCACCAAACUGGCAGCUUUUGAUCCUUCAAACGAAAUGUAUGCAACUGGUGAAGUACCCUUCACAAAUUCAGACACUUUAUAUGCUCUAGUUCAAUGCACCAAAGAUCUAUCUGCCGAUGAUUGUGAUGCAUGCCUCAACAAAGCUACAGCAGAUAUUUUAUCUUGCUGCUUUUUUUCAAGAGGAGCACGACUUCUCAGUCGUAGCUGCUAUUUGAGGUAUGAAUUAUAUGCCUUUUAUAACGGUGACACAGAAGCUUCUGUCUCCGUUGGAAACCAAGCAUCAGGGAAAUGUAAGUAGUGCAAUUUCACCAUAAGAAUUAAUUUCUUAAUCCAUAUGGUGUUUGAAGAAAAUGGAACUUAAUGUAGUAUUCUGUUCGUGGUCUCAAAUAUAUGCAGCCAACCAAAGGAGGAUGUGGAUGAUUAUAAUUCUAGCCGCUGUAGCAGCUUUUCUACUGCUAGUUGUUGCUUCCACUGGCUACUUCUUUGCUGCAAAAAAAGUAGCCCGGAAAAGUAAAGAUUUUAUCGGAAAGUUUUCAAGCUAUUUUCUGUUCUGGCGUCAACUGUAUUCACCCUUUUUUCUUUUUCUUUUAAUUUUGUCUCUUCAAAUUUUGCUUUCGUGUGUUAGGGAAGGGUAUGGUAAGAAAGCAGAUUCAAUUACAUAAAAUUGGGGACGCAAGCAAAACAGGCCUCCGUUAUCAACAUGUUCGGGGGAGGGAUGAUGAUCUAAAAGCUCAGGACUUUUAUAUUGAUCUGGAAACAUUACAUGUAGCAACCAGUAACUUUUCCGAUUCAAAUAUGCUAGGACAAGGUGGUUUUGGUCCUGUUUACAAGGUAUUAGUAUUAUUUAAAAAAUAAAAAUAAAAAGUCAUCCAUUAAUUUGUAUUAAAAAUAAGAAAUAAAAAUUAUCAGGGUGUAUUAAGUGACGGCAAGGAAAUAGCAGUGAAGAGGCUCUCCAGCUGUUCUGAGCAGGGCAAUGCAGAAUUCACAAAUGAAGUGCUCCUUAUAUUGAAGCUACAGCACAAAAAUCUCGUCAAGCUUCUAGGUUUUUGUGUUGACGGAGAUGAAAAGCUGCUUGUCUACGAAUUUAUGCCAAACAGCAGCCUUGAUGCAAUCCUUUUUGGUAUGCGCUUUUCUUUUUCAUUUAUUAUUGUCCCUUUGAAUUCUCAGAACAUCGAUUUAUUCCUCUUUCUGGCACUCUUAAUUGUUAGAUCCAAGGAAACGUGGGCUACUGUGUUGGAGCAAACGUAUUAAUAUUGUAAAUGGAAUUGCCAAGGGAAUUCUUUACCUUCACGAGGAUUCUCGACUUAGAAUCAUUCACAGGGACCUAAAAGCUAGCAAUGUGUUGUUAGACUAUGACAUGAACCCCAAGAUCUCAGAUUUUGGAAUGGCAAGGAUAUUCGCCGGAAGUGAAGGUGAAGUUAAUACUGCCAGAAUAGUAGGAACAUAGUAAGUAAAACUUAUUUACUUAUAGCUCAAAUAUGCUAUUCUCAAUUAAUAAUAAAGAUUAUAUUUUUCUUUUUGGUAAAUAGUGGAUAUAUGGCUCCUGAAUAUGCAAUGGAGGGAUUAUAUUCCAUAAAGUCUGAUGUUUUUAGCUUUGGAGUACUCUUGAUUGAGAUUAUAACAGGAAGGAGAAACACAAGCUUCAAUCAAUCAAGAGGCGCGACUGCCCCGAACCUCCUAGCCUAUGUAAAUUUGUCUACAAUAAAGAACGUGCAUUUUAUUUCGGGAAUUUAUAUUUAGUACUGCAAAAUUUUUAAUCCACUUUAAUGAUGAUGCAGGCAUGGCAUCUCUGGAAUGAAGGGAACGCAUUGGAUCUGAUUGAUCCACUGUUGACCGAUACAUGUUCUCCAGAUGAAUUUUUAAGAUACAUUCAUAUUGGUUUGUUGUGUGUUCAAGAGGAUGCAUUUGACAGGCCUACCAUGUCAUCCGUUGUUGUAAUGUUACAGGGUGAAACCAUUACUCUUUGCCAGCCUCAAAAACCUGCCUUCUCUUUUGGAAGAGUUACGGAUGAUGAUGAUAACAAUUAUUGCUCUGUCAAUGGUUUAACCAUUUCUGAUCUUUCGCCUCGGUGAUUCAGGCAAUGAACGAGUUUGAAUGUGCACUGGGCUGGUGCCUUUCUUGUCAUACAUAGUGUUAUAUCCCCACUUCGCUUGUAUUUCAACCAAAGGGUAUGUGGAUUUUACAAAUGUAAUAAUUAAUCUGAGAGUCCGUAUUUGGGAUGAACAGCAAAGAGUGAAAGAGCGACUCGCACUCUCGGAUUGUAAAAUAACGAUAUAUAUAUAUAUAUAUAUAUAUAUAUAUAUAUAUAUAUAUUGAUCUUAUUAUCUAGUCUAUUUAAUUAUUCUUUUAUACAAACCGGCCACACUACUUUUCCAUUCAUACCUUCAAAGGUUUCAUGAGACGAAUCAGAAUAUUUAAAAUAGGGGAGUCAGAGUCAUCUAGUGGCUGAUUAUGUUCUAUAAGAGAGUAGACUUUUGACAAUGACCUAUUAAUUUUGUUCUUCAUACUAGCUAAUGAGAUUAUCUAAUCAAAAUAUUAUAAGAGGUCAAGCUAGUGAGCAGCCUCUUGUAUGUUAAUUUGUCCCAACUCUUAAAUCAACGACCAAAGCAAGUAUAUCAUCAGCAUCAAUAUAUAAUUAUAUAUUUAGGGUUAGAAAUUAUUUGCAGUGGCCCAGUACAGUAGUUGAACAUUUUUAAAAAUACUAUAUCUAACCCAAAAGCCAGAGUAGUUAUACAUAUUUAUUAACUUUUAUUUUAUAACAAAUAUCUUGCAAUAUUGAUUAAACUGAAGUUUAUCCUAACAGGUUUUUAUCCAACUAGAACAGGCUUUUUUAAUGAAUAGUUGUAAAACUCUAGAAUAACAAUUGAAAUAGGGUGAUUCAUGUAGUUUAUCUAUUGUAUCUUGAAUUUAGGGAAAGAUUAUCGAAUCUGAAGCCCAAGCCUAAGAAACGACACAUUUGAAAGCAGCAGACAAUAGCGGUGUCCUAAAAUUGAUGUGUAUUAUCAUUUGAGCUAAUAAAAACAAAAUAUGCUCAUUUUUAGUGUUUGAAAGAGUGGUAGCAUGAAUUUACCUCUAUUUUUAUUCAAAAGACGAGAGGAAUUUUUUUUUUUUUUGGCUCUUCUUGACAUUAAAUGGAGGUAAAUUAAUAUUUUCACACCUUUAGGAAAAAAUAAAAUUGAAUGACAUUUUAAGUGAGAGAUGAAUUAAAUUUUACCCUAACAUCAACCAUAAAAGGCCUUUGAAUUAAUGAAACAAAAAGUCAAUGGACCACCUAGUUCUUAUCCAGUCGUGCCGAUUAUUACAGUUGUUUUCCGACGACAGCAAUAUUCUAAUCUGUUGAAAACUUGAAAUGGACGGAAGAGAUAAUCUUAAAACAUAUAAAAUUGAAAAUAAACAAUUCGUAAAAUAUUGCUCGAAAAGGACAACUACAAGUAAAUUUCUGACCCGUUUCAUUUUAAGGUAGUAUCGUAUUCUAAUUCCCAAUCCGAUUCUGGCUUUAAUCCUACAAGGCGAAGAUUUUCCAGUAAUAACAAAAUUAAGGAACUCGACAAGGUGAACAUGGGCCAAAACUUACAUGGAAAAUUCAAAUGUUAUUCAUAGUCGAGAAAGUCUUGGGUGUCAACCUUGGAAAUGGAUCCCCUAUGUUGGCGAACCCUAUUAGUUGGAAAUAUCUGAGAUAAAGAUAAAAAGAUAAAAUAAAGAGAGGAUAACAGCAAAUAAAAAUAACUUAAGGGGAUUGUGAUAUAUUUGAUAUUCAAUACCUGUUUAUAUAUCAUGAAUCGGAGAAGUCGGACAAGCUGUAAUUGAUUUCAACCGGUGAAUUGAAUUUGACCAAGGAUUGCGACCUGUUUAAUCACGACUUUACGUCUAGAAUUAGAUCAGAAAAGUCCUUUAUACAGCUGCCUCGUUGUUUCUCCAACAUAACAACAAUGUCAAUGUGGUGGAAUCUGACAAAAGUUUUGAAGUCCAGCGACUAAUUGUUACUGAAAGUCCGAAACUAGGCAUGGUAUCAUCACUGUUAGUUAAGCAAUUUGGUAAAACAUAAGAAACCUUGUUAUAUAUGACUGAACAGCAAGCUACUCGUGGGUUGCUCAUGGGUGUUAACACGAGCCUCGCCUCAAAUGAUUUGAUAUUAACUAUGUGAGCUUGAAAGGGUAGUUGUUAAAUCUUACGCUAGCUCAUCGAAUAUUGAUUACAGAUCUUCAACUGUUCAAGUAUUGCUCUUGAAAUAACAGACCUACACUGUCUUCACUUAACAUUUUAAGUGGAAUCUUCCCAAAAUUCAAGCUCUAAAUAAGUUUCUUUUUUUUUUUUUCAUGUUGUUUCCUAAUAGUUUUACUUUUUUAAACUAUAGCCAUGAUAUUUUGAUAAACACUUAAACUGUAGCUUUUAGGACGUAAUUAUAAAGUGUUUGAUGAAAUAAUUUAAAAUUAUUAUUCCAAACUUUAAAAUUAAUAUUUUACUAAAUACCAUUAAUUUUUAUUUCACAGCUACAGUUUACAAAAUUUCAUAACCGUCGCUUUUAAACGAAAAACCCAUCAAUACAAACCGAGCCAAAGUCAUUUAUGUGGCCAUUCAGUGUAUGUGCACAGCUAUAGGAGAAAAGCUAUUAGCUCUGUUUGCUAGAUUAUUAAUAAGGAUACAUUUUCUGUUUCUUCCGGUGAUUACAUAUCUGAUGUUAGGAAAUUGAUGGGUAAAGCAAACACGCAACUAAAAUAAAAUUGGAAGAAAAUAAAGAACAAGCACAAAGAGCACACAAAAAAUUACGUGGUUCGGCUUUUAGCUUACGUCCACGGGCGAAGACAGAAAGAAAAUAUUUUACUAGUGAAAAGGAGUUACAAGUAUUGUAGUAUUUUAACUCAUUUUCCAAAACCCCAAUACAACCAAACUCUUAAAACAUUAAAACAAGAGCUUAUAAUUUCAAGCUUUCUAAACUCUCUCUAAAUACAAGAAAACUCUUCUUAAAAUUGGAUGAGCAAAUGAGGGAAUGAGUCCCUCUAUUUAUAGUCAAAAUCUUGGCUACUAUUCACGUAUUUUUUUCAAUUAUUUAUUAUUUUUCAAAAUUCAAAGUUCAAAGUUUGAAUAUCUAGAAUUUUGAAUUUGAUAUUCAAAGUUUGAAUAUCUAGAAGAGAUAUCAAUCUUGACAUUCUCCCAUUUGGAGAUUUGAUUGAGAACCAAUCAAUCUCCACACUAUCUUUUCUGCUUCAUCAUUGUCAUAUUGCCUAUGUUUCUGCUAGGCCACAAGAGAAUCUACUCCAGAUAAACUUGUCAGUAUUGAUUGGAUUGGUCAAAACAUCUGCUAGGUUCUCCUUAGUAUGGAUUUUCUGUAAAUCCACACUUCCAUCUUUCACUACUUCUCGAACGAAGUGAUAUUGUACCCCUAUGUGUUUUGUCCUGGAAUGAAAGGAUGGAUUUCUUGCAAUAUGCAAGACACUCUGACUGUCACAAAACACAAGAGUUUUCUGUUGUUUGUGCCCGAGCUCCACCAAUAACCUUUGUAUCUAAAUAGCUUCCUUGCAAGCUUGUAUAGUUGCCAUGUAUUUUGCUUCUAUUGUAGAUAGAGCCACGACGGUCUGCAGUUUUGAAACCCAGCUUACAGCUGCUCCCGCAAGUGUAAACACAUAGCCAGUAGUGAAUUUCCUUUUAUUAAAGUCUCUUGCAAAAUCUGAAUCCACAUAGCCCCUGACAGUAAACUCUGAUCCUCCAUAACAUAAUACAACAUCGGAGGUUCCUUUAAUGUACCUCAGAAUCCUCUUCACAGCUAUCCAAUGCUCUCCACCAGGAUUCAUCAUGUAUCGACUAACUGCUCCCACAACUUGUGCAAUGUCUGGUCUUGUACAAAUCAUAGCAAACAUUAAACUUCCCACCAGUGAUGCAUACGGUAUUCGAGACAUCACCUUUCUCUCUGCUUCAUUGUUAGGACACAUACUUGAGGAUAAUUUGAAAUUAACAGGAAGUGGGGUAGAAACUGGCUUACAAUCUUGUAUGUUGAAGCGCCGCAAGAUUUUCUUCAAGUAGUUCUUCUGAGAAAGCCAAAUAUUCCUGUCAUUUUUAUUUUGGUGAAUUUGCAUCCCUAGAAUCUUGUUUGCUGGUCCCAAGUCCUUCAUUUUAAACUCCCUAGCCAACUAUGCCUUCAAUUCUUAGAUUUGAUCUUUGUUGGAGCCUACUACCAACAUAUCAUCUACAUACAACAGCAAAAUAAUGAAAUCAUUAUCUUCAAACCUUUUGUAAUAUGCACAAUGGUCUGAACUGAGUCUGUUGUAUCCAAGGCUCAUGAUGAAGGAAUUAAAUCUCUUAUACCAACAUCUCGGCGCCUGUUUGAGACCGUAUAGAGAUUUGUUCAACCUGCAAACCAAGUUUUCCUUUCCUGUUUCUGCAAAACCUUCUAGUUGGACCAUAUAUAUUUCUUCUUCAAGUUCUCCAUGAAGAAAUGCAGUUUUCAUAUUUAAUUGCUCUAGAUGUAGGUCAAAUGUAGCAAACAUUGCCAAGACUAUUCUGACUGUUGUGAGUCGAACCAUCAGAGAAAAUAUCUCGUUGAAGUCAAUACAUUCUUUCUCAGCAUAUCCCAAGAAGAUACACCUCCUAGAUUUUGGAUCUAACUUUGUUCUUUCUUGGGCAUUGUACAUCACGUACACAGGACAUCCAAAUGCAUGUAGGUAGGAGUAAUCAACUGGCUUUCCAGUCUACAUCUCCAUUUCUGUCUUCAACCCAAUAACUGUAGAUGGCGACCGAUUUACUAUAUAACAGGCAGUUUUGGCUGCUUCUGCCCAGAAUGAAUUGGGUAUACCAGCAGUCCUCAACAUAGCUCUUAUCCUUUCUGUAAGAGUUCUGUUCAUCCGCUCCGCCACUCCGUUUUGUUGAGGAGUGUAUACUAUCGUGAACUGCCUCUGAAUACCUUCUUGCUUACAGAAAGUAAGAAACUCGUCGUUUGUAUACUCUCCACCAUUAUCUGUCCUCAAGCACUUGAUCUUUUUACCAGAUCAAGUUCCACCUGCGCUUUGUAUUCUUUAAACACUGGAAAUACAUCUGACUUUUUCUUAAUUGGAUACACCCAAUAUCUCCUGAAAUAAUCAUCAAUGAAAGUCACCAUGUACUUUGCACCUCCCAUGGAUAUAUCCGACGAUUCCCAAACAUCAGAAUGAAUCAAUCGCAAAGUGCAUUUACUUCUAGCAACAGAUCUACUGAAUUUAAAUCUAUGCUGCUUACUUGUAAUACAAUGCUCGCAAAAUGGUAAACUUACAGAUUUGAGCCCUGAAAGCAAUUUUCCCCUUUAAGCAUGAAUAUAUUAGCACCGAUCUUUUUCGCCUUCAUCAAUACAAGCGCGCCUUUAAUGAUCUUCAUAAUUCCAUUCUCCACAUGAGUUUUGUACACAUGAGUUUUGUACCCAUGACUAUCCGUUAGUCCCAAAGAUAAUAGAUUUUUCUUCAGGCCGUUAACAUGUCGUACCUCCCCAAUUGUGCGAAUUAUACCAUCAAACAUUUUUAUUUUAAUAGUACCAAUACCAGCUAUCUCCAAGGCAUGAUUAUUACCCAUAUAUACAGAUCCUCCUAAGAUAGGUUCAUAUGUGUGGAACCAUUCUCUCCUAUAGGUCAUGUGCUAGGUAGCUCCUGAGUCUAUAAGUCAGACAUUAGAUAGUCGUUUUCUGCCUUUUGAAACAGUUGUUGCCUCGCUAUAGAGAAUUUCGCCAUCGUCCAAGGUAUUUGCUACACACCCAUGAGCAUUUGAUGACUCAGGUUCUUUACCCUCUUUUCUCUUCUGGUUACUCCAACAUUCUUUCUUGACGUGCCAUUUCUUGCCAUAGUUGUAGUAUUUAACAUUCUUCUUACUUCUGGAUUUUGAUCUACCAUGAUUGUGACUCCUAUUGGGGCCACUAGAAGCUCUGCACGUUCAUUCUCCUCUAUAUUAUGACCCAAUGUUGUGAGUUGUGAAAAUAAAGUCUUCAAGAUGUUGAUGUGGUCGGUCACCAUUGUAGAUUCCGUCAUUCGAAGAGUAUAGAGUUUCCUCUUCAAGAAGAUUUUGUUGUGUAGUGACUUGGCCUCGUACAAUUUUGUGAGAGUAUCUCAUAUUUCCUUCACUGUAUUUUUCUCUGCCACACUUGAUAAUACUCCGUCCGCAAGUGCCAAGUGUAGAUCAGAAAUGGCAUUGCUAUCUAUCUCGUUCCACUUGUCAUCAGUUAUCUCCAUGGGUCUUUCUUCAAUUGCUGCCAAGCAAUUAUUUUUCCUCAAUACAGUUUUUAUCUUCAUUUUCCACAACGAAAAAUUAUUUCCAUUAAAUUUCUCAAUUUCAUACUUUGCCGCCAUUUUGUUGAUAAAUACCGCACACAAUCUAGUGUACCACCUUGAAUAGUUAUGAGUAUGUGUGAGAAUGCACACCAGGAAAGUUCUCAGAAAAGACUAGAGGGGUCACAAUGGUCCCACUUAAAACCCAGACUCCUUAAGCUCUUUUCGCCUUUAUGACAGAGCUUUCCUAGACAUGUACAAAACCACACAGUUGCUUUACUCACACCACUAUUCCCUGCUUUGCACCGCCAAUACUAGGAUUGCUCUCACCGUUUCACGUGAAUAGUACUGUAUACAUGAACAGUAUCAUAUACGUUAAUAGUGUCAUAUACGAGAACAAUACCCGACUCUAAAAAUUCAACCAAUAGCUCUGAUACCAAUGUUAGAAAAUUGGUGGGUGAAGCAGACACGCAGCUAAAAUAAAAUUGGAAGAAAAUAAAGAACAAGUACAAAUAGCACACCAGAAUUACAUGGUUUAGCUUUUAGUCUACGUUCACGGGCGAAGACAGAAGGAAAAUAUUUUACUAGUGAAAAGGAGUUACAAGUAUUGUAGUAUUUUAGCUCACUUCCCAAAACCCCAAUACACCCAAACUCUCAAAACACUAAAACAAGAGCUUAUAAAUGAGCCCCUCUAUUUAUAGUCAAAAUCUUGGCUACUAUUCACGUAUUUUUUUCAAUUAUUUAUUAUUUUUCAAAAUUCAAAGUUUGAUAUUCAAAGUUUGAAUAUGUAGAAGAGAUAUCAAUCUUGACAUCUGAAAGCUUCUUGAAUUAAUAUUCGUUAAAAUGAUGUAAUUGUAGUACGUAAGGUCAGACAAAAAAUAAUGGCAAAAACCAGGCAAAUUCUUCCACCAAUCAAUUACCAGGUAAUUUAGGUCUGCUGAACUUUCAAUCUCUUGCGUUGUGAAUGAUCAGGAAGUUUCUAUUCCAUAAUGUUCAAACCUCGCCUAAUUAUUGUCAACUAAAAAAAAAAAAAAUGUUAUGCAGCCAUUGGCCUCCGAUAGGCUAAAUCCCCUUGUGCUUCCAAAUAAGGAAGAUGGCUAAAAAAAUAUAAUUUCAGCUAUGCUUCUCGUAGUCGUACAAUUCUUCAUGCUCUCUAUCUUUACUGAUGCAAAUCCUCUCGAUAUAGCUUGCUCCAAUACAAGUUAUGCUCCUAACAGCCCGUUUGAAAGUAACCUAAAGCUCCUUCUAGAGUCAAUAGCUACCAAUACUUCACAAGGCUUCUACAACUUAUCCAUCGGAGAUGACCCUAAUCGAGUUUUUGGGCGAGCACUUUGUCGAGGGGAUGUUAACGGCACAGUUUGUCAGAAUUGCCUCGAAAACGCAAGACAUGAAAUCUUGAAAAAUUGCAAGACUGCUGAAGAGGCAAUCAUAUGGUAUGAAUUAUGUCAAAUUCAAUACUCAUACCGGAAAUUUUUAGUGAUGGUUUAUGCAGGACAGUACGCAGAAAAGUGGAAUAAUCAGUGGAAGAGUGUGUCCAAUCCUGCUCGUUUCAUCGAAGAAUUAACUUACUUAAUGACUAACCUCUCAAUUGAGGCCUCAUCUGAUCCGGCGAUGUUUGCGGUCGGUGAAGUUAAAUUUCCAAAGCGGAAAACUCUAUAUGGGCUUGUGCAGUGUACCAGGGACAUUAAUUCCCGUGACUGCAACGACUGUUUGACUGGCGCCUUGGGAGACCUCAAAGCAUGCUGUGGUGCUCGGGAGGCUGGGAUUAUCGUAAAUGAGAAUUGUAACUUGAGAUUUCAGCUCUCCCUCUUCUAUAAUGCUUCAACACGUAUAGCACUAACAUACCCAACUUCCACAGGUGAGAUCGUUGACUUUAAUCAAUCAUAUAUUGUUCGUUUACUAGUUUGCUUUUGCUGUCACUGCAACAAAAUUGAAGCAAUUAACAAAAUCUUUUUUUUUUUUAAUUACAAGAUGAUGACCUAUCGAUUAAAACAAUCCAAAUUUGGCUAUAACUGAUUAUAUAUAAAGUAAAACCUCUCUAUAGUCAUAAUAUCGAGCCUAACUAAUUUUGUUACUAUAACAAAAUAUAAUUGUAGUUAUAAAAUUAUUAUUUUAAAAUUAUCUUUAGUGUAAGUAAUAUAGAGAUAAAGCAUGCACUAUAUUAAUAAUUAAUAUCAAAUUCAAUGUAUAGACAUUGGUAAAAAAAGUGGACAUGAUUUCACAAUAUGCAAGUUAUUUUAAAUGUUUAAAUGUUUGCAUUUUCUUAAAUUUUUUAUUCUUCUCAAUGUAAAUUCUAUAAAUACUACACAAUAAUUUAGUAACAACUCUGAAAAAUAAAUCAUUGUCCUAAAUAACUUUUAAAAAAAAUAUUUUUCUUCAUCCUAGACAUUUAAUAUAACAAAACACACACACACACACACACACACACACACACACAAUUACUACUAUGUGGAGGCAAAAUUUUUAAAUCAGAAUUCAGAAAAAUUAUAAGUUAUUAUAAUGUGGAGUUUAUUCUUAUUUACAACUAGCCCAAAGUGGGACAAGAGUUGUAGGAAUAUAUAUACAGUAAAAUCUCUUUUUUACGAUACUUGUCAAUAUUUAGUUGCUACCAAUCAAAUUAAGUCUACAUCUUAUAAAAAUGAGAGCGCCUCAUUAAAGAAGAACAACUAAUCAUAUUCAAUAUUAUUUUUAAAAAGUGUAUGAUUAAUGAAGAGUCAUGGUUGUACACUGUUUGGGAAAUGAUUUGUAUUAUGAGUUGGUUUAUGUCCUUUAAAAUGCGGGUAUUUUUAAUAUUUGGUCAUUUCAAUUCAUUCGUAUUCAGAGUUGUAUCACAGCUUAUACAGUUAAUUUGAAUUUAAAGGGUUCGUUUUUAAUGAAAAGCAGACGGAAAAUGGAAGACUGGGAUGGUUGUUGCGGUUGCGUUCAUAUCAACAUUUGUACUAGUUGUCCUCAUUGGAUCUUAUGUUGUCCAUCUUCGCCGGAAGAAAGGAGCAAAAAAUGGUAAAAAAAAAAAAAAAAAAAGGCUUUCCACAAAUACAUUGAAAAAUUCCCCACAAUUUAGGGACUAAUAUGUUUAAUUUGCCUUUGUAGAUGAGAAAAGAAGCCAACGAGGGUUACUACAUGAAUUGGCAGGACCAAUAUCAGUAUCACUAACACAAGAAGGGGAUUUGGUUAGUUCAGAGGAAUUGCCUUUUGUGCAUCUAGCUGUUAUAAAGGCAGCAACUGAUGGUUUUUCUGAUUCUAAUAAGCUUGGACAAGGCGGGUUUGGCACUGUGUAUAAGGUAACACUCUAUUGCCUAGUUCAAUAUCGCACAAAAGAUAUUCGGACCAAAAUCUUCUCAUAUUCUAGGCUUUCACCGUAGUAAAAUAUAAGAACGUAAUUGGUUGUUAACAAAAAUUAAAAUUACUAAGAAAUAAUUUCGACCACACAUCAGUGUACAUGUAUAAAUGCACAAAACCCUUAGAAGCUAAUUAAGAUCAUGAAAGGAUUCUUAUCCUCACUGAAGCAAAAGCACCAAUUUCAGAGUAUAUACAUAUAGCACACCCAACGAAAUCAGUUAAUAUAUAAGAGAAUACAAACAUGUCAUGAUUAAUUAGAUGUUUGCACAUACACCCAUUGAAGGGAAUAUAUUUCCAUAACUUUUAGUUAAUCUUCAGGGUGUUCUACCGAAUGGGAAGGAAGUAGCAGUUAAAAGGCUGUCAAGGAAGUCAUGGCAAGGUUUGGAAGAGUUCAAGAAUGAAAUCAUACUUAUUGCAAAACUUCAACACCGAAAUCUUGUAAGACUAGUGGGUUGUGGCAUAGAGGGCGAGGAAAAGCUGCUUAUAUAUGAACUCAUGCCCAACCGAAGUCUUGAUUGCUUUAUCUUUGGUCUGUCUCUGCUACUGACUGCAGACAUAUGAACUUACACAGUUGCUUCAGUUAUGUGUACUAAUCUCUCUCUGGACCUUGGUUUACUCAAUUUCAGAUUCUGAAAGACGGUUGCAACUUAAUUGGAAUACAUGCUAUAAUAUUAUUGGUGGAAUUGCCAAAGGACUUCUUUACCUUCAUGAAGACUCUCGGCUUAAAAUAAUCCACAGGGAUCUAAAGCCGAACAAUGUAUUGCUGGACAAAGAUAUGGUUGCCAAGAUUUCAGACUUUGGUAUGGCAAGAAUUUUUUGUGAAAAUCAGAAGACAGCUAACACUAGGAGAGUAGUUGGAACCUAGUAUGAUUCUUAGCUUUUUUUCAUUUACCAACUAUUUAGCAUAUUUUUCCGGAAAUUAUUUUAAUCAUGCUGUGUAAUUGUUUUUUCGCAUUUGGAACAGCGGAUACAUGGCUCCGGAGUAUGCAAUGGAAGGACUGUUCUCAGUGAAAUCUGAUGUUUUUAGCUUUGGUGUAAUAGUGCUUGAGAUCAUAAGUGGCAAAAGAAAUAGCGGUUUCUAUCUUACAGGACAUGCUCAGACACUCCUUGCAUACGUAUGUUUAAUGUAGCUGCUAACUAGAAUUGAGAUUUUGCUUCAAAUGGAUGUUAUUAUAAUAAACGUAAGAUUAUAAACCGUUUUUAAUUGGAAUUGAUUGCAGGUAUGGCAACUGUGGAAAGAAGGUAAAGAAAUGGAAUUUGUAGACCCUUUGUUGAUGAAAUCAAGUUCGAUUCCACAAGUGGUGAGAUGCAUACACAUAGGGCUUUUGUGCGUGCAAGAAGAUCCAGCAGUAAGACCCACCAUGUCAAAUGUGGUGGCUCUUUUGGGAAGUGAAUCAAUAGCUCUUUCAGAACCAAGGCAACCCCCGUUUCCUGUGGGAAGAACAAUCGUUCUCGCUGAGCAACCUUCGACCAAAGAUCCUUCUGUGUGUCAUGACCUCACUGUUUCUACUCUCUCACCACGAUAACUGUUACAUUCUUUUUCCCAAGUGGUUAAGAGUUCAGCGCCGAAGGCAAAUAGCAAAGUGAAUGGAUUUGGAUCAUCCCUUGUUUUUUCACCUCCAUUUUUAUAGUUAUAAGUUUUGACUUUGAAAGAUCUAAUGACGUUAUCAAUAAUCAAGAUUGAGUUUUCCAACGUGUAAUGCUACAACUAUUAAACUUUCCUUUUUAAUACUUAAAUUUUAUUAAGUUCGAACUCUCUCUCCUCAAUUACUUUUACACGAUCGUUAUGAAAAAUCGAACUCUCUCCUGUGACACCUACCUCUAAAAUGAAAAACUGUUUCCCAUGGAUUUAUGAAAAAUUGAUUAACUUCUAAAAUCUGAAAUUUAUUUAUAUAUUUAAUUUUAUGUCAUGUUGCCAAACUGGUGAAGGAGAUGUGUGGGCGAAGCAUGAAUCGCUUGUCAGAUGAAAAAAAAAAAAAAAAGGAAAUGCAGGGUUUACCAUUCAUGAUUGUAGUGUUUACCUUGUUAAAUUCUAGGGAAAUAACAUUUACGCCUCUCAUUUUAUUUGGGUUAUUGAAUGAAGGCUGCACAUGCAAUGAUGAGGUACUGUUUCUAUGAUAGAAUUUAGGCUUAGAAAAAGUGAAUAGCAUUUACAGCUUUCAAAGAAAAUGUUUAAAAAGCUUUAACCUUUUGGAGCAAGGCAAUUACUGAACUUGGAAGAGAGAGCGAUUCUGAGGUUUUGCAUUCAGUGAAAAUCUCGUAUGUUUCUUUGUCCUUUAAAGUAAUUUCAGUCCCACAAUUAUAUACAAUAUAUUGUUGUUCCUGAACCUGGACUACAUACGUCAAUCUUUUAAGCCCACAGCCCAUAUACACCCACCCAUGUCUAGUAGGCUGCUUAAAACAUACUCUCCAAAAUCUGUUCAACUUGAAAUCCUAGCAGCUAUCAUAGUGAUUUGAAAAUCUGUUUCCUGCAAGAGCAAAAUUAAUAAUGCACAUAAUUUUUAAUAUAUAAAUAUGAUGUUAUUAGGAAUGAUAAUAAUAAACUUUUCAACGUUGAAAGUACGUAUUUUUAUGGGAAUCGAACAACAUAAUGAUAUCUCAAAUGAAAGCCGUGAUUUGGCUAAUUGAUUUCUGGGAAAUAUCAACUGAUGACUUAUAUAUAUAUAUAUAUAAGGAAAAAGAAAAAAAUUGGAAUUAAAUUUUGUGUUACUCUCGUCUUGUGAGUUAUGAACGAUCAGAAAUUUAUACCAAAUCUAAUUUUGAUCCAUUAAUACUUUGCAAUAACUAAAGGACAAAAUGAAAAUACUCUCUGUAAAAUAUCUUCAAAACUUAGAAAAUUCCACUUUAACCAUUGGAUAACCCUGAGGGCUGAGUCCCAUGUAACAACUCCCUUGAAUCCGUCGUCACGCACCCACUUCCGUCUUAAUCAAACUUAAUUUAAUCUGAUGUCCUUUUUCCUCAUUUAACUUUUCACAAAUUUGACUGAGAUUUUCGGACCUCUUUUCCUCCGUGGGACCGAGAAUUUGUCCUGAAACAAAACAGUUAAUUGGAGGAAUGGGACCUUGACUUCACCUUGUGAACUGAAGACAAGUCUCCUUUGCCAACUCCACUUCUGCAGCUUCCACCAAUCGUUUCGUUUCCACAUUAAAUCUCAUCGACUAAAAUUAAAAAUUAAAACAAAACAAAAUACAAAAUUUAAAAGAAAAAAAAAAAAAAAAGAAGGUAGACGGUGAUUAUUUAGAGCAUUAUUAUUAGUUGUGCGCAACAAAAAAGCUGGGAAUUACAUAUGACUCCCUUGAAAUUCUUCAUGUUGUUUCUGUUUGUGAUCUAUCUUUCAAGCUUCCAAUUCAGUUUUACAGCUGCAGCUGACCCAACACACGUUUAUCAUUUCUGUUCAGACACGGCAAAUUUCACCAGAAACAGCACCUUUGAAUCAAACCUCAAUCGUCUCCUCACUUCUCUUCCCACUAACGCCAGCCGUGGGAAUGGAUUCUCCAGGGGUUUCUUCAACGCCACCGCUGGCCAAGACCCAAACAGGGUCUACAGCCUCUUUCUCUGCCGCGGUGAUCAAACUACCGACAUCUGCCAAAACUGUGUCACUUUUGCUACCAGAGAUGUAAUUCGGCUUUGCCCAGUUAGCAAAGACCCCAUAGUAUGGUACGAUGAGUGCCUUUUACGUUACUCAAAUAAGUAUAUUUUUUCUACCAUCGAGACGACGCGCACUGUCUAUUUGUGGAAUACUCAAAACGCAACAGACCCCGUCAAGUUUAACGAUCUAGUGGGGUCUUUGAUGGGUGAAGCUGCAUCCCAGGCAGUGAAUGAUCCCAAAAAGUUCGCUACAAAAAUGGCAAAUUUCACAUCCUUUCAAAAACUUUACGCACUUGCACAGUGUACACAAGACCUGUCAAGUUCUGAUUGUAACAAAUGUCUUCGAGGAGCGAUUGCCCAGUUGCCGACUUGUUGUGGUGGAAAGCAAGGAGGACGAGUGUUGACUCCGAGUUGCAUUGUCCGGUAUGAAGUGUACCCCUUUUACAAUGAACCAGCGACCCCGGCACCGGCACCUACUCCAGUUCUUCUUUCUCCUCCACCUCCUAGUUCGGUAAUCAGGCCUCGUGGUAAAGUUCAACCCACUUUCUAACACCAUUUCUUUCAUUAUUUUAAGCAAUGCUUUUUCGUUUGCUUUUGACUUUUCAGGGAUCGAAGAUAUUGAUACAUAUAUUUUUUUAUAAUUCCAAGGGAAACGCACCAGAAAAAUUUUAUAUAUUUGGUGUUGGACUUUUGUUUAUUCUAUUGAAAUUUCGGCUAAGAAGUAACCCAACACUUACAAACUAGCCUUAUCUCUAAACUGACACUUUUUAAAAGUUGGAUUUACAUUGAUUUUGUAAUCAAAGUGUCUGAUGACUUUAACCAUUAAAAACAAUGUUCGGUUUGGAUGUUUAAUUAUUCAAUUUGAUAUUUCACAGUCAUGAAUUUCUAGCAUGCCCAAUGAAACAUAUUGCUUUUUCCUGCAGGGAAAAGCGGAAUCUCAUCAUCAACAAUUAUUGCCAUCGUGGCUCCAAUUGCUGUCGCAGCAGUGCUUUUUGUUGCGUGCUUAUGCUUCCUAAGAAGGAGAGCAAAAAAGAAAUAUAAUGCUAUGCCGGAAGAAAAUGGUAAGCACGAGAGCUACAUUAUUACUAAAUCAGACAAUUUUUUAACAAGAGCAUGCACACAUACAAAUUGUUGCUACUUUUUUGAAGAGUAAAUAAAUUACUGUUUUGUGCAGCUGAUAACGAUCUUACAAUUCUAGAAUCCUUGCAAUUUGAUUUCGAGACAAUUGAAGUUGCCACAAACAAAUUCUCAACUGAUAACAAGUUGGGUGAAGGUGGAUUUGGUGAGGUUUAUAAGGUAUACCAUUGAUUAUCAUGACAUCUCUGGAAAUUUUUACCGGUUGCAAGAGGUUACACAAUACAAAUUUUGUAAUUGUUGAUUAAUGUAUAUUUGCAGGGUGUGCUUCCUAGUGGACAAGAAAUAGCCGUGAAAAGGCUAUCAGCAAGCUCAGGACAAGGUGCACAAGAAUUUAAGAAUGAGGUCGUUUUGGUUGCCAAGCUUCAACACAGAAAUUUGGUUAGGCUACUGGGAUUUUGCUUGGAGGGAGAAGAAAAGAUACUUGUCUACGAAUUUGUGCCAAACAAAAGCCUUGACUAUUUUCUUUAUGGUUAGGAUGAUUCACAUAAAUUUCAAUGUCUUAAAAGAGUUGAAUAUUCAAGACUUUUGAAUAGAUUGUUCGAGUUUUUAUCCGUCUUUUCAAGAUUGAUAGAAUUUCUGGAUUGCAUUUAAAUUCAAUUUCCGAAUUUCAAUUUGAAAUAUUGAUUUUGAUAUGUGCAGACCCUGAAAAACAAGGACAAUUGGAUUGGUCAAGGCGCUACAAGAUAAUUGGAGGGAUUGCUAGAGGAAUUCUUUACCUUCACGAAGAUUCUCGACUCAGAAUUAUACAUCGUGACUUGAAAGCUAGCAAUAUACUCUUAGAUGCAGAGAUGAAUCCAAAAAUUUCAGAUUUUGGCAUGGCAAGAAUAUUUGGAGUUGAUCAAACUCAAGGAAAUACUAGCAGAAUAGUGGGGACAUUGUAAGUAUAGACAACUAUUACCCUUUUUCACAUACUCUCCUUCUGAUUAGUUUACAAUUUAUGCAUUACAUCCUCUAGCAGAACCAUUUAGUCUGGAUUAUAAAUAAAUUGUAUAGAGUUAUUUGAAUAAUUUCAAAAGAUUUGUUGUUGUCUUUAGAUUGACUUAGUUGCUGGUUUACAGUGGUUACAUGGCCCCAGAAUAUGCUAUGCAUGGGCAAUUUUCUGUGAAAUCAGAUGUAUAUGGUUUUGGUGUCCUAGUCCUGGAGAUUAUAACUGGCAAGAAGAACAGCAGCUUUUAUCAAACAGAUGGUGCUAGAGAUCUUUUGAGCUAUGUAAGCAUUUCCCUUUAUUAGUGCCUAUAUCAUGGCACAAAAGUAAAAGCACUAAAAAAGAGGUAGAAACUGCAACCUUUUUUAAUAUACUUGAUAUACUGUUUGCAGGCUUGGAAACAAUGGAGGGAUGGAACACCUUUGCAGUUGUUGGAUCCAAAUCUGACAGAUUCUUACUCAAGAAAUGAAGUGAUUAGAUGCAUCCAUUUGGGCUUAUUAUGUGUCCAGGAAGAUCCAGCUGAGAGGCCAUCAUUGGCAACAAUAGUUCUCAUGCUCAAUAGUUACUCUGUCACACUUCCGUCGCCUCAACAGCCUGCAUUUUUCAUAGGCAGUCGAACUGAGAGGAGCUUGCCCACAAAAGAAUUUGAGUUCUCUGAUAAAUCUACAAGCAAGUCGAUGCCAUGGUCUGUUGAUGAAGCAUCAAUUACUGAAGUAUACCCCCGUUAACUUGUAAAAAUUGUUGACGAUGCUUCUUCUUUAUGUUAGUAUAUGUUCUCCCCAAGGGGAGUGCUGGUACAUUACGAGGGAGAAUGACAUGGUUUAUGACAAGCAAUAAUGAUAAAGAGGAGGCGCCCUUCAAAUUGAAUGGCGCCGCGUUACAUUUUCCAAAGUUUUUAUUUGUUGAAGUAUAUGAUUAUUGUAUGGAUGAGUAACGAUGCAACGUUGGGAAAUCAAAUAUUCCAUUACGGUGUCGUUUGCGUUUAGUGUCGUCCGGUUAGUGUUUGCUGGGUCCGGACUCCGGAGCCCAAUUUUCCAUUACGAUGUAGUUUGUGUUCUAUGCCGUAAGCAUCCAGUUCUGUCUGAGUCUUCAAUUUUUUCUUUUUCCCCUGAAAAUUGUCUCAAUCUAUUUAAUUUAGUGAAAAUUUCAACAAAAUUUGACUGAGAUUUUCCGUCUUUCGUGCUUGACUUCCCUUUUAUUGACUUUGCGUGGACAGGUCUCCUCUGCAAUAAUCAACUUCCGCAUCUUCACCACGCGUUUCAACUUUCAAACAAAGUUGUUUGAUCAAUCUCAUCGCCAUUCACCAACAAUAAUACUUAAUAAAUGAACAGAGAAAUUAAAAGCAAUAAAAAAUAAAAAAAGAGGAAGAUAGACGAUCAUCACAUAUGUAUAUCCGUAGUACUAAGAACUAUUUAUUGUAUUCAUUCCCGGGUGAGGUCAGCCUGAGGCUGAAAGCGAGAAUCCAAAUGCGUUCCUUCAAAUUAUUCAUUUUCUUUCCGUUUCUGUCUUUUGUAAGCAUUUUUCUCAGAUUCACAACUGCAGCUGACCCAGAAUACCUCGCUCAUAAUUGCCCAAAUACAACAACUUUCAGCAGGAACAGGACUUCUCAAUCCAACCUCCACCUUUUCUUCUCUUCUCUGCCCACUAACGCCAGCCGCAGCAACGGAUUCUUCAGCCGUUUCUACAACGCCACAGCAGGCCAAGACUCUGACAGAGUCUACGGCCUCUUCCUCGGCCGUGGCGAUCUUGGCAGCAGCGCCUGCCAAGGCUGUCUCGCUUUUGCUGCCAGAAAUGUUAAUAUCAAAAUUUCCUUCUUCCUUAUGUUGCAAAGUCCCUAAAUAUCAACUCUUCUAACAUAUAACCCCUUUUUGUUUUGUUUUGUCCAAUUUCAUUCAUUUACUAUGGCAAAUCGAUAAAUUUGCCACCUAAUUUAUAUCGAAAGUUCAAUUUGAUACCAAAGAAUUUUGAUAAUAGCUCUCUGUACCACCGAACCUUUUUUUUAUGUUAACAUCGUUAGGCAAAGGUUGAUGUCGCAGGGGCAAUUUCGGUAUUUCAAAAUUUGGUUUCAUCUGGUAAAAAGGGACGCCUCUUUAUAAAUCAAAACGGUCAAUGAUGGUGAGUCAAAAAAAGAAAAAAGGGCCAAUGAUGGUUUGAUAUAAAAUGAAAAAGUUGAGUGCUACAGAGAAAUUGAUAAUUUCCUAAUCAGAAAAUACAUAUGUAAUUACUAUUAUUAAAUUUAACAUUGUAGUUGAUAUGUAUUUUGAGAAACAAACUUCAUUCUAAUUGUUCUUUUAACAUUCAUAUUCAUAUCGAUAAAGAAAAAACUAUAUCUAUAUCAAUUUUAAUAAAUGUUAAAAGAACAAUUAAGAUGGAAUUAGUUUCUUAAAAUAAUUAUUUUUUUGAAAUUUAAUUGUAAUUGAUAUGUAUUUAUUAAAAUUGGUAUAAAUAUAAUUGUUAAAAGAACAAUUAAGAUGAUUUUUUUUUUAAAUAAAAAUUUUCAGAAUUUUUAAAAUUAAUAAUAUUAAAAUUUAGCAGCGGAUCAAUGGGUGACACAUGUCUGCCCCUAUUGAAUGUUAAAUUAACUUUAAUAAAUAUAUAUUCAUAUUUAAAGACUUUAACUAAUAACAUAAAUAAAAUUAUAUGAAAACUUAAUCGUAUAAUUUCAUAUUGGGCGUAGUAGGGGCAAUUUCAUAUAUAACUAUUUUUGUUACUUUUUUUCCAUGUAAGUGGAUAAAUUGUCCUUAUAUAUAUUUAAAUAAUUCCUAUAAUAAAAUUGUCCUAUGUAAAGUAUAUGUAAACUAUUUUAUCACUUUUUAAGUGGUAAUUUGAUAUAACAAUUUGGGUGUUGGAGUACGUUUUUGUAGGUACCCCGCAUCAUUAAAGCUUAUCCAAUGAGGAAAGAAGAUAAUUUUUGUUGUGAAGGAAAAAGUCCACUUUCACAAAUGCAUUUUCAAAUUUAUCAAAAGCUAAUCAUUCAUAUAUAUUCUAAAGCAAAUAACACAAAUCAUUUGAAAAUAUCAAAGACAUGCUUAAUAUUUUGGAGCAACUUAAUUAUUGAAAUUGGAAGAGAGAGUGAUUCUGGGGUUUUCACUUUUCAUCCACCUCUCUAUAGGUGAAAAUCGCGCAACUCAAAUGUUUAUUUGUCCUUCAAACUAAUUUCACAGUGGCUCUUGUGAGUUGUGAUAGGAUAAGUGGCGUUCAAAUAGCUGUACUCUUUCAGUUUGCAAGUGUACCCAUCAUUUAAGCCCAGCCCGGCCCAUUUAUACCCAACAUAAUGGGCUGCUUAUGAAAUACUCUCCUAUAAUUCUGUUGAAGUAAGAACCCCAUCAUUGUUUUCUGAACCUCGUUUCCUGCAAAAAUCAAUUACGCAAACAAUGCCAUUAAAAUAGUAGCAAUAAACUUUUCAAAGAAUGUACACGGGAAUCGGACUAGAUCAUGACAUUGUAGUGAAACAUGCGAUUUGGCUAAUUGGCUUCAAGAAGAUACGAAACGAUGACUUUUAAACUCUUCAAUUUGAAGAAUUUUCAAAUAAUAUUUGAAAGGUAUAAUAUUUAAUUAAUACAUAUAUAACAUGUAUAAUUUACUUAAAUAUAAUUUUCAAUUAUAUAAUAAUAUCCGUUCAUCAUUGUCUCCUUUUAUAUGUAGUACCGAACAAGUUAAGGAAGUCAUGUUCAUGCCCAACCUAGUUUUGAUCCAUCAGCAUUUUACGCAUAAUUAAAGGACAAAAUACUCCCUGGAAAAUAUAUUCAUAAUAGACAGCUAACAUGAGACUUGGCUAUGUUGCAAUUGUAGUAUCAUACUAUAGUUGCAAUCAGUCAUUGGAUCCACUUAAAUCUACUAUUGUACCAUUCAUCUAAGUGAAUUUAAUAGAUGGUUGUAACUGUGGCACGGUACCACAAUUACAAUAUAAUCAAACCCGCUAACAUGUAUCUCUGACGUCACGAAUUGACUUCUGUCUUGAUCAAUUUAAUGUUUUUUUUUUUCCUUCAACUAACUUUCCACAAAUUCUUCAAUCACAAAAAAAUAAAAAUAAAAUAAGAGUUCCAGAAUUUCAUUUGAUUGAGGCUUUGCGACUUUUUUUCUCCGGGUGAUUGGAAGCAAAACAAGUAAUUAAUUGGAACGGGACGAGCUUGACUUCACUUAGUUGACUUUGUGCAGACGAGUCCCGUUUCCGACGCAACUUUUGCAGCUUCCACUACUCGUUUCUUCAUUAUAUUUGAUAAAAUCUCGUCUCCAUAAUUAAUAAAAUAAAAGGUAGAAUAAAAAGCAAUAAAGAGGAAGAAGAGAUAGAGGAUUGUAUUUGUAAUCCACAGUACGCAACAAAAACCUGAGAUUCCAAAUGCCGCCCUUGAAAUUCUUCAUGGUCUUUUCGUUUCUCAUAUAUCUUUUAAGCUUCCAGUUCAGUUUUACAGCUGCAGUUGUCCCAAUAUACGCUACUCAUGUUUGCUCAACAACAGCAAAUUUCACCAGAAACAGCACCUAUGAAAAAAGCCUCAAUCUUUUCCUCUCUUCUAUUCCGACUAACGCCAGCCGCGGAAAUGGAUUCUCCAGCGGAUUCUUCAACGCUACAGCCGGUCAAGACCCAAACAGGGUCUAUGGCCUCUUUCUCUGCCGCGGGGAUCAAACUACCAGCGGUUGUCAAGACUGUGUCACCUACGCUACAAGAAAUGUACUUCAGCUUUGCCCAGUCAGCAAACAAACAACACUAUGGUACGCUGAGUGCCUUUUACGUUACUCAGAUCAGUCUUUCUUUUCUACCAUGGCCGCAGCUCCCACUGUCUCUUUGUUGAAUACAGAAAAUGUUACGGACCAAGGCAGGUUUAACGAGCUAGUGGGGACUCAGAUGAGCCAAGCUGUAACUCAGGCUGUGAAUAAUACCAAAAGGUUUGCAACGAGAAAAGCAAAUUUCACAGCCUCUCAAACACUCUACAGUCUUGCACAAUGUACACCGGACCUGUCAAGUUCGGCUUGUAACAGAUGUCUUCGAGAAGCCAUCGCACGGUUGCCAAUUUGUUGCAGUGGAAAGCAAGGAGGAAGAGUGUUGACUCCGAGUUGUAAUGUAUGGUAUGAAUUGUACCCUUUUUACAAUGAAUCAGCCACAGCGCCGCCAGCACCUGCUCCGGUUCUUCUUUCUCCUCCACCUCCUGGUUCGGUAACGACGUCUCGAGGUAAAUGUGAACCCACUUUUUAUUGCCAUUUUCAUUAUUUUAAGUUUUAUAUGCUUUAUCGUUUUCUUUUGAGGGGUCUGUCAAUGAUACAUCUGGAAGUUAUGAUUUUAAGUGAAAGGCAACCAGAUUUUAGGCUCCUUUUGGUAUUAAGCUACAGUUAAAGUGUUUGAUGAAUACUUUAUGUGGUGAUUUUGAAUUCAAGUUAAUUUUAUUCUACACUUAUCUUAUUUAAAAUUUAUACAUAUUACUAUACUUUUAACUUUUAUUUUAUAAAAGCCACUAAACUUUAGUCUUCACAAUUGUGAGGUCAUGAGUUCGAAUCCCUACAACGCAUUGUGGGGGUUUAAUUUCUUUCCUCAAAUUUGAGUGAAGGUAGAGUGGAGUAGACGUCCCUCGAAUAUCAGAGAGGGUAAAAAUUUAGGCAUGCUUCAUAAGAAUCGAUGUAAACUAGUCCCAGUAAUAAUCUGAUUUGUAAAUACAAUCAGUUGUAAUAUCAUGUAAUAUGAGUUGUACGCCGGAUCAAUAGUUUCAUGUAAUAAAAAAAAAAUUAUUUUAUAAUUAUAAUUUUUUUCCACUGUAACUCACUACUAAAUAGGGAGGACCUUAAAAAGUUGGAUUGAUAUUGAUUCAUAAUAUACGUGAUUGAUGAUUUUAACCAUUUAAAACAAUGUUUGUUCUAGUUUGUUCUAGAUAUUUAACAUUCAAUAUGAUAUUUCACAUUGAUGAAUUUCUAGGAUGCCUAAUGAAACAUAUUGUUUUUCCCUGCAGGGAAAAGCGGAAUCUCAUCAUCAACAAUUAUUGCCAUUGUUGCUCCAAUUGUUGUCACUGCAGUGCUUUUCAUUGUGGGCUUCUGCUUCCUAAGAAGGAAAGCAAAAAAGAAGUAUAAUGCUGUACCGGAAGGUAAUGGUAAGCACAAGAGCUACUUUAUUACCAAAUCAAUAGUUGUAACUUUUAACAAGAGUAUGUACGCAUACAAUUGUUGUAACUUUUUUGUGAGACUGAUUUAAUUACUUUUUGUUUGUGCAGCUGAUAACGAUCUUACAACUCUAGAAUCCUUGCAAUUUGAUUUCGAGGCAAUUAAAGUUGCCACAAACAAAUUCUCAACUGACAACAAGUUGGGUGCAGGUGGAUUUGGUGAGGUUUAUAAGGUAUACCAUUCAUUAUCAUGACAUCUCUGAAAGUUUUUAGCAGUUGCAAGACACGUCACAAAUUUUCUAAUUGUUGAUUAAUGUAUCUUUGCAGGGUGUACUUCCUAGCGGGCGAGAAAUAGCUGUGAAAAGGCUAUCAAAAAGCUCUGGACAGGGUGCAGAAGAAUUUAAGAAUGAGGUCGUUGUGGUUGCCAAGCUUCAACACAGAAAUCUGGUUAGGCUACUGGGAUUUUGCUUGGAGGGUGUAGAAAAGCUACUCAUAUACGAAUUUGUGCCAAACAAAAGCCUUGACUAUUUUCUUUUUGGUUAGGAUCAUUUACAUAAAUUUCAAUGUCUUAAGAGAGUUUAAUAUUCAAGAUUUUUUAAUAGAUUAUUUGAGUUUUUAUCCAUCUUUUCAGGACGGACAGAAUUUCUAGAUUGCAUUUAAAUUCAAUUUCCAAAUUUCAAUUUGAAGUAUUGAUUUUGAUAUGUGCACAGACCCUGAAAAACAAGGACAAUUGGAUUGGUCAAGGCGCUACAAGAUAAUUGGACUGAUUGCUCGAGGAAUUCUUUAUCUUCACGAAGAUUCUCGACUCAGAAUUAUACAUCGUGACCUGAAAGUUAGCAAUAUACUCUUAGACGCAGAGAUGAAUCCAAAAAUUUCAGACUUUGGCAUGGCAAAGAUAUUUGGAGUUGAUCAAACUCAAGGAAAUACUAGCAGAAUAGCUGGGACAUAGUAAGUAUAGACAACCAUUCCCCUUUUUUACAUACUCUCCAUUUGAUUAGUUUACAAUUUAUGCAUUAUAUCCCCUAGGAGAACCAUUUAGUCUGGGUUAUAAAUAAAUUGUAUAGAGUUAUUUGAAUAAUUUCAAAAGAUUUGUUGUUGUCUUUAGACCGACUUAGUUGCUGGUUUACAGUGGUUACAUGGCCCCAGAAUAUGCUAUGCAUGGGCAAUUUUCUGUGAAAUCAGAUGUAUAUAGUUUUGGUGUCCUAGUUCUGGAGAUUAUAACCGGGAAGAAGAACAGCAGCUUUUAUCAAACAGAUGGUGCUAGACAUCUUUUGAGCUAUGUAAGCAUUUCCCUUUAUUAGUGCCUAUAUCAUCACUCACAAGUAAAAGCACCAAAAAAGAGGUAGAAGCUGCAACCUUUUUUAAUAUCCCUCAUAUACUGUUUGCAGGCUUGGAAACAAUGGAGGGAUGGAACUCCUUUGCAGUUGUUGGAUCCAAAUCUGACAGAUACUUACUCAAGAAAUGAAGUAAUUAGAUGCAUCCAUUUGGGCUUAUUAUGUGUCCAGGAAGAUCCAGCUGAAAGGCCAUCAAUGGCAACAAUAGUUCUCAUGCUCAAUAGUUACUCUGUCAUACUUCCAUCGCCUCAACAGCCUGCAUUUUUCAUAGGCAGUCGAACUGAGAGGAGCUUGCCCACAAAAGAAAUUGAGUUCUCUGAUAAAUCUACAAACAAGUCGAUGCCAUGGUCUGUUGAUGAAGCAUCAAUUACUGAAGUAUACCCCCGUUAACCCGUAAGAACUGUUAACAAUGCUUCUUCUUUGGAUUGUAUAUGGUCUACCCAUGGGCAGGGCUAGUACAGUGUGGGGGAGAAUAACAUGGCUUAUGACAAGCAAUAAUGAUAAAGAGGCGGUGCCCUUCAAAUUGAAUGGUGCCGUGUUACAUUUUCCAAAGUUUUUAUUUGUUGAAGUAUAUGAUUAUUGUAUGGAUGAGUAAAGAGACAACGUUGGGAUAUCAAAUUUUCCAUUACGAUGUAGUUUGUGUUCUAUGUCGUCUGGUUAGUGUCUGCUGGGUCGGGAGCCCAAAGUUCAGUGAAGUUAUUCAGUGAUAAAACGGCUUGGCCAGUAUCGAUUUAACAUCUUCAUGGUUUUAAUUUAAAUUGUUCUUUGGGUCUUGUGCUAUGUUUUUACCUUUUAUAUGUAAAAGGAUAGAAUCAAUCUCCUCCUUAAAUUAAGAUGAUUCACAUGAUUGUGCUUGACUUUAGGAGUAAUCUCUGCAAUUCUAUAGACUAAGGAAUCCUCUGUAACUUUCCUUUUUCAGCUUCAUGAACUUGUAUAUAUAAUUGCUUGGCUUUACAGUAAUAUAUUAAUCCUUUUCACAAUCUCUGUCUCUGACUUUAUAUGGUAUCAGAGCAAGCUAUUACUCACACGAGUCAUUGAUCCUUGUCUUAAUCUCUUCUUUAUACUUCCACCAUGACCAACAAAUACUCAACAGCUUCUUCUUCAAAUCAAACAACUACCAACAUCUCCCUAAACCCAAACAACCUUAUAGCCAUCAAUGUAGCCAACCAACUUCCUUUAAAGUUGACUCCUUCGAAUUAUUACUCAUGGAAAUCACAGUUCGAUGCCUUGCUCUAUGGGUAUGAUUUAGUUGGGUAUAUUGAUGGAACAAAUCCUUGCCCUCCCUCACAUAUUGAGAAUGAUGGCAAUAAAGUCUCAAAUCCUGAGUAUAUUCUUUGGACAAGACAAGAUAAACUCCUUUUGCUCGGCAUAAUUGGCUCUCUUAGCCACAAAGUUGUCCCUGUGGUUCGGUCAUGCAAAACUUCUGCAGAAGCCUGGACACAUUUAGCAAAAAAUUAUGCCAAUCCUUCAUCCUCAAGAACCAUGGGGUUAACAGAACAACUCACCCUCAUUAGUCGAGGCUCACAACCAGUAGUCGAAUAUCUUGCUACUAUUAGCGACAUUGCAGAUGAAUUGGCUUUAAUUGGAGCACCUGUUCCAAAUCAAUACCUUAUUACUCACACUCUCAACGGCGUGGGUCCCGAAUUCAAGGAACUUGCAGCUGCCAUGCGGGCGAGCGAUACCAUGAUCAGCUUCGAUGAACUUCACGACAAACUUGUUGAAUAUGAAUCCUUUCUCAAACGAGAGGAACUUCGAUCUGCUGGAAAUCUUGGGAAUAUCACUGCCAAUGCUACCCGUUUCUCUUCCUCAAAAAAUGGUAAUCAAUUUGGCAAGAAAAACUUCCAAAACAACAAAGGAAGCCAGAGCCAACGACAACCCAAUUUUGGAAAUCAAGGCAGCACCCUUGGAAAUCAAGGUAAUAAUUUCAAUUCAAAUAAUUUUGGAAAUCCAAAUUCGGGCAAGAAUACCACUGUGAUUUGUCAAUUUUGUGAGAAACGGGGACACACUGCACGCCAAUGCAAUGCUGCAAAGAAAUUAUUUUUUACAGCCUCAGCACCUACUGCAAAUCCAACCACCACUUCCAAUAACAUGGCAUCUAAUUGGUUGUUGGAUUCCGGAGCAUCUCAUCAUGUCACUUCCGACAUUAGCAACCUAUCUCUUCAUCAACCAUAUGAAGGCCCUGAUGACAUUGUAAUCGGUGAUGGCACUGGUCUAAAUAUUACACAUGUUGGCAAGUCCACUCUUUCCACUCCAUCUUACUCAUUUUCACUUUCGAAUGUUUUGUGUCCCAUCUAUGAAGCAAAACUUAAUAUAUGUCUCACAUUUUUGUAAAACAAAUAAUGCAUCCAUUGAAUUUUAUCCCUCUUCCUUUUGUGUGAAGGAUCUAACCACGGGGGCACUACUCGCGGAGGGACGGAGCAAGAAUAAUGUCUAUGAGUGGUCUGCUGGAGAUGUCUCUACAAGUAUGAUGAAGCAAGCUUGCAUGAGUAUUAAAGCCUCUCUUAACCAUGAGUAUUAAUACCGCUCAGUUGCUUCAGCAGUAGCCGAACUUACAUGGAUUACAAAUCUUCUUAGUGAGCUACGUCUCCAACUCCCUCUGCCACCUCGUCUAUUAUGUGACAAUAUAGGUGCCACAUACUUGUGUGUCAAUCCGGUCUUUCAUUCACGGAUGAAGCAUCUCGCCCUCGACUAUUAUUUUGUGCGUGAAAAAGUUUCAGCUGGCUCUCUCCAAGUUGCUCAUGUCUCCACCAAUGAUCAACUAGCGGAUGUCCUUACAAAACCGUUAGCUAAGUCUCGUUUUGCCUUACUUCGAUCCAAGAUUGGUGUCACUGAUGGCACCAUCAUGCGGGGGCAUAAAAGGAUAGAAUCAAUCUCCUCCUUAAAUUAAGAUGAUUCACAUGAUUGUGCUUGACUUUAGGAGUAAUCUCUGCAAUUCCAUAGACUAAGGAAUCCUCUGUAACUUUCCUUUUUCAGCUUCAUGAACUUGUAUAUAUAAUUGCUUGGCUUUACAGUAAUUUAUUAAUCCUUUUCACAAUCUCUGUCUCUGACUUUAUAAUAUGCUUAGUAAGUAUGGACUAGUAUUAACCAUCUAUCCUAGAUUAUAAACAAAUAGUAUAGAUUUAUUUCAAAAUUGUCUUUAGUUUGACUUAGUUGCUGGUUUGUAGCGGUUACAUGUCCCCAGAAUAUGUUAUGCAUGGGCAAUUCUCUGUGAAAUCAGAUGUACAUAGUUUUGGUGUCCUAGUUCUGGAGAUUAUAACUAGCAAGAGAAACAGCAGUUUUUAUCAAACAAACGAUGCUGAAGAUCUUUUGAGCUUUGUAAGCGUAAACAAGAUAAUAUGUUGACACUUUCGCCUUUAUUAAUGCGAAUAUAAUCACACACGAGUUAAAAGUUACACAAAAUUUACGGACAUUUCGGUUAUGACUUGAUAAUAUAUAAUUUGCAGGGUUGAAAACAUUGGAGGGAUGGAACACCUUUGUAGUUGUUGGAUUCAAAUCUGGCAGAUUCAUACUGAAGAAAUGAAAUGAUCAGAUGCAUCCAUAUAAGCUUAUUGUGUAUCCAGGGAGAUCCAGCUGAGAGGCCAUCAAUGGUGACAAUAGUUCUCAUGCUCAAUAGUUACUCUGUCGCACUUCCAUUGGCUCAACAGCCUGCAUUUUUCAUUGCUAGUCGAACAGGGAGGAUCUUGUCGGCAAAAAGAAUUUGAGCGCUGUGAUAAAUCUACAAGCAAGCUAGUGGCAUGGGUUUGGUAGUAAAUGAUGAAACUUGAAAUAUAACUCAUCCUUUGAUAAUUACAAACUGUAAAAAUGUACGAUUGAUUAGUUUGAAACCGCGAUGUUAGUAUAUAAUUUAGUCAUGGGCUGGCCUGGUGUAGUAUGGCAAAAGACUGACAUGAUUUAUCACAAGUAAUUAUGAUGAAAAGGAGAUGUCCUUCCUUCGAAGUUAAUGUUCCUCUCUCUCUCUCUAAACCUGUCUCGCUGUUUACCCUGUAACCUUAAUGUCGACAAAAUUGAAACACAAUGCUAAAUGUUUGAAUUUUAUUUUUCUUCCUGAAAUUAACGAAUUUGGUUUACAAAAUAAUAAUCUCAAGCUCAUUUUCAAUACGAUAUUAUGAUUUAAUUCAAUAUUUUGAUUCUUGAGAAAAUUUUAUAAUACUUUUCUUUCAUAAUUCUGUUGAUAAAAUGUUUUGCGAACUGCAAGUCCACUUAGUUUUUAUUUGUACUUCUUAAAAUUUUAAGAUCAAUCAUUAUUCACUCUUAUUUUAUCUGCUUGAUAAAUUUUUUAAUAGAAUAUAAAUUAUAUUCUUUUACUUUUACUUUUUUUUUUUUUUGGUAUCGGGAUACAAGUUACUAUGUUGGAUAAUUUCAUAUAUCUUUUUUUAGUAGAGAUUUCUUAUAACUGUAUAAUUGAUGUUUAGUUUCCCUGAAAAAAUAAAAAUAAAUCUCAUAAUUAUUACAUUCACUAAAACUAAUUUUAGCACAAAAAAAAAAAAAAAAAAAUUCUUGCCUUCGCCUUGGUAGAAUUUAUCACGAUCUAAAUUCGAGAAUUUGAGGGGCAGAAACAAAAAAAAUUAUCGAAUGUAGAGAGGAAGCUUGCUUAUUAUUUGCGCAUGUUAGUUGGCAAUAGCUAAUUGGGCCAAUUGGGCUUUGCUAGGGUGGGCUUUAUGCUUUCCUUGAGUAAACUGAAAAUAGUGGAGCUUUUAACACUCCCAAAAAAUCCUUAUAUCACCCUUUUUGAUUUUAUUCUCUGAAAUAUUCCCAACUUAAUUUAUAAACUACUAUCGAUAAACUAAAAUCAAUAAUCUUUUCAUUCACUUCAUCUUGAAAAUAAUAUUUAAUUAUCCAAAAAUAUUCAUCCCUGUAUGAAAGUUUCUUGGGUACGUGAUCGCUAUAAAAACUCUCAGAGAGUUUUGUCCCCAUUUUCUUAACUAAUAUCAUGCUGAUCCUUUUGACUUUUUAUUAUUUAUAUUAUUUGCAUACAUCUCUGAAUAGUUAUGUGAAAAUCAGAAGACAGCUAACACCAGGUGGGCAGUUAGAACCUGAUAUGUUUCUUACCAUUUUUCCAUUUACCCUUAAGCAUACUUCCCGGAGGUUGUUUAAAUCCCGUAUGUGUAUGAGUGUGUGUGUGUGUGUGUGUGUUUGCAUUUGGAGCAGUGGAUACAAGGCUCUAGAGUAUGCUAUGGAAGGACUAUUCUCAGUGAAAUCUAAUGCUUUUAGCUUUGGUGUAAUGGUGCUUGAGAUUAUAAGUGGGAAAAGAAACAGUGGAUUCUAUCUUACAGGACAUGCUCAGACACUUCUUGCAUACGUACGUCUAACGUGGCUGCUAGCGAUGAAGUGAAAUUUUGCUUCAAAUUGAUAUUAUUAUGAUUAUUAUUAUUAUUAUUAAUGUCGGAUUAAUAAUUUCUUUUGAAUUGAAAUUAAUGGAAAAGAAAUGGAAUUUGUAGACCCUUUGUUUAUGGAAUCAUGUUCGACACCACAAGUGGUGAGAUGCAUACACAUAGGGCUGCUGCAUGUGCUGUGCAAGAAGAUCCGGCAGUAAGACCACACCAUGUCAAAUGUGGUGGCUCUUUUGGGAAGUGAAUCAAUAGCUCUUCCAGAACCAAGGCAACCUCCAUUUCCUGUGGGUAGAAUUGUUACCGCUGAUCAACCUUCAGCCAAAGAUCCUUCAGUGUGUGACCUCACCGUUUGUACUCUCUCACCGCGAUAACCGUUACAUUGUUUUUCAUUUUUUAUAUGGUUGACAAGUUCAUGCACAAGGCAAAUUGUAAAACGAAUAGAUUUGAUCCUUUCUUUGUUUCUUGUCUUGACAGUUUUUCAGCGUUUAAAAUGAAAAUCGCACGUGUUUAUUUGUCUUUUAAAGUAAUUUCAUCAGAAGAAAUAAUAUGCCUCAUAACCCAGUGGUCCUCAUUCCAUGUCUGGAAGUAGAUUUUUUUUAAAUUAAAAAAAAAAUGGAAGUAGUUUAUUCCUAAAUAUAGUAAUUUAAGUCGCGCUAUAAUAAAAAUGAUAUUGAUUUAUCUCAAUGGAUCUCUAAUUUUAUAAUAUUAUUGCACAACAAUACGUCGAUAAAUUAAUAGCAUUGGAACCAAGAAAAAGUUAUUAAUUAAGGGAAUAUUAACUAAUCAAAUUAUAGUUUAGCACAUUGACCCUAGGUCUCGAUUGGAAAAAAAUUAUUGUUUAAUCCAUGUUUUACUGUAAUUGUAAUUGAAAAAAAAAAAAAACACUCUACUCAUUUAGUGAUUGAGCAAAUUGAAUCUAGACUAUGCUUAGUAAAAAGGCCAAGCCGAUCCUGUCAUGUAUGGCCAGCCCUCCAUGUGAGGGCCCGAAUAUGGGCUUAAAUUUUAAGGUUUAUUUUGAGAGGACCUAGACAUCAACUUACGAAAAAAAUUAUGGGCUAGGCUUGGACCUUUUUUUAAUUAUUAAAUUUAUAAAUAUAUGUUAUAUUAAAAAAUGCAAUACAAAAAUAAACAAAAUACGUAAAUCCUUAAUUCCUAAUUCCUAAAUCAAAAUAUCACUUUUUUCGGGGAGAGUAUGUCUUUUUUUUAAAAAAAAAAAAUGCUGUGUCAUUUUAGUUUUGUUUUAUUUUGUUUAAUUAUUUUUUAAAAAAAAUCUUUGGAAGCCUAGAUCAGGCCUUGUUCCAUAAUGGGCCUGGCCCUGCUUUGGUCCAUCAGACUUAAACGGACCUAGCACGGACUUAGGCCAAUUCUCUCAAACAUGGACGGACCUGGCCCGACGAUUCACUUGCCACUGAUAACCUGGAUCUUAAUUAAAUAAAUCACCAUGUAAGCUCAGCCCAUAUACCCCAACAUAAUGGGCUGAUUAUAAAAUACUCUCCAAAAUCUGUUGAACUUGAAUUCCCCAAUCACUGUGAUUUAAAUCUCGUUUCCCGUAAAAUCAAUUAUCGAAGGCAACUGUUGCUUUUAAAUUUAAAAAUUAUAAUAAUCAACUUUUCAUCGUCGAAGGCAUGUGUACGGUAAUCGGACUGGAUAAAGGUAUCUCAAUUCAAUCUAGAAUGAAACCCUUGAUUUGGCUAACUUGGCUUCUGAGAAAUAUCAAACGAUGACUUUUUUAUACCCGACCAUCCUUCACUCUCUCUCUUUAUUUUGAAAAAAAAAAACAAUUGUAAUAAAAUUUUGUUACGCCUAUCUUGUGAAAAUCAAAAUUUAACCCCAACAUAAUUUUGAGCUAUUAAUAUUCUACAAUAAGUAGUGGACAAAAAUGAAUAAUAAUAUAUGUACAAUAAUUAAUACAACAAUUAGUACAACAUCCAUAAGAGAUCCAAAAAAUAUAUAUAUAUCUUAUAGUGAAAAUUUCUUUUGUCUUAUUGUUAAAUUUUUUUGUCCUGUAGUGAUGUUGUACUAAUUGUGGAAAGUACAUCAUUAUUGGGACAAAAUACUCUCUUCAUAUAUCUUCAAAAUUAGGAAAGACUGGGACUAUUUUAACUUAAAAAUUAAAAUUAAAAUUAAAAUUUUUAAGAAAAAACUAAGCAAUUAAUUUUACAUAAUCUAAUAAUACAUAUUAAAAAUCAAAAUAGUAUUUAAUGGUGAAUUUAUCAACUAUUUAAUCAUAUAAAAAUAAUGAAUUGAAAUUGAUUUAAAAAUUAAAAUAAUUUAACCCAUUAAAAAAAUAAUGUUGGGAAUUCCCAUAGUUGAGUCUAAAUAUCCAAGUAACAUGUGUCAUUCAUUUAUUAAAUCAUAAAUUUUAUAAUUAGUCAAAUUAAUAUUCUAUCGUUAGCAUUACUCAUUACAAAAUUCCACAUAGCCAUCGAAAUGCUCCAACUCCCAUAGAUUCAUGUGGAGGUGGCAAAAUGGGUAAAACACAAUUACAUGAUAUGGAUACAUCACAAUUUUUUCGUAUUCAUAUUGACAAAUAUUGACACAAUUAAUAAAUAAAUUAACACGACGCCACACGAUAAGAGAAGAUAAAUAAUUGUGUUGUAGACCACCUCAACACAAUUACAUGUUUCUAACAUGAAUAUCAAUUAAUAUGUUGUAAUAUUAUUAAAAAAAUAAUAUAUAUAUACCGAACACUAAAUUAUUAUUCGUAUUAUAUUUAUAUUGUGUUAUAAAUUUAUUUGUGUCAUAUUUAUGUCAUAUUAACUUUUUUAUAAAAUAUUUUUAAUAGUAAUAUUGACAUAUUUGUUAUUUUUAAUUUUUUUAUAUAAAAAAUGCUGAACGGAUAAAACACGAUUAACAUGAUUAAUAAAUAAUUUGUGUUUAUGUUUUAAUGUUUGAUGGUGUUAAUAAAUAUUAAAUAGAUCCUAUUAGUAAUUACUUAAAUUUUAACACCACAUAAUUACUUAGAACACCACACGAUUACUGGAAUUCACACCUCCACUUCUGUCUUAAUCAAUUUAAUUUAAUAUAUUUAAUUUAUACAAUGAAAAUGACAUCAUGUAACAUCUACCUUGUACCAGCCGUCACGCUCACGCAUCCACUUCUGUCUUAAUCAAUUUAAUUUAAUAUAUAUAUAUAUAUAUUUUCUCAUCUUAACCGUUCACAAAUUUUGACUGAGAUUUUCUGAUUAUUUUUUUCUCUCCAUGUGAUCAGAAUUCAGAAACAAAACAACUAUAUGUAGUUGGAAUGGGACCAUUUGUUGACUUUGUAUGCAGACUAGUGACAAGUCUACAUUGCCAACAGGGAAUAUUAUUGCAAGUGCUCUAAAAUGUAUGAUCACUCACACCCGGCCGCUGGAUGAAAAAUAUCUUUAAAAAUAUUUAAAAAUGAAUGAAAAUACAAAAUUCAAGUGAAACUCAAUAUAUAUAACCACUUAAUCACGUGGCGAUCGCUUUGAAAAGGUAUAAAAUUGAUUCAGAAAUUAUGAAAAUUGACGAAAUUACGUGCCGAAAGCCAAAUAAAACAAAAAAAAAAUUGAUACAAAUUUAACGGUAGAAAAUGAAUUACAAAAUUUGAAGAUUUAAAUCAAGCAAUCAAAAUCUCUCGCCAAGUCCGAAUUUCAGUCAUGUUCUCGCCAAAUUAAGAGAAAAUCAAAAUAAUUUAUGAAAAUUCAUUAAAAAGUGACUAAACACGAACUCACAAGAACGAGUCUCUUUUACAAGACAUCAAAGUCAAGGAAAGCUUUUAUCCGGAGGAUUUUGCUACCUUACAUUACAUGUAAGGUAGCAGCUCCCUUAUCCGGAUCAUUGAAAAGUUUUUUACAUAAAAUCUCACCACUGACAUAAAAAAAAACAAAAAAAGUACAAAACUAAAAACAAUAAAAUUAAAAAAGCAGAAGAAGAGAUUAUACUCCGUAGUUAAGUACGCAACAAAAUGCUGGGAAUUCAAAUGCCUCCCUCGAAAUUCUUCAUGUUGUUUCUGUUUGUGAUCUAUCUUUCAAUAAGCUUCCAAUCCAGUUUUACAGCUGCAGCUGACCCAACAUACGCUUAUCAUGUAUGCUCAGCAAAUUUCACCGGAAACAGCACCUAUCAAACUAACCGCAAUCUUCUGCUAUCUUCGCUUCCCACAAACGCCAGCCGAGGCAAUGGAUACUCCAGCGGUUUCUACAACGAAACCACCGGUCAAGACCCUAACAAGGUCUAUGGCCUCUUUCUCUGCCGCGGGGAUCAAACUGCCAGCAGCUGCCAAGACUGUGUCACUUUUGCCACCAGAGAUUUAGUUCAGCGUUGCCCAGAUGGCAAACAAACCAUAAUAUGGUACGAUCAGUGCCUUUUGCGUUAUUCAAAUCGGUCUAUCUUUUCAACCAUGGACACAGUGCCCUAUGUCUCUUUGUUGAAUACACAAAAUGUUACGGACCGAGGCAGAUUUAACCAGAUUUUGGCGUCUUUGAUGAGCCAAGUUGUAAAUCAGGCUGUGAAUAAUUCCAGAAAGUUCGCGACACGAACGGCAAAUUUCACAGCCUUACAAACACUUUACAGUCUCGCACAGUGUACCCCUGACCUGUCUAGUUCUGACUGUAACGUAUGUCUUCAAGCAGCUAUUGCAGAGUUGCCGAAUUGCUGUAGCGGAAAAACAGGAGCACAAGUCUUGAUUCCGAGUUGUAUUGUCCGGUAUGAAUUUUACCCGUUUUACAAUUUAUCAGCCACAUCGCCACCGCCACCUGCUCCGGUUCUUCUUCCUCCUCCACCCCCUGGUUCCGCUCGAGGUAAAAUUGAAGUUGAACCCCCAGUUUAUAUGGCCCUUUUUUAUUUUUUUAAAUUAUUUAAGUUAAUGCUUUAUCCUUCUUAAUGCUUUAUUUAUCUUUUUCUUUUGACGGGAGAGGGUACGGUCAGGGUGUAUGAUAUUCUGUAAUUUAAAUAUAAUUCUAAGGGAAACAAACUGGGAUUUUUUUUUUUAAUUUAUUUGCUCCUCUGUUCUGUUUAUUCUAUUGAAAGUUUGGCUAAGGAGUAAACUCAAGACAGAAAAAAUAGCCUUCAUUCUCUACUCUAUCUAACUCAACACUAAUAAAAAGUCGGAUUUACAUUGAUUUCAUAAAUGGACGUAAUUGAUGAUUUUAACCAUUAAAGAUAAUGUUUUUUUUUUUUAAUGUUUAAUUAUUCAAUUCGAUUCCUAUAUUUACACUCAUGAAUUUCUAGUAUGCCUAGAGAAACAUAUUGUUGUUUCCUGCAGGGAAAAGCGGAAUCUCAUCAUCAACAAUUAUAGCCAUUGUUGCUCCAAUUGCUGUCACUGCAGUGCUUUUUAUUGUGGGCUUAUGCUACUUUAUAAGGAAAGCAAAAAAUAAGUAUAAUGCUGUACCGGAAGUGAAUGGUAAACACGAGAGCUACUUUAUUACUAAAUCAAACAAUCUUUUGACAAGAGUACGUACGCAUACAACUGUUGCAAAUUCCUUUUUUUUUUCUUUUUUGCAGCGGAUAAUGAUAUCACAACUCUAGAAUCCUUGCAAUUUGAUUUCGAGACAAUUGAGGUUGCCACAAACAAUUUCUCAACUGAUAACAAGUUGGGUGAAGGUGGAUUUGGUGAAGUUUACAAGGUAUACCAUCAUUAACACUUCUGAAAGUUUCUGGUAGUUGCAAAAGGUUACACAGUAUAGAUUUUCUAAUGAUUGAUUAAUGUACAUUUGCAGGGUGUACUUCCUAGUGGACAAGAAAUAGCUGUAAAGAGGCUAUCGAGAAGCUCCGGACAAGGUGGACAAGAAUUUAAGAAUGAGGUCGUGUUGGUCGCCAAGCUUCAACAUAGAAAUCUGGUUAGGCUACUGGGAUUUUGCUUGGAGGGCGAAGAAAAGAUACUUGUCUACGAAUUCGUACCCAACAAAAGCCUUGACUACUUUCUAUAUGGUUAGAUCAUUUCCUUAAACUGUAAAGACUUAAAAAGAGUUGAACAUCCAAGAUUAGUAUUGAUUAUUCAAAUAUUUUCAUUAGUCUUCUCAAGAGUGACAUAAUUACUUUAGUUAGCAUUUGAAUUCAAUUUCCUAAUUUCAAUUUGAAAUUUUUAUUUUGAUGUAAGCACAGAGCCCGAAAAACAACAACAAUUGGAUUGGUCAAGACGCUACAAGAUAAUUGGAGGGAUUGCUCGAGGGAUUCUUUAUCUUCACGAAGAUUCUCGGCUCAGAAUUAUACAUCGUGAUCUAAAAGCUAGUAAUAUACUGUUAGAUGCAGAGAUGAACCCAAAAAUUUCUGAUUUUGGCAUGGCAAAGAUAUUCGGAGUUGAUCAAACUCAAGGAAAUACAAACAGAAUUGUUGGUACAUAGUAAGUAUUGACUACUAUUUCAUACUUUGCAUCCCUUAGUAGAACCAUUUAGCCUGGAUGAUAAAUUAAUUGGAUAGAGUUGUUGAAUAGUUUCGAAAUAUUGUCUUUAGACUGACUUGGUUGCUGGUUUACAGUGGUUACAUGGCCCCAGAAUAUGCUAUGCAUGGACAAUUCUCUGUCAAAUCAGAUGUAUAUAGUUUUGGUGUCCUCGUCCUGGAGAUUAUAACUGGCAAGAAGAACAGCAGCUUUUAUCAAACAGAUGGUGCUGCAGAUCUUUUGAGCUAUGUAAGCAUAAAUAGAGUUAUAAAUCUUUAAAUUUUCCACUUUGUUAGUGUAUACAUCAUCACUUACAAAUAAAAGCACUAAAAGGGAGGUAGAAAUUGCAACCCUGUUUCAUUACACUUCACUUUGCAGGCUUGGAAACAUUGGAGGGAUGGAACACCUUUGCAGUUGCUGGAUUCAAAUCUGACAGAUUCUUACUCAAGAAAUGAAGUGAUUAGAUGCAUCCAAUUGGGCUUAUUAUGCGUCCAGGAAGAUCCAGCUGAGAGGCCAUCAAUGGCAACAAUAGUUCUCAUGCUCAAUAGUUACUCUGUCACACUUCCGUCGCCUCAACAUCCUGCAUUUUUCAUAGGCAGUCGAACUGAGAGGGACUUGCCCACAAAAGAAUUUGAGUGCUCUGAUAAAUCUACAAGCAAGUCGAUUCCAUGGUCUGUUGAUGAAGCGUCAAUUACUGAAGUAUACCCCCGUUAACUUGUAAGAACUGUUAAUGAUGCUUCUUCUUUAUGUUAGUAUAUGAUCUACCGAGGGGCAGGGCUGGUACGGUAUGGGGGAGAAUGGCAUGGUUUACGACAAGCAAUAAUGAAAAAGAGGAGGUGCCCUUCGAAUUGAAUUAUGCCGCGUUGCUUUAUCCAAAGUUUUUAUUCGUUGAAGUAUAUGAAUAUUGUAUGUGUGAGUAAUGAUACAACGUUGGGAUAUCAAAUUUUCCAUUACCAUGUAGUUUUUGUUCUAUGUCGUCUCGUUAGUGUCUGCUGGGUAGGGAGCCCAAAGUUCAGUGAAGUUAUUCAAAGUGAUAAAAUGGCUUGGCCAGUAUUGAUAUAACAUCUUCAUGGUUUUAAUUUAAAUUUUUCUUUGGGUCUUGUGCUAUGUUUUUACACUUUAACAUGUGGGGAUAUCAAGAUUAGCUUUGCUGGGCAUUCGAUCUGAAACAUUAUUUUAAGAGUUGCAUCAGCAGGUAUUCCAUGCCAUAUUUUUCUUCAUUAGUUUGUGAGUUCGUUCUUUCUAUGUGCAUUCAGUGAAAUAAAAGCCGAAACAACACUUAUCAUUCCAGUGGUUGCAAAAUAACAAAUAAGAUUGACGAAAGUUGUUAUACCCAACCUAUUUUAAUCUAUUAAUAAUAUUACACAAUAAUUAAAGGACAAAAUACUCUGGAAAAUAUCUUCAAAAUUUAGAAAAUUCCAAAUAGCCAUCGAAUUAGCCUGACUCCCACGCAUGUACUGUUGUUUAACCUAUUUUCUGCCUCAAUCUAUUUAAUGUCGUUUUUCCUCGAGUGUUGAUAUUGAGUCCCACUUUGUUGACCCAUUUUCCUGCAAACGGUAAUUUGCCUGUCGUUUUUACUUCUGUCAUUAACUCAUUUUAAAAUACAUUCACACGUAAAUUUAAAAUCAAAGUCAUUGUUUGAUUAAUGGCAUGGUAGUCAUGAACCCUUCGGUAUCCGGUGGUCUCUGAUCAUGCUUUGCAACUUUUGGGAUCAAUUACAAUUAUACUGACAAGACUUAAUCACAAUCAACAUAAAGGAGUGUAACAACAUAAAGGAGUGUAACAUGGGGUCAAAAUCAUGAAAAUUAUUUUGGCACUUAGCUUCAAUUACCUAAAAUAACGUAUGGGACAAGAUUUACAUUGAUUUGAUGAUAUAAUCUUUAAACUACUCUUGUUAUAUACAAAGUUGUGAU
Molecule: long non-coding RNA, 93307 nt
Filed under: Citrus maxima (pomelo)
Lineage: Eukaryota; Viridiplantae; Streptophyta; Magnoliopsida; Sapindales; Rutaceae
Description: long non-coding RNA (CMAX_LNC001070)
Source: RNAcentral